GGGUGUGAGAACUACAAUAAAAUUUUCAGUGGGUUCGGCAACCAACCACGCCGACUUUCCCACUAGGUUUAAAUCAUGCAUAAUAGAAGAACAGAUAGAUAGUAACCAACUAAACAAAUGUAGCUAAUAUGCCUGAAUAAUAAGUAAUACGAUAUUCGAUAGAAUACUCAUGAUGAAUAUAAGAUCAUAGUUUCCUUACCCAAUCUCUUGGCUAGCCCGUAGGUUUCGCCCUCAAUAGACUCACCAACUCAAAUCCCAAGUAUCGGGGAGACUACUACGCCCGACGGGACCGUCCUCCGGGGAGACUACUACGAUCCAAUGAUGACAACUCCGGAGCACAUCGCCCGAGGGGGAGCUACCACCCUUGAGCAAGGACUUACAGGCGAGUAUGAUCCAAACCUUAACUAUAAGGAUGUCAAGUUCAAUCCAUUCCUUAACUAUAAAAAAAAAUGCACAUACGACCCUUAACUCUAAGGUUGUUAUGUCAUAAUGUCACUACCUUUGUAUACUUGCAUUCGUUAACCUUUACUAGUGUCAUACACACUACUUGUUCUUUGUACUCAUAUAAUGAUGCCACACUUGUUUUCUAAGUGUUCAACUCUAGUGUUCUUGGCUCUUCAAUGUCACUCACUACCUUAUGUCAACAUGUCACAUUUGUUCUCUAAUCCACCAAGUUCUUGUCAUUUUUCAUGCAUAUAUAGGGAUUAUAGAUUCUCACUUUUAUUUCACAUGUAUUUGAACUCACAACAUGCAAUAAGAAGUUCACAAUAACUCUACCAUGCAAUAUGCUCAAUACAUACAAAUGCUCAAAUAUGACACUUUAGACAUAAAGAAAUUUCGAGGUUUUCGGUAUGCACCACCCACCUUGUAUGGUUGCAAAGGUGCUACGGUGAAUUUCUUGGAAUUUUUGAAGCUCUACUUUUUCGCCUGCGGCAAAACGAAGUCAAAUUAGGUUUUUUCUCAAUAACUUUAUCUAGACAUUUUCGUAACGUCGAAUCGAAUUGCCCAACGUGUCGGAAAUACCCCCAAUUAGGUUUCUAUAAGGUCAAUUUGUCUUAGAAACUCCCUAGGGCAAAAGCCCCAAUUUAGUACCCUAAUAAUACCAUUUACUCAAUUCUAGGUUUUGAUCUCUAAAACAAACAAAAGAGAGCUUGUCUAACAUCUAGAAGCUCAUUUAGAACUAUCUAAACCAUUUCUAGGGCAUAAUAAGUAUACCCUAGGGAUUCACCAUUAUUGCACAUGAAGAAAACUAGGGUUUUCAUGUGUUUUAAGCCAUUACUAGGUUUCUAUAUAUGAGAGAAGAUUAAAACCUAGUUUUCUAGGGCAUAAACCCAAACCCUAGACCUAUUGUCACAAAACACCUCACCUUAGCCCAAAACUCUCCAAUGUCUAUCUUGUAGGAGAGUCCCAAGCCUUCAAAACCACCAAAAAUCCCUCCAAAGUCUUCUCCUCCACCCCUUAGCUCUUGGAAGUGAUCUCUAGAGAGAGAAAGAGAGAAAUGAAAGAAGAGGUGUGUGUUGGCUGUGGGAGAGGGAGAGAGAGGUGUCGGGGUGUUUUAUAAGGUGCUACAAUUGCAUCUAGGCCUCCCAUUUUUUUUUAUUUGCAGCAUACCAAAUUGGUGCUGCCAGACCAAACUGUAACGAUGCAUGGGAUUUUGUACUGGUACAUUUUCGGCGCAGAGGCAAUCCGAGAGCAGCCUCCUUGGAUUUUACCAAAGUGUACUGGUACACACCAUGGGUGUACCGGUACAUUUUCACAAAAACUCAAACCCGAAAGUAAUCUCUUCUCGGUCUGCAGGGUUGUACCGGUGACAACUCGAUAGUUGUACCGGUACACUUUGCCCAAAAUGCUGCUUUUGCGCUGUUUCGAUUCUAUUUCGCGCCGGUCGAUGCUAAAACCCUUUAACUUUUUUAGAACUCCUUUUUAACCCUUCCAACAUUAUUGGAACGCUUAAAUGGAAUAUACCCAACUAUUUCUUUCUCAUUGUUCACUUUUAAAUUACGUCGAGUAAUGCUAAAACUUGCUUAACACUCUCAGGAUUCGACUUUGACCCUUCCAACAUUGUUGGAAUGUCAAUCGGACUUUAUUCAUCCAUUUCUCUCGGUACUUUAACCAAUUUGGCUAAAGUUCGAUAAUUGCUAUCGAGGUUUCGAUACGUUACAUAAUGUGUACUGAGUUUAUAGAGUUAUAGGAUUCCAUCAAUCGAUGUUUUGAACUGCAAAAAACACGAUAAUGUGACAAAUUUUCGGGGGUAAAUUGCACUAGUUGUUUCGUAACUUCUAGUCAAGUUUCAUUUUGGUUUUAAACUUUUAACUUUGACAUUCAAAACCUCAAACUUGUUGUGUUUGACUUUAGUCUUUUCUAAAGUAAAAAAAAAUUGCUUGCAUCUAAUUCGACUGUAUGUUUGGGCACCAUGAAUCCAUCGGCUCUCUGUUCAUCUUAUUUUUUUCAAUCCAACAGGUCAAAUUUCUAAAUAUAUAGAAGGUUAUGACUCAAAUGAUGGUAGGAUUAGACCUGACAAACGGGCAGGUUGGGUAACCCGCGGGCGGGUUAUUGUACCCGCUGGUUACUUGGGCAUGGGUAAAAGUUACCCGCAAAUUUUUGGGUAGUCAAUAUUUUUACCGAUACCCGCCCGUGGGUGGGCGGGUGGGUAUGUGGGUUACCCGUAAUUUUUUUUUUUGUUCUUAUAUUUUUUAAAUGCAAAAUACACACACACACACACACACACACAUAUAUAUAUAUAUAUAUAUAUAUAUAUAUAUAUAUAAGUUUUAAAACCGUAAUAUAACUCAUUGUUUAAAAUACCAUAACAUAUAAUAAAAAUAUUUAAAGUCUUAAAGCAAAAAUAUUUCAUAAUAUAAAAGACAUGCAAUAAGAAAUUAGGAUUAGAAUUUUUAGGAUGAGUAAAGAAAAAAAAAAUAUAUUAAUUAAGAAAAUAUAUUUUAUAACUAAAAAAUAUAUGUGUAGGUACCCGUGGGUACUCGUGGGUUACCCAAAAUGCCCACUGCUUAAUGGGUACGCACUCGUUUUACCCGUAAUUUUUGGGUUGGAAAAGUUGGUACUCAUACCCGCAAAUUUGUAGGUAACCCGCGGGUACCCGCGGGUUUGGGUCAAGAUUGUCAGGUCUAGGGAGGAUUAAAAUAUAAGAUGGUAUCAAUAGUAUAUAGAUGCAUUGCACACGAAUAUUUCGAUCAGAAAGGGUUGUUCGGUGGUUGCUAGGAUUUAAGUAACCAUUUUUGUAAAAAAAAUUAAGGGUUAAUUUCAUGCAGGUCCCCGCAAACAUAGUGAAUUACAGAAAUAUCCUUGCAAAGUUCAACUUUUAUAAGUUAUCAUUGCAAAAAUCCUAAUGUAUUCAGAUAUGUCCCUAUGGUUAGAAUCCGUUAGAGAACUGUUUAUUUUUUAACAGUAGACUUGUGAAAUGACAUUUUUGCCUUCACAAAUAUGUCCCUCCGAAAUAAUUUUUGCCCUCUUCCUCUUUCUCUUCUUUUUCAAGCUGCAGGAGUGGACGACGGCGACGGCAGCGGCGACAACGUCGCGGAGCUUGUCGGAGUUGCGGCCGACGAGAACAAGGCCGAGGCACGCAGUGGCGAGGCGGAAAGCGAAGGUGCGGCCAAUUCGGAAGCGCUCAUGACGACGGCCCACACGAGCAUGACGAUCGGAUCAUCGACGACGACGACGAAGAAGAAGAAGAAGAAGAAGGAGGAGGAAAGGGAGAAUACGAAGAAGAAGAAGAAGAAGGAACCGGCGAAGGCCGUUGUCUGGCCUCUGCUGUACUUACCCCGCCCAGAGGCGCCGCCGAGGAUGGCGAAGUCGGCACCGAUCUCCCACGAGGAGCACUGCCCGAUCUCCCACGAGAAGCACUGUCGACGUGGCCUCCAUCGGCCGCUUUCUCCGCGACCGCGGUUCUUCCUUCUCUAUCACGAUCGCCCGCCACAUCUCCUUCCUUGUCGGCGACGAAGAAGAGGGAAGAGGAAGAAGAAGAGGGGUAAAAUUAUCAAUUCACCUUAUUAAGUAAUCAUAGUUAAGUAUUUUAACCGUGGUUAACUAAAUUUCUUUAACGGAUACUAACGGCAAGGACAUAUCUGAAUACAUUAGGACUUUUGCAGGAAUAGUUUAUACAAGUUAAACUUUGUAGGGAUAUAUCUGUAAUUCACUAUGUUUGCGGGGACUUGAAUAAAAUUAACCCAAAAAUUAAAAUAUAAUAAAACUAGGCCUCUCAUAAAGGGUUGUUCCGAUAGUUGCUAGGAUUUAAGCAACUUUUUUAAUAAAAAAAUAAAAAAAUAAUAAAACUUGGAAACUAAAUCUGGAGGCUAAAAUUGUAAGAUUUCAGUCAGCCUAGAAUUUACCUUUUUUUUUAACCAUCUAGUUUUUAGAUGGUGUUUGGAUUGGGUACAAGAAGGGAGAUAAGACCCUUAUCCCCCUCUUGUACUGAAACACUAAUACUAAGGGCAGGAACUGCUUGUUUCCACCCUAGUGGGUUAUCCUGGAGUAACCCUUAAGGGUGGGAACAAGCUGUUCCCAUACCAAGCUGUUCCCACCCCUGUAUGGGAACAGCUUGUUCCCACCCCUUUUUUUAAAAGAAAUUUAAAAAUUUAAAAUUUUAAUUUUAAUUUUUAAAAAUUUAUAAUUUGUAAUUUCAAAAUUAAAAUUUAUAAUUUUAAAUUUUAAAUUUUAAUUUGAUAUUUAUAUUUUUCAAAUUUAAAAUUUAAAAUUUAAAAUUUAAAAUUUAAAAUUUAAAAUUUAAAAUUUAAAAUUUAAAAUUUAAAAUUUUAAAUUUAGAAAUAAAAAUUUAAAAAUUAAAAUUCAAAAUUCAAAAUAUAAAAUUAAAAUUUAAAAUUAAAAAUUAAAAAUUCAAAUUUUAAAUUUCAAAAUUAAGAUAAAAUUUAAAAUUUAAAAUUUAAAAUUUAAAAUUUAAAAUUUAAAAUUUUAAAAUUUAAAAUUUAAACUUUCAAAUUAAAAAUUAAAAAUUAAAAAUUAAAAAUUCAAAUUCAAAUAUAACGAGAGGGGUAAUAUCAUUUUUUUUAUUUAUAACUAUCCACUAUUAUUCUUAUUCCAUCUUAUCAAUCUGAAAACUAUUUUUUUAUUUUCAAAAAUAAUUAAUUUUUAUGUAAAUACAAAAUUGAUUUACCUUUUAUUUAUAAUUGUAUUUAUAGCUAUUCCUGAAAUAAGGAGUUUUUACUAAAGGGCCUGUUUGUUUCAUCGUAAAAUCACCCCGAAAAUUUUUUUUCGGUGGAAAAAUAAGAUUUCGAGUGUUUAUUUGUCCGUAAAAAAAUUUUUACGGAAAAUUUCAUUUAUGAAUCUAUGGAAAAAUGGUGUUUUCGUUUUCCGCUCGUUCGAGCGGAAAACUAAAACGACACCGAAAAAUUGCGGCGUUGGAGCGGGGGCGGGGUUCAUCAGGCGCGGUCCACGAGAGACACCCCACCUUGUGGACCGUGUGGACCUCUCUCUCUCCCACAUCUUUAUAUAUAUAUAUAUAUAUAUAUAUAUAUAAUAUUUUAAAUAUGGUAUUUUAUUUUUAAUAUAAAUAUAUUUAUUAUAUAAUAUUUUAUUUAUAAAUAUUAUUUAUAAAUAUCUAAUAAUUUAUUUUAUAGUAUUAUAUAUUUAUUAUAAUUUUAAAUAUAUUUAAUCUACAUAUAAAAAUUAUAAUAAUAAUAUAUAUAAUAUAUAAUAAUAAUAAUAUAUAUAAUAAAAAAUAUAUUAAAUAGAUUUUCAUCUACUUUUCUUUUCCUUUCAACUAAACAACCAUCAUCGAAAAUUUUUUUUUUUUUUCUACAAAUCAAAACACUAAAUUAUGUAAAAUUUUUUUUCUAUCGAAAAUUUUUUUCCACCAAAAUUUUUUUUUCGCAGUUUUACGUCAAAUCAAUCAGCCCUAAAAGUUUUGCUUGAACCGUCAAAAGAACCGGCCCAAUAUUUCGGAUUGGACCGGAUUUUAAAACAUCGGCACGAAGAGCGAGGACUUGUGUUGCUGCAAAGGCACGCGAGCCUCCCCUUUUUCCAUUACAGGCUUACAGCCCAUCAUCCCACUUCUCUCUAACGCGCACACCCUUCUAGAGAUGGAUUCGCCGAGGAAAGCUCCGGAGAUCGUAGCAUUGUUAGAUCUGAAGCCGCACCCUGAUGGGGGGUUCUACUUGGAGACCUUCAGAGACUUCUCCAUCACCCUUCCUAAAUCUCAGCUACCUCCCCACUGUGAUCUCUCUCUCUCUCUCUCUUUAAUUUUUUUUAUAUUUACUUGUUUCAAUUCUCUCUUUGUUUUUUGCUUUUUUUUUCUUAUUUUCAACAACAUUAGUGGUGGGGGUCCUGGUAAUUAUUCCCCUCAUUACCCAAUUUCAUGCGAGCAUCUUCUUCUUUUACCCUUUUUACCUUUCAUUCACUAAUUACUGGAACCCCCACCACCUAUGCCCGUUCUUGAAUUUGCCCCCUAACUUUUGGUCCUCAAGCUGUGGUAUUUUGGUUUUUUAAAAUUUAUUAUAAUUCUUAGCACGAAUGUUCUACAUUACUGCAAUCCAAUCGACGGUGCAUAAUUUAGUUGGCUGCAUAAUGACGUGAUACUGUUGUGGCAGUUAUGUGAUUUUAUGGUAAUGACGAAUUCUAUUUUAGUAAGUGACGUGGUAAUCCCAUAAUAUGCUAUAUUAUUGUCAUAUUAGCCACACAUAGUCGUUCAAUUUAACUAAACUAAAUUGUGCAACUUAUAGAUUAUUACAAUAUAAAAGGUUUGAGCCAGAAAUUAUAAUAAAUUUAAAUUUGGAAUAAAAGUGUCACCAACCUCAUAAUUUGGAAAAAAAAAAAAGGUGUAAUUUAGCCUUUUUUAUUUUCUUCUUACCCUUAAGAGAAGCUCCAAAAUUAUCUACAUUUUGCCGAUUUAUAAGUCUCCACCUAAGCUUCAGGAUGAAUUAAUUUACUGUUCAAGCAAUGAUUCUGUCAAAAUUUACCACAAAGCUUCCGUUUGUUUUCUUGAAAUUUUGUUAAAAAUUAACUAGCUAGCCGGACGCGUGAAUUUGUGGCCAUUCACUCGAAAUUUUACUCGUGUACCAUCCCAAGACCAGCGGACAUCUGACAAAAUGAACGAAAAAAUUGCAACAUAAUUUUUGUUUGGUGGUGAAUUUUCACCGUUUUAAAGUUCGGGUGCUAAAUUGCAAAGUGCUCAUUGAGCAAAUUUCAGGUGGACUUGAGGUUUUUCCCCCCCUUUUUCUAAUAUCAAAUUUGUGAUUCUUUUUUUCUUCAUUCGAGUGAUUUAUAGUCAAAUAAGUUAGGAAUUUCCGAAUUGCAAUACUUUUCUAUUAAAUUUAAUAGCUAAAUCAUUUUUAGUAAAUAAAAUUGUUACAAUCUAUGGUCAAUACUAAUAGUUUUAUCAAAUGUCACAAAGUUUUAACUAAAACAACUAGAACAGUUUAUCUCAAAAAAGAGCGAAUAGAGGGGAUCUCAAUUGAAAACAGAAAAGUUGAGGGGUAAAUUUUAGAAUGGCUUGUAGUUGAGGGGGUUUCAGUACAUCUUGACUAAAGUUUACUGCAUAUACUUCACGAAAUUGUCACUUAGGGUUUAAUCACUAUUGCUUGUCUUGAUCUUAGUAAUGUGCUUCUAAUUGUUAUCCGGUUAGAUGUAAUCAGACUCUUAAUACUAGGCAAAUGCUGUUAAUGCAUUAUGUUGGCAGUUGUUUUCUGGGAGUGUUAUUUUUUAAGAAAUGAAGCAUUAGUUCUUUUGCUAAUGUCUCAUCUGGUUGAGGGGAUCAUUUGAUUGUAUUUGGAUCAGAAGAAGUGAAUGUACGAAAAAAAAUAAAAACCAAUGCUAUAUAUUAUUAGGCCUUAAAUUGGAGAGAGUUGGGCUAAACAAUAUAUGCUAAGUUUCUGCUAAAAUUGAAUGUUCUAUUGUGAAGUCGAGCCGGGGGGAUCAAUCAAAGUAAACAUACUUAAUUUUCAAAAAAAAAAAAAAUGCAUGCACGGAUUGAGGGCCUUGUUGGGCCGUGCUGUUGGAAAAGUAAUUUCUAUAGAAUUGAUUUUGGUUUGAAGAGUUGAUUUUGGUUAACAAAGUAAUUUCUAUAGAAUUGAUUUUGGUAUGAAGAGUUGAUUUUGGUUAACAGCUAUAGAGAGUUUCGCGGAGUCUAAUUGGAAAGCUAUUUUUCUGAAUUGAUUUGGUAAAACUAUUUAGCAAAAUUUUUUGCUAUUUGCAAAUACUAUAUUUCUUUGCUAAAUUUUAGAGAAAUUUAAUUAAAAUGUAAAAAUUGAAUUAAAAUUUAAAUUCUGAUAUUUGACUAUUGAAAUUUGAAAUUCACAAUUUGAAAGUUAAAAUUUAAAAUUUAAAAUUUAAAAUAUUACAUUUAAAAUCUUAAUUUCAAUUUAAAAUUUGAAUCCAAAAUUUAAAUUUAAAUUUAAAAUCAGAUUCAAAAUCAUAAUCGGAUUUCAAGAAGCUAGAUUUAAAAUUUAAAAUAUUACAUUUAAAAUCAUAAUUUCAAUUUAAAAUUUGAAUCCAAUAUUUAAAUUUAAAUUUGAAAUUGACUCCAAAAUCAGAAUUAUACUUUCAAGAGGCUGGUUUUAGCUACUUGUCAUUUUGCGGCCUGUAAAAUUAGAAAACUGAUUUUAAAAAUUAAAAUCAGAUUUUUGACAAAGAGGUUAUCAAAUGCUCUAUUGAAGGAAAAAUCACUUUUGGUCAUAAAAUCACUUUCUAGAAUUUAGGCCAAACACCUACUAAGUGUUUAAGCUAUCAGCCAAAAAAACCAAUACUUCAGUCACCGUUGAAUAGCAAGUUUUGUUUUUAAGAUGCAUGCAGCACCAUCUCCUGCUCGGUGGCAAUCCUCUUUGGCAACUUUUCUUACUUCUUACUGAGAAAAAUCUUCUAAUCGGCUUCUUGCUCAUCAAACACAAGCCAAAGUAUUAGUAUUUGAUUCCCCCAGUAGCUUUGAAAAUGCCAAAAAAUAGCAGUGGCAGAAUAAUGUUAGAUGCUGAAGGAGAAUAGUAAGCUUGAAAGUCGAGAUGUAGAUAGAAGGUUGAUAUCUCGAAUAAUACAGCCUUUAACUUCUUUUUUUUUUUUUCUUUUUUUCCCCCCUCCAAACAGACAAGGUGUCUCGUCCUGUGAGCAGUGCAAUCUACUUCUUGCUGCCAUCAGGGGGCAUUGCUCACCUUCAUCGCAUCCCUUGCGCUGAAAUCUGGCACUUCUACUUGGGGGAACCACUCACGGUUCGCUUCUGUAAUAGCUUCUCCACUCUCACAAGCAGCAACAGUGCAUUUGGCAAAUAAAAUUUUUGGACUAGACCGCUUCUGCUAUAUUUUUAACAAAAACCUUGUAUUCACUCUUUGAAUAGCUCUAUUCGAACAGCACUCCCACAAAAGCCGCAAUCAAGCCAAACAAGCCCUUAAUCAAGCCGCCCUAUAUAUUUGAGAUUUUUUUUCUCAAUUAUAUUUUAUAAUCUAUUUCCAUUACACCUCAGGUAUUUGAACUUUACAAUGAUGGCCGCAUCAAACUGACCGUAGUUGGGCCCGACUUAGAAGCAGGUCAUCGGCCCCAGUACACAGUUCCGCCAGAUGUGUGGUUCGGUGCAUUCCCAACUUUAGAUGUUGAGAGCUGUUCUGCUGACGGCAGCGUUCUUGUCAAGGCUCCAAAACGCGACCCCGAGCUACAUUAUUCUUUCGUUGGUGUCACCUGUGCACCUGCAUUUCAGUACGACGACAAUGAGUUAGCAACACGAGCCGAGCUCAAAAAUCUUGCUCCCAGUGCUGAACCUUUCCUCAAUUACCUCAUUCCGUAAGAGGCAAAAUGCAGGAUUGUCUUUGUUGGUUUGCUUAGCUAUGUGAACGAAAGUCCAUAUACAUUCCUCUAAAUGGAAAUAUGGUCCAGUAUUUGUCAAUUUGAACAUCUGAUUGUCUAUAUGUUGGUAAUCUCUGAGCAAGUUGCCCUUCCUGUCUGUUGCUUCCUGCUUUUUAAUUGUUUAUGGGUGUUGAUUAGAUGAGAUUGAUUAAUCUUUUGUCUCUCUUUUUAGGCGCUGUUUGUUUCCGACUAAAAGAGGCCCAGGAACUCCGUUCAUGCAGAAAAGGAUUCUUUUUAAGUAUUUAGUUCCAUAUAAAAUACUUUUCGGUGAAAAAGAAAAUUGCACUCUGCAAUAAUUGCUGCUACCGUUUUCUUCCAAAGUAGGCUUGUCAAAAAUUUUAAUUUGUAGAUAUAAAGUGAAAAUUUUAUUUAUAAAAAUAGGCCUACAAUAACCGCAUUUGUGCCAUAUCAGUUGAGUCUAAAGAAAACAGUGAAUCAUUUGUCAUAUUCUAAGUGCGACAAAUGAUUCACCAUUUUCUACAUUAUUUCACUGGCACGAUUCACUUUUCUUGUAAACAGAAUAGAGAAUGCAAUGCAUCGUACUAUAUUGUCAUCCUAGUCUACCUUCUUGAAGGGCUGCCUCAUAUUAGACUCGUUUGCAGCGGCUAAUGAGCUGGUAACAUGGUGCACUUUAAAAAGGAUUGAAGGAGUCAGAUUUAAAGUUGACUUCGAAAAAACUUUUGCAAGAGUCAAAUGGCCCUUCUUGAAUAAAGUUGUACUCUAGUUAGGAUUUGGGGGAAAAAAAAAUUAAUUAGUGUGGAUGGAUAGAACAGUGUACUGCUAAGCUAAAGCGCCAGCCUUGGUGAAGGGGGCACCAACCAAAUGGAUCAAAUUAGCAUGAAGUUGGAGGCAAGGGGAUCCGCUCUCAUCUUAUGUAUUCCUUCUAAAGGCUGAGUGCCUUGCAAGGCUGAUAAAGUCGGCAAGAAGCAAUGGCCUCCUAUAGUGCUUGGGGCUGGUGAACGAUGCCAAAUCACUCUUAUUCCAAAAAAGAGAGAUGUGAGAAAUCUACAAUAAUCUUCUCGUCUUUGAAUGGGUCCCGAGACUUAAAAUGAAUAGACAAAAAUCGAAGAUCUUCUAUAUAGGGACUAGGGCUCACAGAAAUAGAACACUAAAAAGAAUUCUCUCGUCUAAGGUCGGGACUUUGCCACUCCAUUAUCUAGGGUUGCUGCAUUCCACUAGGCCUCUAAAGUAAACCGAUGGUAGAAAAUUAUAAAUAUAAUUGAUAAAAAAAUAGAAGAAAGACAGUCGAAACUCCUCUCCUAUGGAGAAAAACUUAUCUUUGUCAACUUCGUUCUCUUAAAUCUACUGCUAUGAUUUUUUGUCUUCGAAACACCUAAGUUGGUCCUACGCCGCAUUGAAACUCUUACAAGCUCCUUAUUGAAAGGAUGCUCAAGAAUAGGGGGUAGAUCGUGUCUUGUGCAUUGGAAAACCAUCUUUGCAACACUAAAGCGGAGGGGGCUAGGAAUCAAGAACAUGGAAGCAUUGAGCUUGGCGAUACUUAUGUGAGUGGUGGUGGAAACUCUUUAUAUAGCAUAAUCAACCCUAGGAAAAACUAAUCAAAGCAUUGUAUUAUGGCAGGUCUGACCGGAUGAAAGGUGUGUAGCCAGUGAUCGCCUCUCCGUCAAAUUUGUCUAUAACUUCAUAACAGUCGAAAGAAUGCGAAACCACAGAAGUCCUCAUAUUUGAAAACUCAAAAUUCUUGCGAAGGUUAAGAUUUUUGUUUGGCUAGUACUGAAAAAAAGGAUACUCACAACUAAAAAUCUUUUAAAUAGAGGAUGGAGUGAGGGCCAUCUUUGUAUGUUUUGUAUAGACGAACUUGAAACUUGUAACUAUUUAUUCCUUAGGUGUAUCUAUUUUCACUACAUGCUAACUUCUCAGUGGUUGAUUCCCCCUAUAACUUGAUAUGUAAACAACAUUAGAGGGCUAUGGGAAAAACUAAGAGACCAAGAAGACAAUAGCAACCACAAAAAUGAUCUUGCAAGGCUCUCAGCUACUUGGUAGGUGAUUUGACUUGAGCGUAAUUGUCACGCCCCGAGAUUACGUCAAAGCCUUUUGGGUUGCAUGAGUAGAUCGGUCAAAUGGACAGUUUUUCCUAAUCACAUAAAACGAUAACACACAACAAUUUGCACAUUGCAUACAAGAUCAUGUACAAUAUGGCAUCAAAGGAAAUUAUGUUUUAUUACUUUAAAAUUUUGCAAGAAUUAGUCUUUGUUCUUUUACAACUCCAUUCCCAAAUGAAAUUAUAUUUUAUCAUCUUUCAAAAUGGUACUAAGUCCAUAAAUACAUUUCACAAAAUAGUCUAUUAGGGACGGAAGCCAUUAUAAAAUUUGUGACUCUUUUACUGUGAUCACGUGCCUCCCCGGUGAUAGAAAGUUCUGAAUAAAAGCAUCAACAAAGAGUUGUGAAAACUAAAAUAUGUUUCCAGUAGGUAGAGUCGUCGAACCUGCCCAUUUGUUUAUACUAGGUCUGAACGAGGCAUAAUAUUAAUGAAUAAAUGAGAUAUGAAAUAACAAAUAAACAAGAUGAAUGAAUACAUUUCUAUUCUAAUUUAAUUGAUAUAGGUAAAUAAGUAUUUAAGUAGUUGAUAUACUUCCAUGCUAAUUUACGUCGAUAUUGUCUGCUUGCUCUAUUCUAUUUGUAUAUAUAUUGAUAUUUGCUAUGUUUUUUAAUAGAUGUUAAAUACUUGCCACUACUAAAAGCAAGCCAAAAUCUUAUAAAAUUUUUACUUCGUCUGUUUGAUUAUUUUUUGUUUGCUUUGCAUAGGAUAAUUUUUUAUCUAUUAUACACUGUUGUAUAUAUUUUUUUUCCUAUUAUCUUAUUUGCACAAGCAAUAAGGUUUUGGGUUGCAGAUUUUCAAUUUCUAUGCUAUCAACUUAAUUAAAAUGUUAUACUUCCUAUCUUUUCNAUAGGAUAAUUUUUUAUCUAUUAUACACUGUUGUAUAUAUUUUUUUUCCUAUUAUCUUAUUUGCACAAGCAAUAAGGUUUUGGGUUGCAGAUUUUCACAACAGUUGCUAUCAACUUAAUUAAAAUGUUAUACUUCCUAUCUUUUCUAAUUUAUCUUUCUUUCUAUCUUUAUAAAUAUUACAUACAAUGAGUUAAAAUGAUAGACAAAAAUUAUAAAACUUCUAAAAUGAAUGACCAAGUUUUGAUAGUAAGCCAAAUUUCAAGGCUUAAUAGCAACUGUUGCCUCUAUCAUCUCUUAACAAAAGAAAAAAAAAAUCUAAACUCAUUGUAGUACACUGAACUUUAGCAAAUUACGAAGUUCGAGUAUUAGAAUCGUAAUUGGAACUAUUCUAGAUCUUGUGAUGGGUUGUCGAGAGAUUUUCGGCAUGUUACUUGAGUGAUUAAGUGGCUGGAAGAGUGAAAGCGCAUUGCAAAAUGUAAAUGCUGGAAUUUUUGUAUUGAGUACCAGUACCCCUUGGCCCGAGUACCGGUACCCAAUGCAGCAGCUGCGUGGAUUAAAGGUUUUCAUGGUAAUUUCCCUUCAAGCUUACCUUCUUAACCUCCAGCUCGACCCCUGCAUUGCUCUAGGGUCCAGAAACUUGAAGGAACAGGGUAAGAGCCCUUUCCUUCUCUUUCUCUAGGUUUUCUUCCAUUUUGAAGUGGAAACUAGUGAUUUGAGCAUGUUUCUUCUCCUCUCUUGUUGCUAGCUAGUUUGGGGAUUUGGGGAGCAGCUUUUGAAGUGUGGAAAGAGGGAUUUGGCAGUGUUUCCUCAACCUUAACGUAGCAAACUGAGUUGAAGCUUUGGGAAGGUGAAUUAGCAACUUUUCUCUCUAGUUUCAUGUAAUAGUAGAUGUUUUUGGUGGAGUUUUGGGGUUAGCUCACAGCAGGUUGUGAAACCCUUUUGGCUGAGUUUUGGUGACUCUUGUAGGUUGGUUUUGGUGUGUUCCAACCUGAAUUGGAGUUCAAGCCUUGGUUCUAUGCUAGGUAUGAAUCUGCCUAGAUGAGGUGAUUAUGUGAGCUAUGAUGUAGAGGUUUGAGUUAAGCUUCUAACUUAAUUAGUACUAGUGGAGGCCCGCGCUUCGCGGCGGGAAAUCUACGUAAUUUUUAAAAUAUUUUAAAUAAUAUUUUAAUGUUUUAAUUUUUAAAUCUAAUUUAAAAUUUUAAACAUAAAAAAAUUAAAUAUAAAAAUUAUAUGUAGUAAAUAAAUAUAUGUUAAUAAAUAAAAUUAGAUAUAUAUAAAUUAGAUUUAAAAUUUAAAAUUUAAAAUAUAUAUAUAAAAUUUAAAAUUUAAAGUUGUUAAAUUCUCUCUCUCUCUCUCUCUCUCAUUCUCUUUCUCCUCUGACUCCUCUCUCUCUUUCUCUCUCUCCCUCUCUCUCUCUUCACCCUCUCUCUCCCACACCCUUCCUCUCCUCCCCGCCUGUCGUGACCGCCGGCUGCGACGCCCUCCCGCUGCCGCGCCCAUGCGCCCAGAGCCCCCUCCGCUGCCGCCCGCCGCUGCCGCGCUGCGCCUGGCGCGCCCCAGCGCGUCCCGCGCCCGCGCGGCCCCCGCCCCGCUGCCGUCCGCACGGCACCGCGCGCACGGCCCGGCGCCUGCUGCCGCCCGCUCGGCAGCUUGCGCCUUCCGCCUCCUGACUGCGCCCGCUGGGUGGGGGGGCGGCUAGGGAGAAAGGGGAACGAAGAGAGUGAGAGAAGGGUGGUGGGGUGUCGCGCGCACGCGCGCCGGGCAGCAGGGUACUCAAUGCCGUGGGGGAGAGAGGAGGGGGGGAGAGGAGACAGGGGGGGAGAGAGAGAGAGGUGAGAGCGGGGAGGGGGGGUGCCCUAAGACGGUCGUGAAGAAGAGACAGAGGGGGAAGAGAGAGUGAAGAGAGAUUCGGGGGGAGGGGGAUGGGAAAGAGAGGGGGCCUGGGGUGGAAAGAGGGGGAGAAGAGUGAGAGAGAGACCCCACGAGGGUGGGGGGGAGGGCCCGCACCCCCUCUGCCUGCUCUCCUCAUUCUCUCGCUCGCACGCGCGCGCGCGCCCGGCGGGCGCGGUUCGCCUGCGCGCAGCCCCCCCCACGCCUCGCUCUCUCUCUACUCUGCUCUCUUUCUCUCUCUGUUCUCUCUCUCUCUCCCCCUCUCUCUGUAUGCUCUCUCUCUCUCCUCCCUCUGUUAUCUCUCUCCUUCUCUCUCUCUCGCGCGAGGCCCCCGCAAAACGCGGGGAGAACUCCGUACAAACUCACGAUUGUAUAUAUAUAUAGAUACUUGUUAGGGUGCUUGGAGGCUAGCGAACAAUUUCGCUCGCGAGAUCGACGAGAGUUGUCGACUGAUUGGUGGGUUUGACCUCACCGGAAUAGGUGAAUUCCCCCUGUGCUCUCAAUAUUGCCAUGGAAUUGGAAAACUAUGUGUAGUAUGCUAAUAGUGCAUUAUGUGAAUGGUUUAGAUGUAUCUAGAAUAUCUACAUCAUGUGAUUGAGUUAAAUCUCUAGAAAGUAGAGAAUGGAAUACAAAUGAAUCAUGCAGCAUGCAUAGUUAAUGUUUAGUAUACAUGUAUAAACAUAGAGCUAGAAUCGAUAUUCAUAUGCUAGUAGCAUUGUAAAGGAAUUGUUCGAUGCAUUAGUUGUAAUUACAUUAUAUGAUAUUUAUAUGAUAUUAUCAUAUCUCUAUGGAGUAGAGAGUAAAGGUACUAAAUCUAUUGCAUGAUAACUAGUAUGCUUGUGUAGAAAAGUUGCAGAUGAACAUAGUAUGCUUAGACUAGCAUCAAUUUCAUAUUGUUGUUAUAACCUAGUUGAUUACUAGCAUUUGAUUAUGAACUUAAUUCCUGACCUAUAGGUCGGUAGAGAACAUUCCAUGUUUGAGACAUGACGAUUGAGGACUUUGUACUAUGGAUCAUACUUGCUUGCCAUUGUGCUCAUUCGCACAUGCUUGUGAGGGUUGCUUCCCAUAAGCUGGUACUCCGGAGUUGGCCUACGCGAUAUUGUGCUCGCCCGUGCAGGGUUGGGUGCCAAAGUGGAUUGUUGUGGGGAGUGUAUACUACCACGGGGCCAUUAAGUGCGGCGCAAGCCGGACUACCUCGUGUAGGUCCGUAUGAAUUGAACAAAGAUACUAAAUUGUAUUGAUAUAAUGGUCACUACUAGAUAGUGUGCAUUUAUGAGACAAUAUAGCAUGUUUAUUUGUGUAGAGUAAUUACUUUACCUGUUGUAUUAUAGUUGUCGCAUUGGAAACAUAGUAGUUCUACUACUCAUUAGUUGCUUAUUAUUAUGGUUAUUCCUAUCAUGUUGUAGUUGUACUUGCUUGCACUUUAUACAUUAUGAACCUAGUAGUAUAAUUCGCUGAGGUCGGCGGCUUACCCACUGGGAACUAUGGACUAAUAGUUCUCACACCCUCUUUGUUGUUGUUUUAUUUACAGAGCCAUCCACUGCGGGAGAGGCUAGGGAUCGCGGCAAGGGAGUCGCGUCUAGCUAGGCGUAGCUUGGAGUCCCGCUAGGUGAUCACCUCGCUGUUUUGGAUUUGUUGACGAGGGUGAUGUUGUACCCGUGUAUAGAGACUACCACAUGUAUAUAGCUCUUUUGUGACCGUGUGAUGUAUAUGUGUUGUUGGAGAGUUGUAUUUUACAGUUUUAUACUCUUGCUUUUUGUGGACUUUAGUGGAGUUUGUAUUUGUUAUAUUCUAGCUCAUAGUACUUCCGGUACAUUUUGUACAUUCUAUGCUCUGAUACCAUGUUAGACUCUUUUAUUGCUUGUUACCCUUCUAGCAUGGUUUUGGUAGACGCCUUAUAUACUUCAGGUAUAUGGUGGGUCUGUGCAUGUAUCGGGUAGGCUUCCGCUGAUACCCGAGCGUGACACUCAUAUUUGGAUGAUAUUUCUUUCAUGCUGCUCCUCAAUUUGAAUUUUGUCGCAGCGAUGACAGCUUUGGUUGAUUUUGUGAAGUAUCAAAUCCUUCUCUCAGGCAGCAUUAAUUGGGUCUAUGUUUUUUUUUUUUUGACAUAUUGUGUAAAAUAAAAAGUGCAUGAAAGCAAAAUAAUUUCUUUUAUUCAUUAAUAGCAAAUAUUUGUUACUUUUAGCCCUAUUUUUCUUGGGUUAGUUCUUAUUCGUCAUUUAUGCCUUCAUUUUGGAGUUGAAGUUUAAUAUGUGUAGUUCUAUUUUGAUCAGCAUUGAUGUUGUUAUAGAUUUGUUUAUAGGGUUUUAACAGAUUUGAUUUUGCAUUUUGCUCCCUUCCUUUCUCUUUAUAAAAAAUUGGUUUUCAUGAUUAAUGAUGGUACUCGGUAUUUGAACUUAAAAUUUUAUUAGUUUGUUUUUCUUAAGCUCUAACUUGCUCUUCAAGUUUCAUGAAGAUAGUUCUGAUGUGCUGGCUAUAAUGAACUAGUUGCUUAAGGUUGCAGUUCGAAUCUCUGUCAGCACAAGAUUAUGAUGAACUAGCUCCUUCUAAUAGGAGAAUUUUCACUUAUUAGAAGUAUAAUAAUAUAUAAUAAGUAUUACAAUUUGCGCAUUAGUAAUUUCGUAUUUCCACUAUAUUUCUAAUUUUGUUUUUUUCUAUUGAAGUUUUAAUGCAAUAAACUAAGCAAGUUUUGGAUGGAGUGCUUUUCUGUCGCCAACCAUUUUGCAACUAUUUAAUAUAUUAAUAGCACUAAAUUUAAAUUUGCAUUGAUUUUUUUAAUAUAAGAAUUUGGUCUUGAAAUUUUAUGCAGGUUUUACGGUAAAUAAACCAAUUUGAGUGUUUUUUUCUAAGCACAUUACAUUGACUGCUCAGUUUGUAAGGCAUUUGAUAUAUAGAUUGGUUUCGAUUUUAUAGAUGUGUUUUUUGGGUCUUUAUUUUUCUCAAUGUGUAGCCUUAAUUUUCUUUUGCUUGACUAUUUGGUUUUGUCAUGUGCUUCGCCGACAGUUGGGUGUAGUAACUCUAUUUCUACUUCAUUCAUCAUUGUUGUUUCUUUGCUGAGACUGUAAGUUUUCACUCCAUCUGUAUUUGUGUUUGCUUUCUUUUUUCUUUUUUUUUAUACAAUUCCAUACAUCAAUUUAUGUUAUAUUUGUAUUGAUCUCUCAUAACAAGCCAAAAUCUUUUAAAAUUCUACUUUAUUAAUCAUCUCUGGCUAUUAUUUUUUGGAUUUAAUUGUUAUAUAUGUGUUUGCUUCUGUAGAAUUAACCUGCUACAAUGUGCGAAUACCUUUAUUAGCUAUAAUUUUUGAAAAAAAAAGCUUGGAGAUUUUUCAACUUUUAUAGUUGCAUCUUAUGUGAUUGAUCUCUCUUAAUAAUUUACUAGCAAUGUACCCGCGCUUUGCUGUGGAUUCGAUGAGCAUGUUCUUAAUUAUAUUUGUAAAAUAUAGUAUAUAUUACUAUUAAAUAUAUGAAUUGAACACAUAUUUGUAAUGACAUUCACCAGUAAGUUUGUAUGANGACUGGAGGUCUCAAGGCGCAGUUACUCCCAUCAAAGAUCAAGGCAAUUGCGGUAAUGCCGGACAAAGAUGAUAUAUAUAUAUAUAUAUAUAUAUAUAUAUAUAUAUAUAUAUAUAUAAUUCAAAUAAAAUAAUAUUUUUUAUUAUAUCUACGGUGCACCGGGUGCACCGAAUAUAUGGGCGGGACGCGUGUCACAAUGGAGAGAACACUUCCACCGACUUUAGUAUAUAGUAAUAGAUAAUAGACUCUAUUAAAUGUAUUUUAUGGUAUUCAAAAUUUCUACAUAUUAAAUGUUAUAAAUAUUUAGUUUAUUAAUUAAUUAAAGUUUAUGAUAUUUGGGUAUGGUUUAUGGUACAUCGGGUGCACUGAAUUAACGAACAUAAUAUGUGUCCCCUCCACAUCUUCUCCCACCCACUUUAGAUAUGUAGAAUAUAGAUAUAGAUUGAUAGACAUGUUUGAUAGAAACUAAAAACUCUCAUAGCCAUUUCAUCGAGCACAUAUUGUGCCUUUUCAACACUAACCAUGCACCACUGUAGAAGGAGAAAGGAAGCAAAAGCUUCCAAGGACAAUGGCCAACGCCAAGGUAAUCUGGGUAGGUGAGAAGGAGUAGCCGCGAGAGAGCUAGAACCAGAGAGCUUUGAACACAAAAUUUAAUUAUGAUAUCGAAUUUGAACCAAAAAAAGGGAAUAUAUUUUAUCAACAAAAAAAAGAACAUAGUUACGUUCAAAUAACCCUAAAAUCAUACUUUCGAAUGCAAAAUUAAAAACUCGAUGCGAUAGUAGUAGCGGAGGGAGAUACGGUGGUUGACCUCGACGGAUCAGGCGGGGGGCCUUAUCUCAGCGUUUUCAUCAGUUGCAGCAGCGAUGAUGCUUCAGCGAGAAGUUCAGCAGUGCAUGGCGGCGUGGCGCUGUUGCCGAGAUUCGCUUCAUCUUCUUCGGACUCUUCGAAGUUGUGGUGGGUUGAAGGAGGAGGAGGAGAGAGAUUGAGAAAGGAGGGCUUUGACAUCUAUAGAAAUCUAAGUAGGAGGUGUUGAAGCACCAGGUCGAGAGAGAGAAAAGAGAGAGGUGUCAGUUGCCAGGCGAGAGAGGUGGGGAUUGGAGUGGAUGCAGUGUGGGGCAAGAGGUAUCAAUCAGAGAGAUGAUUAGAGAAGAAAGAAAGUGGAAGGGGACAACAAAUUAUUGUCUGAACCUGGCAUAUCCCUCCACACAUACAAUAUACUUAGUUAAUUUAUAAAAUAUAAAUUUUGAACCGAUCUUAUUUGAUAAAAUAUAAAUUUCUAACCAAUCUAUAAUACAUUGGGCCAUGCAAUAUUUUGAAGAAUACACGUGUCAGUAAAAUAAACCACCUUCACAAACUUUAGUAUAUAGUAAUACAUAUCUUAUGCCGAGGUCACUAGUUUAACCGGUUUGGUCACCGAUUGAACUAGUGAAUUUUGAACAAACAACUUUUUCACUUCAAUUGUUAAAUCAGUUUUUAAAAAAUUAUUGCUGCAUGUACCCUACAAAAGAUACUGUAUAAUAUUGUUGAUGAGUUGACAAAAUAAAUUUUAAACACCAUUAUUAAACCCUAAACACUGUCAUUAAACUCUAAACACGCCAUCAUUAAAUCCUAACCCCUAAACUCUAAAUCCAACACAAAUGAGUGCCAACACAUCAACAACAUCAUAGGGUACAAGUUGUGGGGGACAAUUUGGGUUAAGAAAGAAAAGAAUUACAAAAAAGAGAGAGAAAGUUAAAAAAAAAAAAAGAAAAGAANNNNNNNNNNNNNNNNNNNNNNNNNNNNNNNNNNNNNNNNNNNNNNNNNNNNNNNNNNNNNNNNNNNNNNNNNNNNNNNNNNNNNNNNNNNNNNNNNNNNNNNNNNNNNNNNNNNNNNNNNNNNNNNNNNNNNNNNNNNNNNNNNNNNNNNNNNNNNNNNNNNNNNNNNNNNNNNNNNNNNNNNNNNNNNNNNNNNNNNNNNNNNNNNNNNNNNNNNNNNNNNNNNNNNNNNNNNNNNNNNNNNNNNNNNNNNNNNNNNNNNNNNNNNNNNNNNNNNNNNNNNNNNNNNNNNNNNNNNNNNNNNNNNNNNNNNNNNNNNNNNNNNNNNNNNNNNNNNNNNNNNNNNNNNNNNNNNNNNNNNNNNNNNNNNNNNNNNNNNNNNNNNNNNNNNNNNNNNNNNNNNNNNNNNNNNNNNNNNNNNNNNNNNNNNNNNNNNNNNNNNNNNNNNNNNNNNNNNNNNNNNNNNNNNNNNNNNNNNNNNNNNNNNNNNNNNNNNNNNNNNNNNNNNNNNNNNNNNNNNNNNNNNNNNNNNNNNNNNNNNNNNNNNNNNNNNNNNNNNNNNNNNNNNNNNNNNNNNNNNNNNNNNNNNNNNNNNNNNNNNNNNNNNNNNNNNNNNNNNNNNNNNNNNNNNNNNNNNNNNNNNNNNNNNNNNNNNNNNNNNNNNNNNNNNNNNNNNNNNNNNNNNNNNNNNNNNNNNNNNNNNNNNNNNNNNNNNNNNNNNNNNNNNNNNNNNNNNNNNNNNNNNNNNNNNNNNNNNNNNNNNNNNNNNNNNNNNNNNNNNNNNNNNNNNNNNNNNNNNNNNNNNNNNNNNNNNNNNNNNNNNNNNNNNNNNNNNNNNNNNNNNNNNNNNNNNNNNNNNNNNNNNNNNNNNNNNNNNNNNNNNNNNNNNNNNNNNNNNNNNNNNNNNNNNNNNNNNNNNNNNNNNNNNNNNNNNNNNNNNNNNNNNNNNNNNNNNNNNNNNNNNNNNNNNNNNNNNNNNNNNNNNNNNNNNNNNNNNNNNNNNNNNNNNNNNNNNNNNNNNNNNNNNNNNNNNNNNNNNNNNNNNNNNNNNNNNNNNAGAAAGAAAAAAAAGAAAGAAAAGAGAGAGAAAUCCUUCAAAAGGAAUAUCCAACUAGUCUUAUGCCCCACUUGCCCAUGUGUUGCUCAUCCUUCACUUUCCAGUACUUAUAAUGCAGUUGGACAUGUGGAAUGCUACCAAGUUGGACCAGCUGAAAGUCCACAAACCAUGAAAUAAAAUUGAGUAUGCAUGUGUGACAGUAGGGAUGCAAACGGAUCCGGGUUGGUGGAGCUCCUGCCCCGAUCCGCUCCGAAUGGGGCAGUAAACGGGAGGAAAUAAACAGAUUCGGAGGCUGGAAACGGGAUAAAUUUUAUGAUACGAGCGGAUUCGGGGCAGAAAAUGGGAGAAAUUUUGACCCGCCUCGAAUCCGCCCCGCCAUAAUCCGCUCCGAAUCCGCUCCGAAAAUUAUUUAUAUUUUUAAAAAAUAUUCUUAAAAAUAAUAUAUUUACAAAAAAGUUUAAAAUAUAAAUGAGUUAGUGCUCUCAUUUCUAAUGUAUUUGAAACUUUUGAAUUUCGUUUUGAAUUGUGAUUGAUAUUUUUGAUUUUUAUAAUUGAUAUUAUUAAAUUAUAUAUAUAAUAUUAUUAAAAAUUAUUCAUCUAUAUUUUAUAAAAUAUUAAUAAUAUUAUAAUUUUAUAAAAAUAUUAGUUGGCGGGGCGGAUUUGGGGUGCCGGCGGGAGGCGGGUUACCAGGCAGGUUACCAGGCGGGGUGGAUUAUGGGAUAUAUUUUUUAACCCGUCAAGAAUUCGGGGCGGGAGGCGAGGCGAGAUUUUGCUAGUCGGGACGGGAGGUGGGGCGGGGCUCCCACCCCAGAUCCGCCCCGUUUGCAUCCCUAGUUCCACCCCUCUCCUCUACUAGGAGGCCGCAUCAAACAGUGGGAGAGGGUGCACACACCCCUUCCUCCUCAUAUAUGUUUCUUUAUUUAAAAAAAAAGAAAAAGAGAGGAGAAGUCGAGGGGCUACGCGCCUCUUGUUCUCCAAGGGCAAUGGUGACAAUCAUGGUAACUUCCACGACAACGAAGGGUGAUGCAUGCAUAUAAACGAUGUAAAUGUGAUUAUUUUGUCGGUUUGAUCAACACUAUCAUCUUUGCGAUAGGCUCGACCGAUCAAAUCUUGCCUUAUAUUGCUAUUUUCACCAUGCAUAUGUAUCGCUAAUCUCUAUAUUGAGUGGCCAAUUCCGUGUCGUUAGGGUUUGAGAGGGGCACGAAUGAGGAGAGAAAGAAGCAAACGAGCUAGAGAAAGAAAGGAGAGAUCGCGAUAGGCUCGACACAAUCAAAACCCGGUGAUUCAAAUCGAACCCUUCUCAAUGGGUUGAUCGAGCGGCUAUUUCGUGAUAGGCUCGACACGAUCAAACCUGUAUAUUUGGACAAAUAUAAUAAAAUAAAAAAUUAAUAAAUAAUAAAAAUAACAAAAUGAUUUGCUAUAGGCACCAUUCAAAUCAUACGCCAUCUUUGUGAUAGGCUCGGUUCGACUCGAUUGAUUUGCCAUCUUCGUGUUAGGCACCUUUCGAACCAUGCGCCAUCUUCGUAAUAGGCAUAGUUCGACUUGACCAAAUUGCCAACUUCGUGAUAGGGACAUAUUUGAUCGAAUUAUCAUCUUCGUGAUAGGACAUAAUUUGACUUGAUCAAACCUCGUUUGAGGGAUGGGUUGUCUAAGUGAUGCUCUAUGACUAUGAGUGCAAGAUAAAGAUUAACGGUUCAUGAAUUUGGCAUAGAUUUCAAUCCUAAGUGAAACAGAUUGAUUCGAAGAAAACCCAACAUAAAAAAAAAAAAGAAAAAAGAAUGGUUUGGAGUUAACUACUUUGUGGCGAAGCUAAUUAUAAUGAUGAACCAAACCUUAAUGGCCAUUGAGUUAGAUUGCAACCUCAAAGUCGGUCAAUUCUGAGCUGAACCGCAAAAGUUCGUGCCGAGUUGAGCCCAAUUCAGUCUCACCCAAACCGAUUCGGGAUAUUUCUCGGACCUCUGGAUUUUUUGUUCAAUUAAAAAGGAGAUUUUUCUAGACCCUAAAUCCCAUUAAGAUAAACACAAAUGAGCCUAAUCUACAAUUCACGUGUAGGCUCAAUGAACAAAAUCUAGUUUACAAACAAUUAAUUAGUCGUCAUAGAUUCAACUCAUAUUCAGUUCACCAAUAAAACAAAAUCCAAUCCAGCCCAGAACCAGAAUCUAGUACAAAUGCAAGUGCAGGCCCAGUCUACAUACGGCCCUGAAUCCAGCCCGCAUGCAAGUGCAAGCAGAGUCUAUAUAUGAGCCCUGAAUCCAACUCACAAACAAAUGCAGGCCCAAUGUACAUAUGGACCCUGAAUCCAGCCUACAUACAAAUGCAGGCCUACUCUAUAUACGGGCCUAUAAAUUCAACCCACAUGCGAAAGCAGGCCCAGUCUAUAUACGGGCCCAGAACCCAUCCAAUCCAUAUAAGGGCUACAAACACAGCCCACAUGCUAAUACUCAGAAUCAAAUUUGGACCUAACAUUCAAUCGACAUGUAAAUAAAUUCCCUAAUCCUUUACAUGCAAAUUCGGGCCUGAAACCUAUAAAACCCAAAAUCCAUUUCAGUCCAUAAAUAAAAUCUAAAAUCUAUUUCAUUCCAUUAAUAAAACAAAAAUCCACAACAAAACCCAACCCAAUCUAGUCUAUAAAUAAAAUCGAGCUUAUGAAACCAUCAAAGUCCACGAGCAUAAGGCCCAAGGAUACCAAAAUCAUAUCAUCCAAAUGCCCCCAACUCAAACUAAAUUUGCCUAAAUCAAUAUAUACUAGUGUAGAAACCCGCGCGUUGCGGCGGGUAAAAAGCAUUGCAAAUAGUCAAGAUAUUUUCAUACCUAAAAUUAAGGUAGCUGAAGAGAAGUAGGAGAAAAUAGAAAUAGCAACAAAACAAUUUUCUAAAAUUUCAAAGGAAAAUAACAUAUUGUACAUCAAGAAACAAAAUUACCUUUAGCACAUUCGGAAAGAGAACUGCAAAAGUAGUGAAAAUAGCAUCUCCCAAAAUCCAGAAUAAUACAGGGCAUAAAAAAACAAUGGGGCAUUUCUUUUUUAAAUUUCUAAAAUACUCUACUAAAAGUUGUGUACUCUUUGUCUCCUAUGCCGCAUUUGCUUCCCUUUCACACCUCUUAUACAUAUCCAGUUAGCAAAUAUAAAUGCAAUUUUGUUGUCUUAACAAUUAACAUUUAGCUUCUGUAAUGGUGGCAAUAGUUUCAUAUGGAUUAUCUAUUCACAACUAAGAAUUUAUCAAAGUAGAACUUAUUUCUCAACUAAUAGAGAAUCAUUUCAGAGAGAGUUGAUUCAAAUGUAAAAAAAAAUUGUUGAGCAGAAAAACUAUAGCAACUUACCAUAAUAAGCAUUCAAAUAUAUAUACGAAUCAAGCAGUACUAAUGAACAAAAUAAUUUAAAUGAGAUCGAAAAGAAUAAGUUCUACUUCAUUAAUUAUUUAUCCCAAGUGACCACAAUGAUAAAAAUUCGUGAAAAAUUUAAUUGAAGCAACAAUAUAUGAAAGUACUCUCUUUAGCAACUCAUUAAGAUUCACGCAGUGAAAAGAUUACUAAGUACUCUGAACAUCAUUUAGUGUAAGAAUAAAGAGAUCUUGUCAUGUCAAGCUCUCAAUAUGGGAUGGCCCAUCGUAGCCCGGCACCUGAAACCGGCCUUGCCACGUCGUGCAGGCUGUAGCCUUGCAAUGCCUAAAUUGUUGGCUUACUAUGAUUGAAGCUUAACUAAAUGUUAAAGCUAAUAAAAUAAAUCUUUACUUUCCUCAAAUUAAUAUUAAAUAACUGUAGAUGCUUUCUUAAAUUCAAAACCUCAAUUCUUCAAUUAAAAGGCUAACUUAAGAAAAUAGCGGAUCAACACAAUGAUCAAGGUUGGAAAGACUUCAUCCAUCUUUUCCUGCAUAAUAGGGCUCAAAAUAUCUCCUAAAGAAGAAGAAAAACUAUGAUUCUAGUACCAAAUCAUUUUGCUAGGCCUAAGAAAGAGGAAGCAUUCAGUAUCAUAUUUUUACAUCAUCGACAACUUUAUAUCAAAAAAAUAAUCUCAAAAUGGGAAAAAAAAAAAACAAAACCAUUUUUAAAGGAAUAAUAAAAAAAGAUAUCAGAAUCAUCAAUCAAAAUAGUCUUUGUCCCUCCCAUAAAAGAAUUUUAGCAAAUAAGAACCUUUACAUCUAAAUUGAAGAGUGCUGCUAUUUCAAUUACGUGAAACAUAGAGAAACUCAAUAUCGAGAUUCAUAUAGAUCCAAUUCAGAGAAGAUAAUAGAAACACUUAUCUACUUGAUGAGUGUCGUAGCUCCAUCCUAAAAAUAAACAUCGAAUUAAGGCCAUGUAAUAACUUAAGGACCAUCAUGGCAAUAUGUAAUUAUUACUUAUAACCACAUAUAAAAAUGGAUAAAAUUGAUGCGACAAAUUUUUCUUAAUAUCAAAUUUUCUUCCAUGUACUCUUGGAAUCACACAUGAUAAAUUAAAUUUACAAUAGUCAAAUUGCUCGAUCUUCGGCACCUUUUGUAGAGACCGGAAUUUUAGCUGAGGCUGUCGCAGCUCUGGAGAGUGUCGGGAACAAAGUCGGCUGGGUCGGUUGGCCGCGAAGUGGUACAAAACGGCCUUGUGGAACUUGAGAGCAGCGUGUACUGAUAGAAUCUGCGAAAUAAGCAGAAUUUUCAGUGAGCUGUAACGGACAAAUCUUGCGGCUUGUACGGUACAAGUGGAAGCAAAGCGUGGCAAGUUGACUUUUUGGCCAUUUGUCCACAUCAGCCCCCCUUUAAUCCCUUACCUUGGAGCAGAGAGGAGAGAGAGAGGGAGGCUUCUUUCGCUGCUGCUCUGUGUGCUUCUUUCUUCUCUCCUUCUACUUCCCUUUAGCAACUAGAGUGUGUGGAGGGAGCUCAAGAGAAGCUCGAGUUCGUCGACGCCGGGCGCCGCGGAGGCGAGUCAGGCGAGUUUUCGUCGAGGGUGAGCUGCUCGCGACGGAGGGUUGGUCGAGGUGAGUGGCUCCUUGAGAUCGCUUUUUAAUGGCUUGUAAAGCUCUAACGAUUUUCAACUGCAGCUGGCUGCUGCUGAUCUCCAGCGUCGCCCGCAGUAGUUGGACUCGUAUUCCGCCGCAGGAGCAAUCGGAAGUGACGCGAUUUGAUGUUGGAACGAGACUUCGAGAGAUCCAUGGAUCCUUACUCGCCGAAGGAGAAGGUUUGCUCUGUCGAAAUCCUUUUUUUACUGAGUUGUGGCGGCAGACUCUGAAGUGCUGAUUGCUGAUUCCAGCUAUCGACCCGCCGUGUUUUACUUAGUUCUCUGUUUAUAGGAGUGUUCAAAACGCGGACGAAUUUUGGCGGGCUAGAUUUCGCCAAGAACAUGAUUCGAGCGAAGAUUUGCUGAGCCCAAGAUCGCAAUUUUUGGAGCACGUUUUCCCUGUCGAACUAGUUUUAUUAGGCCUGUGUUUGCGCACAGAUUUCAGAGAUGCUGUUUCGCAAGGUAUCCGCGUCGAGUUUCGUAUUCGGCACGUUCUCUGCGUAGGAGCGUCGGAAUUCAGCGAAACCUGGGCCAUUGGAUCCGUGGACUUUCGAGACGAAGCUUCAGAACCCUUGUGCUGAGGUUGAUAAGUUAGUUGGUCGGAUUUAUGCUUUUUUCGCUGCUUUUUCUGGUUGCAGUUUCUGUUUGAGAUGUAUUGAGUGUUACUUCUUGCAGAGGAGAACCGGGGACCUCGACGGCACAGCGAGGGAUCACUUUGGCAUCGGGCCAACUUUCUUCGCUCCAGGAGUUGCUUUGCAGAGGUCGGUUCUCGUUUUUGCUCUAAGUACAUUUGUCGACUUGGUAUGCGCUUCGUUGAACACUAAUGAGGUAGCUCAAAUUCAUGGAAUUAGAUAUUAAAACUGAAUUGGGAGCUAUGCUUAGUGAGUGGUGUAAUUGAUACUUGUUGGACUUGAUUUGACUUAGGAGAACCCGAUGAUCGUCAUUUACAGUACACUGCCGAUUGCUUAGGAAGCCGUGUUGCAUCUGUAUCGUCGUGGGCUUUUGUGCGAUGCGAUACCAGGGAUAGUGUAGCUUGUGUUUACGUGCUCGUGCUGGAGAGAUGCGAGCUAUUACUAGCUGAGUGUAGACUUGUUAGGGGUGUUCAGGGCGCGUCGCGGGCAGCGUGAGGCCCCAAAGUCGGUUUUUGGUUACUUGGGUGUGCGCUGGUUAGGGGCCUGAUUGAGCUCGAAGAUACGUGACUCGGCUGGGUAGCUCCCCGAGUGUCACUCGGAGUUUAGGCUUUGUGCUUUUAGCGUCCGGGUUGAUGGUAAUGCAGGUUGACUGCCUCUUCACUGAUGGUUUAGUUGGGGUAGCUGUGCAGCACAACCGGGCACGGGACGGUAUGUGUUCCAGUCCAGGGACGGGGCGUUCACAGUCCCUUCGGACUGGUCUGGUUGACUUGAGUCGGAUAAGUGUUAGUUUCUGGGCAUGAUAGCAUAGCGACUUGUAGCUGUAGAGAAUUUCCAGCUUCAUUUUCUUCUAUCUUGCUUUACCCUGUAGACUGGAGUGGAUAGACCGAUGUUGUUUAGGCGGCACCACUGAGGACUACUUGCUUUACUAUAGUUCUCACGCCUCUUUCCUCCACCGAUGUUGAGGGCUUCUGUUCGGCGGCUGCUCAAUUCUCGAGGCGGACGCGGGGAAAGGCGUGAUGCGAGUUAGAGCCUACCUCGAGUACAAGUGCUAGAGGACUCCGACUGCAGGUAGUACAGUUUUUUAUCGGACGCUUUUGUACAUACAGUUGAAUUCGCAUGAGGAGCCGAGUUGUCUUGUAUCGGUGGCUGAUGUUAGGUAUAUUAGUUUUGUUAUUUCUACCUGCUGUUUAUUGUUUCAUAUCAGCCUCUAUACUACUGCUUUAAGUAUUUAUGUGUUACAGGUUUCAGCUACGCUUCGUUUACCGGAGAAAUUCGUUUUGUAUCGGCGGAUUUGUCGGUGUGCCGGGGGACUGUGCAGCCGGCGGCGUGACCACCUUUUUUAACCAUGAUAUAGAAACUAAGCUGCCAACAAAAAAUUAUCUAAAAUCUGAAAUUUAAAUAUGCUGAACAGGAAGCUAACAGGAAAAAAUUGAAUGCAAUUCGAAAAAAUAUGUUGCGUUGAACUUAGAUAGUGAAUGAAUUCAAAUGGUGGAAAAAUUGUUUGUGAUUUAGAUGAUCUGUUAUUUAUUGUCAUCUAUGUUAACAACUUUUCUUAGGCAUUCUCUAGAACACCUUUCAUACAAUCUCAGCAUUUUUUUUUUAAUAAAAUAAAAGAUAUAAUAAAUAAAAUAAAUUUUAAAAAAGGAUUAGGAUUUCUUCAGACACUCAAAGCCAUCUCAGCAUCCAUGACGAUGGUAAAUGACAAAAACAAUGGGUAAAUGCCAAGAGAAAUUAGAACAAACCCAACACCACCACGAUUGCAAAUGCUAUGUGUAGAUGAGGAGGCCUUUCUAGGAUUUUCUGCAUUGCACUUCUGCUCCUAAAGUUUGAUAUUUCUCCCACUUUCUCUCGCGUCUCUCUUGCCUCGCGUGGACACCUUUUCUGUUCCAAAGCAAUUAGUUAGGUAAGGGAUAUGAAUUCAUAGAAGAUACACCGCAAAGAAAUUCGCCCAUCCAAAGGCGAGUGGUGAAGAACCCAUCCAUACCAAUCUCAAAACAAGAUUAGGAAAAGGCAGGGAGAAGAGGUCGCGAGCGAGGGAAAUGAGAGAUGUGAAUAGGAAGCGACAAGAGAAGUAGGUAACGGAAAGGGAGAGAGAGAUAUAUGGCGGCGAGAGGAGAGAAGAGACUAACAUAGUGAAACGGAGAGGGAAGAGGGAACGACGCGAAGGAGAGAGCAGAGGAAACGCUCCACAGAGAGAGGAAAGGCGAGGGACUCGGUCGAGGAGGAGGGAACGACGAACGCUCAACUAUCGUGCCAAAAUGGAGAGAGGAAAGGCGUUCAGUUCUUUGGCUCUAGAGAAGGGUCAAUUUAAAGGUAGCGGCUGGUUUGGGUUCGGUUUCAUUCGGUUCACUGAGUGACGGGUGGGACGGGAGUCUUUUUAGUUCGGUUCAUUUAGUGCGGUUUGGUUCGAAAAUAAAGAGGAACACGGCGUUGUUCGGUUUCUUGGUUGAGAAGGUCAGGUUUUUGUUUGAAGAAAAGUCGUUUAGUUCAAAGAGAGGAUGAAGAAGGUGUAUAGGAAACUUGAACGUGGCAAAAAUUAUGGGAUUCAUAUUAGUUUAUAUAUAAAUAUAUAUAUAUCUAUAUAUAAUAGUAUAUAUAUAUAUUAUAUAGCAGGGCUGCGUUGCUUAGGAGUACGGAGGCUCCGUGCUCCCUGAGCCGUUUUCAAGAUGAAAUUUCCAGUCGACGUAUCGGCUCCGUUAAACGAUUGAUCUAAACAUAUUUGAAGUUUCUAGAAAUAAUUUUAUGCGAAGUUUUCGAUAUAUUUACGCUAGAUGAAAGGAUUCAAAAUCCAAUAAUUCUUUAACCUGAAAAUAAAAUCUAUAAAAAGUGGUGAUAUUAGCCACUAAAAUUUUCGAUCAGAAAUAUUUAUCUUUGUUGUAGAUAGUAUAAGAAGUUUUGUAUUAAAUUUCACUAUGAUUGAAAUUCUACACUGUUAAGACUUGAAAAGGCAGAUAUCAACCAUUUAAAUUAUGGUUUUGAAACCUUUCGAUAACUACGUAAAUGAUAUUAAAAAUCGGCAAAAUUAUUGUUUUCUAGAACUUUCAAAUACGCUAGUCAAAUUCUAACGGAGCGAUCGUCGAGUCGAAAAUAUAAGAUUCUUAUCGCGAAAACGGUCAGGAGCACGAGCCUCCGUGCUCCUGAGAGCACGAGCAGCCCUGCUAUAUAUAUUAUAUUAUAUAUAUAUCUAGAGUGACUGGCUACUAUUAGUAGCAAAUCUCCAUUGUUGUACCAAGUUUUUUAAGUCUUUGGAUAAACUCUGUUCAUUAUUUAACAUUGAAUUAGAUUAUUAUUAACCCAUGAGCGAGCCACUAACCCAUAGGCAGGACCACUCACGGUUAACGACUAAUAUCAUCCUGACCCUACAUUUUUCAUUCCAGGGUUUAAAACUUACAGGCACCAGUUCUUGUGCUUUUACAAGCCACCAUUGCUAACUCUAUAUAUAGAUUGAGCUCCUAUGUUUGUAAAAGCUACCAUAGUUAUUGUUGCUGUAGGGCUUUUUAGCAUUGGAAUAGACUAUAUGCGGUUAGAGAUGAUGUGGGCUCCUAGGGUUGAGUGAGUUGGUUGGUGUGAAUAAGAUAUGAAUCUAAUGGCUGAAAAUGACCGAGAAGUAGAUCUAACGGGUAAAAAUUACAAGCACAAGUGGUGGUGUUUUUACAGAGCUAUGCUGGACUAUAUAUAAUAAUUGACUCCUGCUUUUAAAAGUACCAAGUUAUUGGUGCUUUAGUUUUUAGCCGAUUGGAUUAGGAUAUGCGGUAUUUGAAUGUCAGGACUUUACUUUUUCAGAUUAUUAGUAAAUGUUAACUAAAACUAAUAAUGUAUUCAAGUCUUCUUGAUUCACUAAUUCAUCAUUAAGUUGUGCUACAUGUGAGGUUGAGAAUGCCAACAAAGUUCGGACACUCCUUUUUAGUGCUACUCUACCAAACUGGGUGAAGAAGGUGUGUUUCAAAAACAAAAUACAGUGAAUGAAGGAGAUUACUGACAUAGUUGAUGAGCAUCUUGAGCUUGCUUCUUUCCUCGGAGGGGAGCUGUAAUGUUUGAUAUUUGAGAGUUUUUCAAGUAUGUCAAACUUUUUGUUGUUUAAAGUUGAAAUGUUUAAAAGUGCUGAAUUACAGUUGUUUUUGUUUAAUUUUAGCUUUAAGAGCUCUAAUUUUUUUAUUGCUUCUUCCUUUGUUCCUUUACACCUUCUCCGUUUAGGAAUGUAUGCAACGUUACAAUGUGGCACUCUUCUUUUUUUUUUGCAAACUUAUGAGACAUUUUUAGAUUUUUUUAUCAUUAUCUAUCUUCGAGUCAUAAUGAAGAAAAGAUUUUGUUGUAAUACUAUCUGCCCGCCGCAUCGCGCGGGUCACUACACUAUAUUUAUAAAUUGAUAAGCAUGUAAUAAUAUGAAUACAAUACUAUAUAAUAGAAAUAUAUAAUAUUUAUGAAUAAAAAUAUAAAAUAUGUGUAAUAAUUUUUCAUUCUUUUAUAUAUAUAAGGUUCAUGUCUUUCAAUAGACUCAAGAAUCUGUUGUUAAUUAUUCCAUACUUGUAGUGUUAAGGAACCCUAGAUUAAAAGACUAAAUUUAAUGCCGAUGAUAAAAAGAGACUAUAGUAUAAAGAUAAACUUAUAUUGAUAUAAUUUUCAAGUACAUGACUUAAGCAGAGGUAUACUCCCAUUAUAUAUUAAUGGAAUAUGCUCAAUUUAUAGACUUAGCGGUCGUUCAAAAUUGGAUCGCUUAGUUUAACAUCUUGGCAGUCAGAUUUGCUCAGUUUAGCGACUUGGCGGUCAAAUUUACUCAGUAUAGCUACUUGGCAGUCAAAUUUGCUCAGUUUAGCGAAUUGACAGUCAAUUGAUUUAAACUUGACUUGCUCAGUUUAGCGACUUGGUGCUCAAUAAUUUUGAACUUAAUUUGCUCAGUUUAGCGACUUAAUGGUCGAUUACUUUGAACUUGAUUUGCCCAGUUUAGCGACUUGGCGGUCCAUUUGAGUAGAAUUUGAUUUUGAUUUGCCCAAUUUAACGAUUUGGCGGUCAAAUUAGAUUUAAUUCGCCUAGUUUAACGACUUGGCAGUCAAGUUGAGUUGAGCUUCAUUUGCUUUGCUCAGUUUAACGACUUGGCGGUCAGAUCAAAAUGAGUUUGAUUGAUUUGCUCACUUUAACAACUUGGUGGUAAAGUUGAAUUGAGUUUGAAUUUGAUUUACUUAGUUUAGUAACUUGGCGGUUAAAUCAAAAUGAGUUUGAUUGAUUUGUUCAAUUUAACAACUUGGUGGUCAAUCGUUUAGUUUAACGACUUGACGGUCGAUUAAUUCCGGCUCGUGAGCUGAUUAAGUUGACUUAGUCUAUUAAGUUGAAUUAGCUUGGUUUGAAUCGUUGCUCUAUUUUGGUUCAGGCGAAGCUCAUUUACUUAAUUUGGAUCAUUCUGGGUUCAGGUUGAAUUGAUUUUGAUAUCAAGGUAGAGUUGAGCCACUUUAGGCUUGCUUGGUCCUUCACAAUUUGGUUUGGGUCGAUCCACUAUAUUUUGGUUUAGGACCCGUUGAGUUUUGAUUUAGAUCUUGGUUCAAGGCUUUUCAUAUUUGGUCUAUAUGAGUCUAUGACGAGAGCUCAUUAUGGCAGAAGCAAUCUUUGAUUCAUGAAACUGACUUACGAUGAAAUUCCUUUUUUGAAUCAUGAAGUUUCAUGAUAGAACCCCGUUAUGAAAGCCUAUUUUUGGUUUAUAAAAGUAAUUCAUAAUAGAAGCCCGUGAUGAAAGCCCAUAUAUAUAUAUAUACCAAACUAUUAAUGCUAUUAAUUUUUUAACCCUUGGAUUGAGAAAUGUGUGGUUAGGAUGAUGUGGGCCCCCUAGGGUUGAGUGGAUGGUUGGUUGAAUAGUAUAAUCUAACGGGUAAAAAUAAUCAAAAUGGUUAAUCUAACGGUAGAAAACUUGAUAGCACCAAGUGCUUGGUGCUAUCAAUAGCAUAGCAGCCGGACUCUAUAUAUAGAACUAGGCUGGAAUACUAUCAAUAGCACCAAACUAUUGAUACUAUAUAUAUAUAUAUAUAUAUAUAUAUAUAUAGUAUCAAUAGUUUGGUGCUAUUGAUAGUAUUCCAGCCUAGUUCUAUAUAUAGAGUCCGGCUGCUAUGCUAUUGAUAGCACCAAGCACUUGGUGCUAUCAAGUUUUCUACCGUUAGAUUAACCAUUUUGAUUAUUUUUACCCGUUAGAUUAUACUAUUCAACCAACCAUCCACUCAACCCUAGGGGGCCCACAUCAUCCUAACCACACAUUUCUCAAUCCAAGGGUUAAAAAAUUAAUAGCAUUAAUAGUUUGGUAUAUAUAUAUAUAUGGGCUUUCAUCACGGGCUUCUAUUAUGAAUUACUUUUAUAAACCAAAAAUAGGCUUUCAUAACGGGGUUCUAUCAUGAAACUUCAUGAUUCAAAAAAGGAAUUUCAUCGUAAGUCAGUUUCAUGAAUCAAAGAUUGCUUCUGCCAUAAUGAGCUCUCGUCAUAGACUCAUAUAGACCAAAUAUGAAAAGCCUUGAACCAAGAUCUAAAUCAAAACUCAACGGGUCCUAAACCAAAAUAUAGUGGAUCGACCCAAACCAAAUUGUGAAGGACCAAGCAAGCCUAAAGUGGCUCAACUCUACCUUGAUAUCAAAAUCAAUUCAACCUGAACCCAGAAUGAUCCAAAUUAAGUAAACGAGCUUCGCCUGAACCAAAAUAGAGCAACGAUUCAAACCAAGCUAAUUCAACUUAAUAGACUAAGUCAACUUAAUCAGCUCACGAGCCGGAAUUAAUCGACCGUCAAGUCGUUAAACUAAACGAUUGACCACCAAGUUGUUAAAUUGAACAAAUCAAUCAAACUCAUUUUGAUUUAACCGCCAAGUUACUAAACUAAGUAAAUCAAAUUCAAACUCAAUUCAACUUUACCACCAAGUUGUUAAAGUGAGCAAAUCAAUCAAACUCAUUUUGAUCUGACCGCCAAGUCGUUAAACUGAGCAAAGCAAAUGAAGCUCAACUCAACUUGACUGCCAAGUCGUUAAACUAGGCGAAUUAAAUCUAAUUUGACCGCCAAAUCGUUAAAUUGGGCAAAUCAAAAUCAAAUUCUACUCAAAUGGACCGCCAAGUCGCUAAACUGGGCAAAUCAAGUUCAAAGUAAUCGACCAUUAAGUCGCUAAACUGAGCAAAUUAAGUUCAAAAUUAUUGAGCACCAAGUCGCUAAACUGAGCAAGUCAAGUUUAAAUCAAUUGACUGUCAAUUCGCUAAACUGAGCAAAUUUGACUGCCAAGUAGCUAUACUGAGUAAAUUUGACCGCCAAGUCGCUAAACUGAGCAAAUCUGACUGCCAAGAUGUUAAACUAAGCGAUCCAAUUUUGAACGACCGCUAAGUCUAUAAAUUGAGCAUAUUCCAUUAAUAUAUAAUGGGAGUAUACCUCUGCUUAAGUCAUGUACUUGAAAAUUAUAUCAAUAUAAGUUUAUCUUUAUACUAUAGUCUCUUUUUAUCAUCGGCAUUAAAUUUAGUCUUUUAAUCUAGGGUUCCUUAACACUACAAGUAUGGAAUAAUUAACAACAGAUUCUUGAGUCUAUUGAAAGACAUGAACCUUAUAUAUAUAAAAGAAUGAAAAAUUAUUACACAUAUUUUAUAUUUUUAUUCAUAAAUAUUAUAUAUUUCUAUUAUAUAGUAUUGUAUUCAUAUUAUUACAUGCUUAUCAAUUUAUAAAUAUAGUGUAGUGACCCGCGCGAUGCGGCGGGCAGAUAGUAUUACAACAAAAUCUUUUCUUCAUUAUGACUCGAAGAUAGAUAAUGAUAAAAAAAUCUAAAAAUGUCUCAUAAGUUUGCAAAAAAAAAAAGAGAAAAAAAAGUGCCACAUUGUAACAUUGCAUACAUUCCUAAACGGAGAAGGUGUAAAGAAACUCAAUCAACUUACAUAUAAUACGCAAACAAAGGAAGAAGCAAUAAAAAAAAUUAGAGCUCUUAAAGCUAAAAUUAAACGAAAACAAUUGUAAUUCAGCACUUUUAAACAUUUCAACUUUAAACAACAAAAAGUCUGACAUACUUAAAAAACUCUCAAAUAUCAAACAUUACAGCUCCCCUCCGAGGAAAGAAGCAAGCUCAAGAUGCUCAUCAACUAUGUCAGUAAUCUCCUUCUUUAAGUGUAUUUUAUUUUUGAAACACACCUUCUUCACCCAGUUUGGUAGAGUCGCACUAAAAAACUUUGUUGGCAUUCUCAACCUCACAUAUAGCACAACUCGUUAAUGAUGAAUUAGUGAAUCAAGAAGACUUGAAUACAUUAUUAGUUUUAGCUAACACUUACUAAUAAUCUGAAAAAGUAAAGUCCUGACAUUCAAAUAUUGACCCAAAUCAUAAACUUACCACUAAUCAUUAAAAAAAAGAAAAGAAAAGAAAGAGAAAAUAGAGCUUAAAACUGAACCAAACUAAUUAAAAACUUUCAGCAUUUAAAUGUUAAAUUUAAGAGUAGUAUCUUAAUUAUUUUACUAACAACCAUCUCACCGAAAAAUUAAAAACCUAUACGGACAAUUCAUCAAGUAUCUAAUGUGCAAAUCAUGUAACUCUCAAAGAUGUAAGUUAUUUAAAAAUUGUAAAAGCCUUACAAAAAAGCUUGCAAAUUCUGGCGAAAGUUCUUCUUUGUUUAGGCAAAAGUUGUCGAUGGCUGUGAAGAAGGAUAAAAUCCUCAUGCAAAAAUAUGAAACUGUCAAACUCUCUUUAUAUGAGAAAACACCAAAAUUAAGAAACUAAAGCAUAUAAUAUAAUCUGGAGAUUUGACAAAUACAGACUUGGAGGAGCAAAUUGAAUAUUAAUUUGCUCAUCCUAUAUUUAUUCAAAAGUUUGAGUCUAAUAUUUUUUUUUUCUUAUAGAGAUCAAAUAUAAUACAAAGAAUGUCACNACAAAGAAUAUCACAUUAGAACAAAAACUCACUACAUAAACAUUAGUUGAUUCUAUAGAAAAUAUUCUUCACCUAACUGAUUAACAUUUUUGAAGGGGUUUUAGAUAAUGUACACUGGGCCACAAAGCAUAUUUAAGAAAUAGGAAGUAGCUAAAAUACAUGCAUAGGAAAAGUUACAUAAGGUGAAAAAUGAAGUUACCUUUCAGGCUCGCAGAUUAUUUGAUACAUUUUUAUUCGUUAAAUCAUUGGAGAAUUAACUAUGUAUAGCAAAAAAAAACAUAUUUCGUUCAUUACCGUAGAGAAUAAACUAGAAAACUUAUAUAAAUGCAACCAAGCUAGCUAAUGCCCGAGCAACUAUGAAAUAUUAGAAACAACAGAAAUAGAUAUAAAUCAUGCCAUUGUAGAAUAAAAGAAGAUGCAGUUUGCUAAGAUUUGUAUAGAGUCGUAGAAAACAAAAUAGGAAGCUUCUAUAAAUUAGUUGAUGCCUAUACAAUUAUAGAAUCAUUAGAAACAACGGAAUCAGAUACAAAUCAUGCCACCCAAUUAAUAUUAAUGAGAACCGUCAUUAUCGACAAAAUUUCUUAUUUUCAACAUAUAGUUCAAUCAACUCAAUCGCAGAAAUGCACCAUUUUUUAUUUAAACCGGCAGAUGGCUCACACAUAAUAGUUAUCAUGUCACUAACGUAGCUGCGACAAAAGUGAGUCCUCGCCACCCAUUCAAUGGUGAUGAGAAUCCAUCAUCGCAGAAAAAAAUCCUAACAAAACACUAAACGACCAUUGGAUCAUGAAUCAACAGGACAAACAUAAAAUUAUUAACAAACGCCGAAAUUACCAACGGGGGUUAAAUAACCAUACCAGCUCCAUUUGCCAAACUUAAUUGUGCGACAAAACUUUGGACUAUCACAAACAUAAAUAGUUAAUUUACUCGAGAAUGAUCAACAUAUAUCAGCAUCUGCGGCUAUUUUCUCACAUUUCCACCACUCACAAAUAUAGUGUAUAAAAUUUUCUUUUAGGCUAGUCAAACUAAUAUUAUCUUUCUCCACAAUUAUGCUACAAUGAGCCCCACCUUUCAUGAUGUGUGUUUCUAGUGUAUAAAAACAAUUACCAGUUUUUUAGAAGAUUCAACUAAGUGGCAAUUGUAUUUGGGAUAGGUUGGAACGAUUAGUAUAUUAUGCAGGCCCUACAAAGAUAUGCUAUGCAGGCCCUACAGGUUCAUAUCAUACGUUGAAGAUACAUUUUUUUUUUUAACGAUUUGCAACUUAGGAAUGUUAAUCUUUUUCCAAUAUAAUGCUGAAUAUGUUUUCACCAAAAUCUUUAACUUUAGGUGAAAACUAAUUUAUAUAAGAAGGUCAAAGAAAAUAAAAAUUUUAUACAUCACAGACAUUUGAUUUUGAGAGAAAAAUUAGCACUUGCCAUAUUUAAUCCUAACUGGAAACUACAUCUAAGUAUGGAUCCAAUAAUUUCUCUUUUUUUGUGGGUGAGAAGAAACAAUACAACUAAUAUUAGCAAGAAAUCAUCUCAACUUUUCUUUCUUCCAAUCUUUUUUCUUCCGUCCAUCUUUUAAUUAAAAGUUGUUUAACCUAAAAAAUUCCUAACUACAUAGAAGUUAAAGAGAAGGGCUAUCAUCUCAUUAAUCUGCAAAAUAAUAAGAUAAAUCAAUUGCUAUAAGAUAUUAACAAAAUCAACUAAAAAUGAAUCAAAUAAUAAAUUAACAAAGAGAAGAGGAAAAUACCUAAAGCUAAGUAAUUAGAUUGUUUGCUUAGAUAUUUCAUCGCACAUGUGAGCUUCAAUCUAGUUUGGGGCAGUUUAGUCCCUCUCUCCCUCGAUGUCACCGGUCGGAGAAGAAAUUGGCCGAUGUUCCGGAUUCUCUCCGGAUAAAAAAGGGUCAAAGAAAUAAAAUGAAUAGUAAAUCUAAAGAAAAACUCAUAAAGAUGAGCACAUAUGAAAACUAAAAUUACCUUUACAUACUUGGAUUUGGACCUAUUGACUUUGUAUCAUUGGAUUUGAACCGAUAGACAAUCUUCCUGAAGAAAUCGUGGAGUUGGCCAAAGGCAAAUAAGAGCCCAUAGCUGAUGCCGGUGCCGUCCUUGUUGAGGACGCAGAAGGUGUCGCGGACGGGGCGAUCGGCGACGACGACGGCGCCGUAACGCUAGCCCUCACCUCUGUCCUCUCGGGCGGCCCCUACUCUGUCCAUGCCGGCGACACCACCUCCUUUCCCAAUGGCUUUCUUCGCUACACCAAGUAGAACGGCGUCCCCAUCCUCGGCAUCUGCUACGGGAUGGUGUAGAGGAAGGGGGAGGGUUGAGUAGAAGGAAAAAACAAUCCAAAUCAUACUCUACUUGAAAGAUGCCAAAAGGAGGAGAGAGAGGAGAAUCAUUAUUUCUAUUUCUUUCUCUCAUUCUUUUCCUAUUCAGUCGCAACCAAAUCAUAACCAGAAGAAAUGGAGAGAGAGAGAGAGACUCAAAAGAUUGCAUUUUGGGAUAGAAAAACUGUAUAUUAUCUCUUAUUUUCGUCAAAAAACUACAACUCUACUACUAAUUAACUACUAAAUCUAAUAUGUAAUGGUUUUUCCUAUUCAGUAGAUCAAAUCACCACAACCAAAAUCAUUAUAAUCCAAAGAAACGGAGAUCUAUCGAAAGGUGGCGUUACCUUUGGGUCGAACUGCAAGCCCCAGACCUCGGGGGGGGGGGGGGGAUGUCGAGGGAGGCNCGGAAGGGUGGGCGGUGGCGGCGACGACGCCGAGGGCGUGGCCGCGCGAGGGCGGUGCCGCCGCAGCGAGCUCGUCGGGGCACCAGAGCCCCACGUUCUCGUCGAGGGAGCCCGUGAGGAGGAGCGCGGGGCGGGAGUCUGUGGCAGGGACCCACGUCGCCGCCCAGAUCAACUCGUCGUGGGCGUUCUCCACCGAUCUGAGCCCCGCAAGUUUCAUGGCCGCACCCCACCCCCCACGAUCGAGAGAGCUAAGGUUUCGGGGGAGGGGAGAGCUCGAGGGGAUGAAGGGGAUCAAAGGAAAGGGGCGGAGAGGAGAGGAGAGGAGAGAUAGGGGGAGCAACCGGGAUCGAAGCGGCGAAAGGAGUAAUAGCGCCAUCGAAGAGGCGGGGGUAGCAGGGAUCGAAGCGAUGGGGGUAGCAAGGAUCGAACCCUCGAGGGUAGCGGGAUCGAACCGGCAGGGGUAGGAGGUGGGACCCAUGACGGGGCCACGUGUACAAAAUUAAGAAUAGGAUUAAGCGUAAGAUGACAAGUGAAUGACUAAUACGGGGAUUAAUAAAGGAUAUAUAGAUUAUAUGCUUAUCAAUUUAUCAUAUUAUAUAAUUUUUACAUAUUUUAUUCAUAAAAUAUAACUUAUAAUAAUAAUAAUAUAUAGCUUAAUUAUUAAUAUAAAUAAAUAAUAUAUAAAAUAUAUAAUAAAAAGAAUUAUUUUUUUUUGUCAAGCAAACAAGUGGUGCUGAAAUUUUUCUUUUUUUUUUUCUUGCGAGCCAUCGUAAAAAUAUCUUUCCACGAAUUUUUUUUUUCUUUUCUUAUGAACCAAAUACUAAAAAUAUUUUUAAAAAAAUUUCAUAAAAUUUUUUCAUGGAAAAUUUUUUUUCCUAAUUUUAUUUAGAACCAAAGAGCUAGGGUGGAAACGAGCCAAGCUCGAGCGAGCUUACCUAAGCUCAAGCUUGGCUCGAAAUUAAUUUCGAGCCUAAAUUUAGGCUCUAAGCUCGACUUGAAAUUAAUUCGAGCCGAGCUCGAGCGAGCCUAACUUUGAGUCGAGCGAGCUCGAGCCCUAAACGAGCUGCUUGAAAUUCUUAACAUCGUGCAAUCUAUAGUUUAAUUUUUAUAAAAUAUUAUCUAAAAUUUGAUAUAAAAAAUAUCUAAUAGUUUAACAUAUAAAUGUUUGCUUGAAUGAUAUUUAAUAUAAAAAUUAGGGAAACGACUAGUACGGAGGAAGUGAAAAAGGAUGAGAAAGAGAGCAAUUGAAUAGAUUUUGCUGAUGGUUUGGUUUUUUGUCCCAAUAAUUAAAUUUCUAUACUCAUAUAAUUAAUACAUAUAUAUAUUAUUUUAAAUUAAAAUAUAUUAUAUAUUAAUUAUAUAUAGAGGGGUUGUGGCUAUAUACUAUUACUUUUAUGGUAUGCACUCUUUAUACUUUAAGUUUUCGACUUAGUAUAUUUAUUAUCUACAUAUAUUAUUUAUUAUUCUUAGAAUGAUAGUUGGGGGGGGAUUUUUCGGCUGUUUUUUGCUUUUUAUCUACACUAUUAAAAGUGUUUGGAAACUAAUUUCAUAAUUUUUCGACAUUAUUUGGUAGUGAUCAAAGCGUCAAAUUAACAAUUUUAAUGUAGAUGUUGAUGCGUUUGUGAAUUUACAGUGUAAAACAAUCAAUCCGCGUGAAAUUUUUAUAGAAAAUUCUUUUCACUAUUUAGCGUAAUGAUCAGUAUCUCUGAUCUUAAAUUUCAAGUUUUUAUCAUCUAUUUUAUGAGAUUUUUUAUUUUCAAUCGUUCAUUUUUAGAUUACUCGUUUGAUAGGUAAAUAAUGCCAAAAAAUUAUGAAAUUUAGUUUUCAAUACUUUCAUAGUGUAGAUCAAGUUUAACGGAGCCGAUCGUUGAUUUGGAAGUCGUAUUUAAACAACUUGAUAGCACGGAGGCCUCCGUAGCUACCGAUAGUUACCAGCUCUAUAUAUAUUAUAUAUUAUAUAUAAUAUUUAUAUAUAUAUAAUUGAGCUUAAUUCUAGCGAGCCGAGUAAUACUUAGCUUGCUUGAAAUUAAUUUCGAGCCUAAUUUAGAUAGCCGAACACGAGCUGGGUCGGUUCAUUUGCGGCUACAAAGACCCGCCGCCCCCACACCUCGACGGAUAUGAUAUUAUUUUAUAUAUAUAUAUAUAGCUUAAUUCGAGCGAACCAAAUAAUUCUCAAGCUCGACUUGAAAUUAAUUUCGAACCUAAAUUUAGACUCAAGUUUAUUUGAAACUAAUUUGAGCAGAGCCCUACUAAGACCCCCCAUCAACCUAACGAAAGGAUGGGGUAAAAAAAAAAAAAGAAAAACAGGUGGCGAUGCACGUGCAAGUCACGUGAAAGAAUACCCACGAAGAUGAUAAGGCGUACGCCGAUCACUCGCCCCCUUUCCCUCCAUUUGCUCGGACCCCAUCCCCUCUUCCUCGCUCCCCUCCUCCUCCUCCGCUCGAAUGGAGGCCUCGCUCUGCUACUCCCCCUCCUCAAAACACCCUCCUCCUCUGCUCCCUUCCCUCUCCUCCCGAUCCCGAUUCCAAACCCAAACCCUAACCCUAACCCUCCCCAAAUCCCGGCUACCGUCGUCGUCGCCGUCCCGCCGCGCCGCCCCCUCGAUCCGCGCCGCCAUUAGCCGCGCGAAGAAGGAGGCGACGGUGGAGGCGGUGAGGAAGGAGCUGGAGAACUGCUACCUCCUCGCGGGGAUCCGGUACAAGGGGCUGACCGUGAAGCAGCUCCAGGAGCUCCGCGGCGCCCUCCCCGAGUCCGUCAAGCUCCUCGUCGCGAAGAACACCCUGGUGGGCAAGGCCAUCGAGGGCACGCCGUGGGAGGCGCUCAAGCCCUGCAUGAGCGGCAUGAACGCGUGGCUCUUCGUCCACACCGAGGAGAUCCCCGAGGCCCUCAAGCCCUACCGGAGCUUCCAGAAGGAGCGCAAGCUCGACGACAACGACUUCACCGGCGCCGUCUUCGAGGGCCGGUUCUACGCGCCCGACGAGUUCAAGGCGCUCGAGACGAUGCCCAGCCGCGCGGAGGUGUACGCGAAGCUCCUCGGGGCGCUGCAGGGCCCCGCCCUCUCCCUCGUCACCACGCUCCAGGCCCCCGCCAGGGACGUCGUGCUCGUGCUCAAGGCCUACGUCAAGAAGCUCGAGGACGAGGGCGAGGCCGCCGCACUGCAGUAACAGCCCCGUGAAGUUGCCAUUCACGGAUCUUGAAUCAUCAUCUGGAAAUGUGAUUGCAUUAAUUUGAAUUCUUUGAAUGGAGCUUUCGGAAUCAAGCAAAGAGUUACCCACCCAUGAAUUUAACAAUUUAACAAAAAAAUGUUCUUCUUCUGUAAAAUGCUUUAAGAAUUGCACUGCACAAUGGGCUGGCUAUAGGAUGUUGUCUAUUAGAAGAAUUGCACAUGUAUCUUAGUGGUGAUAUCUUCAAAUAAGCCAUGGGAACGGCACAACAAUCAAUCAACUUAAGAAGGCACAAGUAUCGAACUUAUAUGAUAAAUACCCGGACAAAAAAAAAAAAAAAAAAAAUGUCAGCAAACAUUAUCAGUAUUAGAGACCAAUCUGUUUGCAUGGCAAGCCAUAAUAUCUUACCUCUCUUUGAUUAGUAAGUUCAGACUGUAUCUCAAGUUUUCCGAUUUGAAAAAUAUACAAGAAAUUUAUCAGCAUAUUUACGUAUUUAAACAAAAGUUGUAUGAAAGAACUGCAGCAUGCUGCAGGAAUUGUUCUUUGUACGCAUCAACUUCACCAAUCAUUUGCAAUUUCAAGCUGCAAGACGUAAGAAUCCAAUUCAACUCAGAGCAGAUUCAAUAAUAAAACAACCCUUCCUUGAUAAAUAACCAUGUAACUCCGUAACAUCUAUCUACAGUUUUAGAAAUGAACUAAAACUAAGCUCUCUCAGGCGAGAAUAUGGCUGUGUAUAACGUUCUAUCGCAGAUAAACAGUUAAUACUAUGCAUUUACAAGACGAAUAGCAAAACUAGGGAAAAAAUGAAAAAUGAAUCAGCAACCAGUAAUAAACGAAAGACACCCUAAACCUUUUCUAUGGAAGUGGCGAUUUAUGGCCUUGUUUGGCUAUGUUUUAGUUUUUUUUUUGUUUACUUUUAUUUUUUCAAACUCAAAAUCUUCUAUGCAAUUGAAUGCACCAGUGGAUGGACUUCUCUGUUUGUAUUAUUGUUGGUUAGUUUGCCAAUUAAUUUUUAUCUUUUGUUGCUUGAAAAGCCCUAUAAAUGUACAGACUGCAAACAAUCUACCAUCCACUAUAGCACAUUCAAUUGCAUAGAAUUAAGUCUUAAUAAAUAAAUAAAUAAAUAUGUAAGGACAACCAAACAAGGCUCAUUUUUUUCCUUUGUUCUUCAAGCAUCGUCAUCGGCAUCUGCGUUGUUCUGUGGGCCCGGAAGCACAUCCGCAAAAUUCCUUGACACUGAUGGCCUAACAAGCCGACCAUCUGAACUGAACAGAUCGAAGUUAUCACAGGGUGCAGGGAAUAUGGGACCAAUCGCUCGACCCUCGACAAAGCCGCAUCGAAAGAUAUUCUUCUUCUUGUAGGUUAUCCCCACCUUCAUAUCCCAAAAGGUAACAUCCUUAAUGGGGAUUUCUUUACUACCGAACAUCAUAACGGGAAUCCGUACGCCACGUCCGUAGAUCCCUUUGAAGGAUAUAUUCUCCAGGACAGGGAGAUCUUUCGGGUCGAAACCAUCAUCAGGGUGCUCAUUGUAGUCAGUCCUUGCCAUAAUACCGAUGCGGACGUUGUCGAAGGUUAGAUUACGGUAGGAAAUGUUCUGAAUAUAGCCUCCCCUCCCGGGGGCGGUCUUUAUCCUUACGCCUCUCUUUGAGUCCCAGAAACGAACAUUUUCCACUGUGAUAUUUGAAACUCCACCAGACAUCUCACUGCCUAUUGAGAUCCCAGCACUGUUGGGAAAGACAGUUGUUUGAGUUUAAAUACAAUUUUAAGGUAUACAUAUGCUAAAUGUGGUGAAUUGAUCUAUUUAGCAGAAAGUUGCACCAAAUACAUCAAAGAAAGAGCACAUAAAAAGGCAACCAAAACUAAUUAGACAAAACAUCUGAGCAAUAUCUCCUAUCUUCUCAAGGAAGUUUUGCUAGAUAUGCCAGAUAAAUGUUCAUCGAGCUAAAAUCAGCAUCUGUGGUUCCCAAAACAUAAAUAUAAACAACUGACCUCACUUCGGAACGAACUAUUAGAUCACGGAUUAAAAUAUUGGUAGAGGGGCGCCCAUAUGCUAUUCCAUAGUGAUCCCAACCACUCUUUAUAGCUAUUGCAUCAUCGCCAACAGAUAUAUAACAAUUCUCAAUCACCAUAUCCUGACAAGAAUCUGAAAGAACCAUCAUAAAGGAUUAAAAAUCUCAAAAUUCAUUAAAGAUAUAGGAAGAACAAAAAGGAAAAAUGUUUUCUCAAAUUUCUGAAAUCUCUUUGACAUGAAUGGAAGUGUGGAGCUUUACAAUCAACACUAUUAUUUAGUAAAAUAAUGGUAUGAAAAGAUGAAAGGAUGAGAAAUAAAGACAAAAUUAGUUCAGGUUCAAGACAUAAUAAUAGUUGUGUAGCUUCGUAUAUUUAUCAAAGUCAGUUACAUCUCCUACACGAUAAAUUGUACAAACUAUAGUAAAACGACCUGUUUGGAUGUUGGAAUGAGUUAUUCAAUGACUUGUCUUCAAUCCCAAGUAGUCACAAUUUUUCAAAAUAGUGCACUCCACCUACAAGGUGAUAUCAUAUCUUUUAAAUUUGAAAUUGUUUACUUCUUUUUAAUCAAGUUUGAAAUCAUUUUCUAAACAACCAACUGCAAAUGGUCCUUAAGUACCUGGAUCUAUUCCAUCUGUGUUUGGAGCUCCAGAAACCGGAGCCAAGAUGGUGAGAUUUGCGAUAGUUACAUUCUUGCAAUCGUAGGGAUGAAGAGUCCAGAAAGGAGAGUCACGUAGAGUAAUGUUGGAAAUGAUGAUGUUGCUCGACCACAUGAGCUGUACAAGAGGACCCCUUGUGUACCGGAGAAGCUUUUUUUGAAAUUUUGUCCACCAAGCUUGACCUUGUCCAUUUAUUGUACCAUUAUGUCCUGCAGGAGAAAAUGAAGAGAAAAAAAAAUUAGCAUCCUAGAGUAACUACAUAAAAAAGUCAUAGUACCAAAAAAAAAAAAAAAAACAACAACAACAACACUAGGAAGCACUAAUCUGUGGUAUCAAUCAACAGUUUGUUUUAUGAAUUUAUAAAGUUUUGAGAAUCAGAAAAUCAAGUGGCCAGUUUCUUUUGUUCUCUCUCUCUCUCUCUCUCUCUCUCUCUCUAGAUCUNCCCACCCACACAUAUGGAAUGUCAUUAUAGGCAGUUUAUUAUGUAAUGUACAAUCAUUUCAACUUUCUUUCAAAAAAAUAGCUAAAAUCCAGAAAAACCCCUAUAUAAAUAUCUGUUUCUGCACUGUAUGCCCGUAUCUUUUAAAAUCCUCUAUUUUGCCCCCUCAAAAUUUAAAAUUGUAGCACUUAACCUUCUACUGUUACUAUUGCGUUACCAUUCCGUCCAUACAUUAUAUGGUAACAACUGUGUAAUUACUGAUAUACCUAUUUUACCUUUAAAAAUAAUGAGAAAGAGAAAAGUUAAUUAGUAAAUAAUUAGUAAAUAGUGGAAAAUCUAUUUCCUAGCAUUACCUAAAUUGAGGGAAGAUAAAAAGAUACUUAUGCUUCUCCCCCAUUUCUAAUAGUAUUAUGGGUAUCUAGUAAGUUAUGCGAUUGUACCACAUAAUUUAUGCAUAAAAUAGUGAUAGAAUAGUAGCAUAUUAGGUUUAAGUGCUAUAAGAUGACAAAAUAUAAAUUUUUAAAAGACAGGAGGGUGAAGUGCAAAAGCAGAUAUUUAUAGGGAGUUUUCUACAUUUUAGCCAAAAAAAAUUAUUUCACUUACAAAUGAGGAUACUGCUGGGGAUAGAACAUAUACUGAAGAUGAAAACCUACUUCUCCACUCUUCUUUUAAUUGAUGGAAGAGCAGAACUACUUAAAGCUACAUGAAUCCCCCAAUAUGUUAAAUCAAAACGACCGUCCCUAGAGCAAGUGGCAAAGGGCUUGGUAGUUGGUACCCGAGGUCCCAAGUUUGAAUCCUAAUUGAUUCACAUUUUCAGCUAAGUUUAUUUCUAAAUGAAAUAAAACGAAGCGGGUAGCGUGCUACCUAUCUCUCUCAAAAAAAAAAAAAAACAUUCAAAAGGAACAAUACACAAAUAGCUUUGAAAUGGCAAGCGCCUAAUCAUAUUUCAAGUGAUUUGUUUUUCUAUAAUAAUUUAGUACAAACAUAUUUGAGUUCAUAAAUGCUCAUCCUUCACAGAGUGGCAAAGAAGUAGAAACUCGUUUGCUUUACAAUGAUUUCCUCCAGAAAAAGCCAGAGGAGUUGCAUGUAGUGAAAAACUCACAUAGCUCAUUAUGCUGAGUAAAGAUUGCUAUGGAUAUUUGUUAAGGUACCCAUUCUGCAGGAACCAAAGAAAAAUUCUUAAAAUAGAAAGUAUGCACUAAGUUUUGACCUAACAAAAAUUUAGAACUUUAAGGGCAAGUUUGGUUCACCUAUUUUAAACUAUGGAAUCAGAAUGCGAUUCAUUGAUUCUGAUAGUUGUUUUUUGUUCUAUAGGAAUCCAAUUCCGAUUCCAAUUCCACUCUGGAAUGGUAAUGGCCAAAUCCAUUUAUAGCCCAUCCGGCUUUGAAUCCCGGAUUGGCUCAUUCCAAAAUAAACUAUUCAAAAUCCUCUUUCAUCAACAACUCCCCCCCCUUUUCAUCACUUUCCUCUCUCCUAAUUAAAACCCUCUCUCAGAAUUUCUAGAUUUCCACUCCAAUUUCUAUUCCAAUAAUGAACCAAACAUUUUUGGAUGAUUCGUCAUUCUAUUUACCAUUCCAAAGCAAUUCAAUUCCAAUUCCCAAUCCUAUUCCAAUCAUGAACCAAACAUGCCCUAAUAAGAGUAUUUCUAAGAGGUAGGUCCUUACACAACAUUCCUGUUUUCACGAAGGUGGUAACUAUACAAAUUUUAAAACUCUUUUGAAUCAUUGAAUGUAAACAGAAAUGUUAUGAGUAUUGGCCAUGUGUAUAAUGUAAAGACACAAUACGAAGGUCAAGUGAAGAAAGAACCUACAAUAUGACUCCGACAAGCAACAAGGACAUAUAUUAGCGAAUCAUGCUUGUUCUUUUAAAGGAUAACACUUUCAAAGGUGGACUGUUAAUUUACGUGACUAGCCCAGAAGAAAUGCAUUUACAAGGUUUUCUUUAGUUGAAACAAAACAAACAGUUAGCCACAGUAUAAUUAACAUUUUAAAAUAUCAAGGAUAAAACAUUGUUAAGAAAUUGGAGUGACAAUUCAAGCCAAAUUAAUUGAUCGACUUGAGCUAGAAGAAACCGCAUUAGUUAGAAAGCUUAGAAUUUUUUUUUCCCCUGUACUACCAUGUUCUAUUUAAAAAAUUCUGUAAUUGUUUGUUUAACUUCACAUCAAUUAGUUUGUCUUGGUUUUGAAUCAUGUUGACAAAAUGGAUCAGAUUUGGCUUUGCCAGUUUGAAUUCAUUGGUUAGGUUACAGAAGAUAACAUAAAUUCAUAUGAAGACAAAGUUUCAGAAGAUAAACAUAAAUUCAUGGCAUUGACCUGUUAUAACCACAUCCGUCAAAUGCUGACCAUGAAUAAGGCUUCCGUAUCGAGGUCCUUUUUGUUCCCUUCCAUGACCAUAUGAUGGCAAUGGAGGCAUCAACGGCCAAUAAUCCACAUUCUGUAAUUUAAUUGACAUAGAAAAGAUUGUUAGUUUGCUUUGGAUUUGUCACAUACAGAAAAAAUAGGCAUCAAAAGGAGCAGAAUAGUUUUCAGGAAGACACAGUUGCAUUGAUGAUAUGCAAAAUUCAAAUAAGUAAACUCUGCUUGUUCUGAAUUUUCUUUUUUUGCAGAUAGAAUAUUCGGCCCUGUAGACAGUAAUGUAAUUAACUAAAUUUCAAUUUUAUUUUAAACUUAUUCAUGUAUCACAAAACUCAGGCCUGCAACUUUGGAAUUACUGAGCAUGCAUAUUCCCGUGGAAAUAUGCUAGAUUAUAGAAUACCAAAGAAAACUGGAUAAGAGGUUAAUUAAAAUAGGUAGAUUGUGACAUGGUAAGCUUCGAAAAAGCCACAGUAUAUUUUAAUUUUUUAAAUCUUCCGAAGUUUACAAUAAGAUCAAAGUUCAUUUUCCUUAUAAAUAUAUUACAAACUACUAAACCAGCAUAUACAAAGAAAUUUUUACCAAUACCAAUAUUUUUCAAUUGGGAAAGAAUUAACUUUCACCUGUAUCCCAAGAAUUUCGGCACCCUCAGCAAGGAACAGAGUCAUAUGGCUCGUGAGAUUGAAGGGCGAGGUGAGCCACUGCCCGGGCGGCACAUUGAGCUGCCCUCCACCCACCCGCUCGAGCUCUGCAAUCGCCCUCACGGCGCGCUCGAACGCCUCUGUAUUCAGCGUCCUCCCAUCGCCGACGCCUCCGAAGUCCGUCAAAUUGUACGCCACCGGCCUCAACAACGGUAUCGGCGUCGCAAGCGGCGGCGCGCUCUCGAAAACCCUAAACCCGGAGAAAGACCCGAUCUGCCACGCGAAAAGCGACACGAACAGCACCACCCAAAGCGCCAUGAGCAAGGUCCCGGUCCCUAGGGAGGAGAGGUGCAGGCGAAUCCACCAUCGUCGUUGAUGGUGGUUUCCCAGGUACCUUCCCAUGGAGGAGGAGGAGGAGGAGGAGGAGGAGGAGGAGGGGACCUCCCCCAUUAUUAUUGAACUAUAAGGCGAUCGAUCGAUCGAUCUCGCGCUUUACGUUUGCGAAACCACGGAGAGGGGAAUUCGACCACGUUGGAGAGAAGAGAAGGAGAUUGGGGGAUCGGACGAGAGGAUUAGGGUUUGGGGAGGUAGGGUUUUGGCCAUGGGAAGAGGAGAUUCGGCUUUUUAAAAAAGGGCGGGGACGGGCGUGGAUUUGUUGAGAGAUAUUGAGAUUCAUAUAUUAAUAUUCUAGUUUAAGUAGGAGCCGAAGAGUAGAUUUACGAAAAUACCCCCGCUGGGGAUUUUCUCACAUCAAUCCGCUUUAUCUGGUAUUUAUUCGCCUGCGCGUUGUGGCCUUACGAUUGUAAUCCAACGGUUCAAAUCGACUCCGUUUAAUAUAUUACGGGAGAGGGGUUAUCUCUAGAAAUUGAUUUAUCUUAUGCAUGAUCCAUAGAUUAGAAUUUUACCAAAUCAGAAGUAAAUCUUAAUAUUAUCUGUAACUAGAUUUUCACCCGUGCGAUGCACGGCUAAUAUAAUAAUAUAGAAUAUUAAAAAUUAUUAUGUGAUGAUAACAAAAAGAUUUUCUAAUUAAUUUUAUAUUUUUUAACAAAUAAAAAAAUAUACUAUCAAUCUUAAUUAUAAUACAUAAUACAUAUUAAAGUACACAAGAGAAAAAAAAAAUUUGGACCAAAGUAAAUAUUCAACUAAGAUGCAAAAUUCAAUCCUCCUGUAUUAUCUAUGAAUUGGUAUUCAAAAUAAUUUACAUUUACAUAUUGAUGUGCGAAAUAAAAUGAUAACUAAAAUUGAUAUGAAAAAUUAUAAAUGACAUUAAUAUUUAAGCAUAUAAUGAGAUCAACUAAACUUUCAUAUUUGACACAAAUUAGAGUAAGCACACAUAUAUUAUGUUUCUACUGUCGCUUUUAAGAUUNGCGUACUUCGCAAUCAAUAAUUUUAAAUAAUUAAUUAAACCAAUAAUUUCAAAUAAUUCGUAACUAAAUAUUCAUAUUUGAGUUUGACACGUGGCAAGUAUAUAGAAAGCCACGUGUCAGCUUCUCACAUAGGGUUCAUUAAGGGUUCUACUUUUAAGCGAAGAAAAUUACAGGAGUUAUGUGAGUUUUAAAUUUUUUCCUCUUUCCAAAAAUGCCUCUAUCCUUUUUUACUAAUAUUUUUAUGUCCAAAAAUUUUCAACCGAUCAUUUUAAAUAAUUAACUAAGUAAUAAUUUAUUUCCAAAUAAAGAUAAAUAUUUUGCUUCUCAUUCUCAACAGAUUAUUGCGUACUUCGCAAUCAAUAAUUUUAAAUAAUUAAUUAAACCAAUAAUUUCAAAUAAUUCGUAACUAAAUAUUCAUAUUUGAGUUUGACACGUGGCAAGUAUAUAGAAAGCCACGUGUCAGCUUCUCACAUAGGGUUCAUUAAGGGUUCUACUUUUAAGCGAAGAAAAUUACAGGAGUUAUGUGAGUUUUAAAUUUUUUCCUCUUUCCAAAAAUGCCUCUAUCCUUUUUUACUAAUAUUUUUAUGUCCAAAAAUUUUCAACCGAUCAUUUUAAAUAAUUAACUAAGUAAUAAUUUAUUUCCAAAUAAAGAUAAAUAUUUUGCUUCUCAUUCUCAACAGAUUAUUGCGUACUUCGCAAUCAAUAAUUUUAAAUAAUUAAUUAAACCAAUAAUUUCAAAUAAUUCGUAACUAAAUAUUCAUAUUUGAGUUUGACACGUGAUAAUUUUAAAUAAUUAAUUAAACCAAUAAUUUCAAAUAAUUCGUAACUAAAUAUUCAUAUUUGAGUUUGACACGUGGCAAGUAUAUAGAAAGCCACGUGUCAGCUUCUCACAUAGGGUUCAUUAAGGGUUCUACUUUUAUAUAUAGUAAUAGAUAGAUAUUCCAAACCAUAUUAUAUGGAAUAUAUGUAUUACAUCUAUUUAGUAUAAGCCAUCUCUUUAAAAUGCUGUUAUAAUUAAAGGAUUAUAUUAUAUAUAGGGAAAACUUCAAAAAACCCCUCUAUGGUUUCACACUUUUUCAUUUUAGUACUCUGUGGUUUAACGUGUAUUAAGUUAGUACCCUGUGGUUUCUCACUUUAUCACUUUAGUACCAUGUGGUUUAAAGUGUAUCAAGUUAGUACCCUGUGAUUUUGCAGUUUAUCACUUUAGUACCAUGUGGUUUCACAUUUUAUCACUUUAGUACCCUAUAGUUUAAAAAACCACAGGGUAUUAAUUUGAUACAAAAUCAAAACCACAUGGUACUAAAGUGAUAAAAUGCAAAACCACAUGGUACUAACUUGAUACACUUUAAACCACAGAGUACUAAAGUGAUAAAGUGAGAAACCACAAGAUACUAACUUGAUACAUUUUAAACCACAUGGUACUAAAGUAAAAAAAAUUGAAACCACAAGGGGGUUAAAAUUGAAACAACAGGGUACAUUUUAAACCACAGGUUACAUAUAUUUAGUAUAAGCCAUCUCUUUAAAAUGCUGUUAUAAUUAAAGGAUUAUAUUAUAGAUAUUUAUAAGAAUAUCUAUAAGUCAUCUGUUUAAAAUGCUGUUAUAAUUAAAGAAUUAUAUAUACGAGUGAAGGCCCGCGCUUCGCGGCAGAAAAUUUACAAAAAAAAAUCAAAAUAAAUAAUUAAAUAUUUAAAUUUUAAAAUGUUUUAUUAUUCAAAAAUUAAAUUUAAAUUUAGAAUAUAAAAUGUUGAAGCUUAAAAUUUAAAUUUUAAUAUAUCAAAUUGAAAUUUCAAUAUUUAGAAUUUAAUAUUUAGAUUUUAAAAUUCAAUUUAUAAUUUAAUAUAUAUUUAAAAUAUUGAAAUUUUAAAUUUUAAAUUUAGAACUUAAAAUUUAAAAUAUUUAUAUUUUAUCUUAAUUACUAAUUAAUAUAUAUAUAUAGAACUAGGCUACUAUACUAUCGGUAGCACGGAGCGCCCCGUGCUACCAAGUUGUUUUCGAUGAUGCGGCUUCCAAAUCGACGAUCGGCUNNNUAUAUAUAUAUAUAUAUAUUAUUUAUAAAUAUAUAUAUUUAGUAUAUAUAUUUUUAUAAUUCUAUCUCUCUCUCUCUCUAUAUAUAUAUAUAUAAAUUUGAAUAGAAAACUUUAAUUGUUGUAUUUAAAUUUAAAGUUUAAAUUUAAUUUUUUAUUUUUUUGUAUGUGAAUCACAAUACUAAAGAAAAAUUUGGGAAAGGAAAAAAAGAAGAGAGAGAGAGAGAAUAUAUAUUCUAUCUCUCUCUCUCUAUAUAUGUAUAUUAUUCUAUUUAUAUAUAUAUAUAUAUAUAUAAAUUUAAAUAGAAAAUUUUAAUUGGGGGAUNUAUAAAUGACAUUAAUAUUUAAGCAUAUAAUGAGAUCAACUAAACUUUCAUAUUUGACCCAAAUUAGAGUAAGCACACAUAUAUUAUGUUCCUACUGUCGCUUUAAGAUUCAAAAAUAUAUAGAUGUUGGUUUUCAAGAAAAUAUAAAGAAAAAAAAUUUUGUUGUAUGAAAAUGAAAAAUUACAUGAGUGACAGAAGGAAAAAAAUUACGAAAUGAAAAUUAUAGAAGUGACAGUAGGAAAAUAAUAUGUUCUAUUUUAAAGCAUCAAUAUUUAAGAGCGAAGAAAAUUACAGGAGUUAUGUGAGUUUUAAAUUUUUUUCUCUUUCCAAAAAUGCCUCUAUCCUUUUUUACUAAUAUUUUUAUGUCCAAAAAUUUUCAACCGAUCAUUUUAAAUAAUUAACUAAGUAAUAAUUUAUUUCCAAAUAAAGAUAAAUAUUUUGCUUCUCAUUCUCAACAGAUUAUUGCGUACUUCGCAAUCAAUAAUUUUAAAUAAUUAAUUAAACCAAUAAUUUUAAAUAAUUCGUAACUAAAUAUUCAUAUUUGAGUUUGACACGUGGCAAGUAUAUAGAAAGCCACGUGUCAGCUUCUCACAUAGGGUUCAUUAAGGGUUCUACUUUUAUAUAUAGUAAUAGAUAGAUAUUCCAAACCAUAUUAUAUGGAAUAUAUGUAUUACAUCUAUUUAGUAUAAGCCAUCUCUUUAAAAUGCUGUUAUAAUUAAAGGAUUAUAUUAUAUAUAGGGAAAACUUCAAAAAACCCCUCUAUGGUUUCACACUUUUUUCAUUUUAGUACUCUGUGGUUUAAAGUGUAUUAAGUUAGUACCCUGUGGUUUCUCACUUUAUCACUUUAGUACCAUGUGGUUUAAAGUGUAUCAAGUUAGUACCCUGUGAUUUUGCAGUUUAUCACUUUAGUACCCUGUGGUUUCACAUUUUAUCACUUUAGUACCCUAUAGUUUAAAAAACCACAGGGUAUUAAUUUGAUACAAAAUCAAAACCACAUGGUACUAAAGUGAUAAAAUGCAAAACCACAUGGUACUAACUUGAUACACUUUAAACCACAGAGUACUAAAGUGAUAAAGUGAGAAACCACAAGAUACUAACUUGAUACAUUUUAAACCACAGGGUACUAAAGUGAAAAAAAUUNNNNNNNNNNNNNNNNNNNNNNNNNNNNNNNNNNNNNNNNNNNNNNNNNNNNNNNNNNNNNNNNNNNNNNNNNNNNNNNNNNNNNNNNNNNNNNNNNNNNNNNNNNNNNNNNNNNNNNNNNNNNNNNNNNNNNNNNNNNNNNNNNNNNNNNNNNNNNNNNNNNNNNNNNNNNNNNNNNNNNNNNNNNNNNNNNNNNNNNNNNNNNNNNNNNNNNNNNNNNNNNNNNNNNNUUGCUGGCCGCAGCGCAGCGGGCGGCGCACGGACGCGGCGUCGGCGGGGAGGGUUGCCGAGCACAGGGCCACGCCGGUGGAAGGCCAUGUAGCCUCGGCCUGGGCUCCAACCGAGAGAAGGAGAUAGAGGGGAGGAGGGAAGUGAGGAACCCUUUUCUGGCCGACGGCGCGGUCUGCGGUGGCCGGGGUGGCAAGCACCGUGUUCUCAGGGGGGCCUCCUAGGCGGCUGGGUGCACAGGGAGGGCAAGGGGUUGGAGGAUUAGGGUUUAGGUCCAUUGUGACCCCUAGUCCAAAUAAUAAACACAUGUGCAUUUUGCACUUUAGCCCCACCGUAGUCUAAUAUUUUCGACCAAGUUCCUGGUCCCCAAGUAAAAUACGCGCGUAUGGACCCUUCAAAUUGAUUCGGAAUCUCGCAAAACGGCGCAUAAAAAUAUUUGGGACUUUCCGCGCGAUUUAUUGAUUUUUGCCCAAAUGACCUCUCCGCAGGACUUUUCACGUAUUCCGACGAUCCGUCCGUUGGAUUGCCGAACGGGAUUGCUCCAGCGCGUUCAGCACGUCGGGGCACGAAUCUAGCAUUUCGUUUCGUCCGAUUUGAUCUCCCGGAUUCACGGCUCGAAACCUAUCCGCUCUCAAAUUAAUCCGUUAUAAUCGCACAUAUACCAAGGUAUAAACCCUAAAACCUUUAACUCGAAUUCAAAUUUUUGGGCUUCCUACACCAGUAGGUACUAGAAGCGUCCCUCCACUCAACUCUAGGCUCACAGCACAGAGUACAGAGGAGCUUAAACUGCACGAAUUUAGCAAAGGAGCGGAAAACCCCCAUUUCGAUAAAAUCCCUUUCUCGAAAACCGUGCAUCGGAUCUGAAAUCCGUCAAUGCCAAUGGUUCCAAGAAUAACUGAAUCCUUUGAAAAAACGAGCUAUGGGACUGCCUAUGAACGGAGUCCGAUACCGCACCAGAAAGCCAACUUCUACUCCGUGGCUUCUCCGGAAAACCGUUUAGGUUACUAUUCACUUAAGGUGAAAACUACAUAUUGCGUAACUUUUCCGUUUUAAGCUCAUUUUUUCCGAAACUUUGACGAGUGCUUAUUGUAAUUAAAAAUUACACACAUAAACAUCGUCAACAAAGAGGUUUAGUUGCCAACCGUAAAAAAUCUCAGUCCUUUACAAAUUUUACAAAAAAAAAAUUCAAAAUAAAUAAUUAAAUAUUUAAUUUUAAAUUUUUAUUAUCAAAAUUAAAUUAAAUUUAGAAUAUAAAAUGUUGAAGCUUAAAAUUUAAUUUUAAUAUUCAAAUUGAAAUUUCAAUAUUUAGAAUUUAAUAUUUAGAUUUUUUAAAAUUCAAUUUAUAAUUUAAUAUAUAUUUAAAUAUGAAAUUAAUUUUUAAAUUUAGAACUUAAAAUUUAAAAUAUUAUAUUUAUCUUAAUUACUAAUUUUAAGUAUAUAGUUUUCUGUCGUUAGAUCUACCCUUUUUGAUCAUUUUCACCCGUUAGAUCAUACCAUUCAACCAACCACCCACUCAAACCCUUGGGGCCCACAUCAUACUAACGCACAUCUCUUUAAUCCAAAUGACCAAAAACUGUAGCACCAAUGACUUGGGCUAUUAAUAGUAAAUUUAGCCUGAGUGUCUAUAUAUAUAUAUAUAUAUAAUUCUCUCUCUCUAUCUCUCUCUUAACAUAUAUUAUAUAUAUAUAUUAUUUAUAAAUAUAUAUGUUAUUAUUAUAUUUUUUAUAAUUCUAUUCUCUCUCUCUCUCUCGUAUAUAUAGUAUGUAUAUAAAUUGGAAUAGAAAACUUUAAUUGUUGUAUUUAAAUUUAAAGGUUUAAAUUAAUUUGUAUUUUUUUUGUAUGUGAAUCACCAAUACUAAAGAAAAAAUUUGGGAAAGGAAAAAAAGAAGAGAGAGAAGAGAGAGAAGUAUAUAUUUCUAUCUCUCUCUCUCGUAUAUAUAUGUACUAUUAUCUAUUAUAUAGUAUAUAUAUAUUAUAUAAAUUUAAAUUAGAAAAUUUUAAUUGGGGAUGUCUCGAACACCUUGCGGCGACGUUCGGGGAGGAGGCGGCAUCGCGCGUAGAGGGAGAUGAGGUGGUUGCAGAAGGGGGGAGACCCAGGGCGGGAACGCGUAGUCGCGCCGGUGGAUCCUCCGGUACAUGAGCGGAAUGUUGGCGUCGUCGAAGGGGAGCCGUCCCGCGAGGAAAACGAAGAGGAUGACCCCACACGACCACGCUUCGGCGCGCGCCCCGUCGUACCCGUAGCAUUAGAAGUGAAACCCAGAAAUUUACUACAUGCUUGAAAAAGCCUAGAAGUGUACGAUUCACUUCAUUCUACAAUUUGAUACUCAGAUAAAUAAUCCAGGGGACUAACACAAAUAAAGGGGAAUAAAAACUCAUUUUUAAGUUAACUUCUUUCGCUGCACACUAAUAAAUUCUACCAACACAGUCCAAAUCUCACAUAAUUUACUUUGGAAAAGCAACUCAGUUUUCACAAAAUGAGCACUGAUUACUAUCUUGCAUCCAAAGAGCAUCUCAAAAGAAAUAUUAAAAAAAAAAAAAUGAAGCUGAGAGAGAGGAUGAAAUGCCGAAGAAAAAAUAUAUGUUUGUACAAUUAAAACAAACUAAUCCUAUGGGCCCUUCCAAUAAAUAAAUGAAAUUAAAGCUCCUAUGGCGUCUAACCAACUCAAGAGAAAGUCUCGGAGCCAUUAAUAAAGAGUACCGCGUAGGCCGGGGUCCCGCACGCCGUGCGUAGGCGCCUGUCGCGGCCGCGUUGCUCCGCGAGCGCGGCGAGCCCGAAGUCGGAGAGCUUGAGCACGCCGUCGCGGGCGAGGAGCAGGUUCUGCGGCUUGACGUCGCGGUGCGGCACGCCGCGCGCGUGGCAGUAGCGCAGCGCGACGACGAUCUGCAGCAGGUCUAAUUUAUUUAAUAUAUAUAUUUUUUAUUUUUUAAUAUAUCUAUAUAAAAAUAAAAUAGUAUAUAAUAGAUAAAUAUAUAUAUAUAUAUAUACUUACUCUUAUGAAAUAACGAUUUAAUAAUAUAUUACGAUACAUAUAAAAAUAUACAUAAAUAAUAUAUUUAAAAUAAUUAUAUAUAUAUUAUAUACAAUAAAAAUUAUAUGUCACGGGGCACUUGCCCAGUGACCCCAUUGCAACCACCACCGCGUCGUCCACCCGAACCACGCCCAUACUUGUCCAGGCUCGCCGUGCUCGCGUCCGCGGCAUUGAUAUGCGCCCCCAAGACACCAAUAUCCGUUCCCUCCUCAGCCUGACAGCUACCUGCCACACAUCACUCACUAAAACGGAACAUCCCUAAUAUGGACAAUAGCCGCGCCGUGCCAGCGCGUCGCAGCCGCGCCGCUCCCACAUUCGCCGGCGCCACGCCUAUGCUCACCUGACUACUGCGCGCCACAACUGGACUCCCACCCUGCUCCCGCAAAGCCAACGUGCGACUACCCCGCAAGCAUCUGCGCCGUGCCCCAGCGGCACCCGCGCCUCCGCAUCUUCGCUUGCUAGGCGCUCUGCCUCUCUCGCGAACACGUGACUAGUAAGAUCUUGGAGUGACAUCGCAUUACUCAGCAGCCGCACACGUCGGUGCGAGAGCCCCGCAUUGCCGAACCGCUCACGAGCCACGCGCGGCCAUCGCACCUCUGCCCAUCUUCCCCCGCUGCCCGCCUCCCCCGGCCGCCUGACGUUUCGCCGCUCCCGCUGCUGCCGCGCCCGCUGCCCUCUACCUCCCACGCGCUUCGCUACAAACACGCUGGGAGAAGGAGAGAGAGAGAAGGGAUGUUAAGAUUCUCGGUUGGCGAAUUAUACGUAAAAGUUAGUUGAGCUUGAAAAGAUAUUGAAAGUGAAAAAAAAUUCAAAUGAAGAACUAAGACUCUUCGAAACUCGACACCUAAGAUAAGAGAAAUCAUUUGUUAAUAAUCUAAUUACACAAUUCCAAGGCUUAAAUGUUAAACAAUCUACUGAACUUUCUGUUCUGGGACGUUCUCAGAUUAAGAGACGGUCCCCUAAUGCUCACUGCGGAAACCUGCAUGCACGGCUCCCCUGUGAUGAGAGACCGGUUCCGAACCUUGGUAUUCUGUGCGCGCACAGGCCCGGUCUAAGCUUGAAGAGACGUUACCGAACGUAUUGACUUUAGUCAGCAGCGAUGACCCGUUCCUCAUUAGAACAGGUCUCUCAAGAAACGUGUCCUCGAUAAGCACGUCUCUGAAACAACAUUUUUAAAACGAGUUUUGCAUCUAUUCUACUUCUAAGCUUCUAACAUAUAAUAAGCUAAUUGGUCAUCUAAAAGUUCCAGGCUUUAACUAUUUAUCGAUCAACCCUAAGAAACUUAAUUUCUCAGCGUUUAAUUUUGAUUCACAUAACGAGUUUCCAAACAUCAACAAUGUUCUUGAUUUCUCGUGUUUUUACCUCGAUGUAACCAUACAGAAUAGUAGAUGUUUGAUUAAGGAUGAACCCACCAUAGCUUAGGUAUAAAAAGUAAAUCAUCACAAAUCUUGAUUUCCAUCAAGUCCGGAACGAGGUUCCCCGAGACCCGCCGCUCGUUUUUUUUUUGAAAUACACCUGAAGCCAGGAUUAGAUGACGCUUCGAGGAUUAGCGCUUGACCCUGGAGAUUUGCGCAUGGUUCGAGUUGGGAUUUAUAUCGAUAGCAGACCACGAGAGAUCGUAAAUCAUACGGAAAUCGUAAAUUGAUCGUAGGUUUUGGGUCAAUAUCACUUGUCCUCAUGUUUCUAUAGUGAUUUCUUCGUGAUUGUCUCCGUGUUCAAUACUCUGUUUGGAGUUUCCCAUGUUAAAAUCUCGGUGUGAUAUGUGUUUUCUUUUCUUCCCAUUUGUUUAUUCCGCAUCGAGUUUUUGAUUUGCCGUUUUUACCCUAUUCAGAUCCCCUCUAGUGUUACUAUAACUUUAGGAUCCUACGAUCAUCUCUACAUAGUGGUAUCAGAGGGUAUAGAUUGAUACAUGGCUGAGGCGUAACAUCAAUUCGACCCUCUCUCCUCGAUGGCACUAAUUACGCUUUAUUUGGAAAGAUCCUUAGAGGGCGUUUCUAUUCUAUACGAGACUUUGGCAAGCAUUGAAUUCGGAUGAAAAAAUCCUACGAAGUUGCGAGAAUGUUACCCGUUAGGCUGCGAACAUAAAACUAAAAUUACAAAGAGAAUAAACAUCUUCGUUCACCCGGAAAAGUAUCAAUGAAUUAUCAUGCUUUAAACCAAACAUGAUGAAUUUUCUUACGUCUCGGCGUGCAAACCGCAAAGAAUUGGCGACACUUUGCGAGUUACAACACGAGGUACAAGCAACAAGAAUCGGUUGAAUUUAGAAGUCGAGGUGGUGAAAACAUACGAACAUAACUUAUACCUUUUGUACUGAAUGCGGACAGACCAAUAUGCGUUUAAUGUUGGAUUUUUUGCCGUUAUCAGGCUACCCUAGAAUACACUGAAAGCAGUUAAAAGAUCAUUCGUAUGUUUAAAGGAACAACCCGAGUAGGCCUUGUACCUAUGGACAUCUCUUGAUUAAUCGCUACAUCCGAUGCUGACGGCAGCGCCUCCGCCCCAGAUGACAAAUAUAUGGACUUGUUUUUACAUUGACCUUGUUUGGUUCGCUUGUGCCACGUAAUAAACAAAAAUGUAUUGCUUUUCACUAGCAAGCUGAAUACAUGCGCUAGGAGUUAACUACUCAUUUAAUUGAUAAAAGUUAACGAGGCUUAAUCGGAUUCCUCUACCACUCUUCCUAUUCAUGGACAACACGAUGUAAUAUCAUUUAAAAACCCUGUUACAUCCGAACAAAACAUAUUGAUAAGAUAUCAUUUUUUAAGAGAACUGGUUGAUCACAACAUCUACAACUGAAUAUAUUUCGAUUGAAAAAAUCAACUUGCGAUAUUAAACCAAAACUUGAUCAAAACGGUUCUGCAUUAAGAAGCAAUUGGUAUAGCCUUCAAUCUAGAUAUAAUUAUGAGUUAAUCGGUCAUGUGCAUAAUUUGUUUCUUUAUCCCUGCAUAUUUUUGGUGUUUGCGGUUGUUAGAAUUUCCUUGCAUAAUGUGCUGUCUUGAAUAUUAUCACUGUAAUUUAAGUAUUCAUAUUUAAUUUUUGAUUGAUCAAUGUCAGUGUUUAUUCCUAUGGCAUAUUUUGACAUAAAUAUUGAAAAUUCGUUAGCAUAUAAAUCAAAUUCAGCACCUUCAGCUUUGAAAUUGAAGUUGAAUUGUUGUUGAUUAUUAUUGAAGAAAUACAAUUUAUCUCUGUUUUGAAAUAGCUAACAUAUUUGACUUGAGGGUGCACUAAUAGGGAACAUUACCAAUAGCUAGAAAAAUUUCUGAAUACAAAUGUGGAAGAGUUACAUCCUCGAUGGGAGUGUGAAACUAACCACACAUUGACGAAAAAGCUACACCGCCCGUCCCGCCGUUAUUGCAGCUACCCACAUGUUAUUAAAGUAUCUAGAAGUACAAAGAAAUAUCUCCGAAAGGAAAAAAGAGAAAAUAUGCCAAGAGUAAAUCUUGUAGGUGAUAUAGGUGGAAUUAUAAAAGAUCUCAAGGCCACUCUUCUCGAAUAUUGCAUAACAUUUUGAUCAUGUUAUGUUAAUAUUCACUAUAUAGACCUAUUUAUUCAUUCUUCAAAAAUAGAGGUAAAAAGAUACAAUAAUUCCUAAAUCUUUGCAUGAUUGUGGGAUUUUUAUUUUAUAUUCGAAGAAUUCCAUGAUCUUUCGGGUCAAAAUUGAAAUUUGAAUAUCCCUGAAAUUCGAUUUUUACAAAUUUUUACUGAAAUUAUUUAAAGUUUUGUGAUGAAAUAGGUUUAUCUGUGAUAUAACAUUUGGAUUUCCCUUACAUUUUCUUGAAUUUCGGGCUAACAUUUAAAACAUUUUAAAUUUUACAGGGCUCUUGGACCGGUCCCAGGCAAUAGUAGUACCGGUGCCUCCGACAGACCCGAUAACGCGGGUUAGCCGUAGGGUUUCUUUGUACUGUUUCCAAAAACUUGAGCUUUUCGUUUCCAGGCUCCCUGUUUAAUCUUCUCUUGUCUAGAGUGGAUCUCCGAUCUUCCUUGUCAUUGAUUGUAGGUAAGAUUCGAUAUUAUUGCUUUUUAUUUGAUAUCUUCCGAAUUAAGUUUUUAUUAAAUUUUUGUGUUUGUCAGAGAUCUUGAUGGAAUGUGUCUCUUAGGCUUCGAUCUGUUUUCGAUACCUUUAUUUUUUUCCUAGAUUCUUCAUCUUUGUUCAUUGUAGUUUAAUCAUGAGAAAAAUUGAUUUCAAUGUUUUUUUUGGAACGUUGCUUCAGGCUGAUUUUGGGUGCAUGAUGGUUCUUGUUUUUCAAUGAACUGAGGACCCUCCAGGAUACAGUAUUUAUAUAACGCAACCUUGCUAAACAUUUUGGAAUUUUUUUAGAAAAAUUUGUUUUAUAUAUGUAAAUUCCUUAUGUUAGACGGAUUUCGAAAUGUACUCGCCGAGAUGAUGCUUCUUGUCUGUUGUCUCAUCUGCGUGUCUUGGAAUCAAAGAUAACGCUCCAAACUAAAAGCUCUCCGAUAGUAUCAACGAAGAUGAAUAAGCGAAUUGCUCCUGGCGACGACAUAUGAGAAGGAGACCAGGAUUUGGGAAGCCUUUUUCCCACCGAGUUUUAGCUAAGAUAAGGAUACUGGCAAAGGCAUAGGAAAAAAAAGCUGUGGAUAAAGGCAAAGGAAGAGCGAAUAGGCGUUCCGUCGUCCGUAACGUCCGGGUGUGUUGAAAUUCGAGAACGGGAUCUGAGCACCCACGUAAUGUGCUUCAGGAUUGUCCAUCUGCUCGGACGGUCAAUGUAUCGCGAAACACUGCAUUGGUGAAGCGGAUGGUUGGGGUGCCAGUAUCGAUUAGAUUGUGCGUUUUCAGGAUUUAAUUUAAGCAGAGAAAAUCUUCAUAUAGAUUUGUGAUUUCCGGGAGCAAACGUUUUUGUUUGCUUUAUCAGAGAAUUUUAUAUGAGAGGCAGUCACCUAAGUGACUCGGCGACGGCUGGCCGUAUGUUUUAAGACUUCCGUAGUCGUAUGUUUGAUUAUCCCACGCAUAUGAUAAAGACGUCGGUGCUGGUAUGGAAGCUAAGAUCGACGAGUGAAUAUUACAAUUGCGUUUCGACUCCACUUCGCGAUGGAAUCGUGUAGUGAAACACUAUUUCAUGACCGGUACGAGUCGAACGCAUAUGGGCUAUGUCCAAGAUUUCAAAAUGGAGUAUAUUUUUUUUUAAACUUCGUAGUUAUCUACAACAUUCUGCUCUCUGCACUACGAAGAUUCUGUAGGUGGGAUCGUUUCUGUAAUAUGUAUUUUGGAAGGCCAAUAUUGUGUUCAACGAAUAUUAAUACAUGAAAUAUUCCGUUUCUGAUUCUGGCGGACGAGAUGGCAAAGACUAUUACAAAACUUCUGGACAAAUGAAAGCUUGCCAUUUCCAUUGAUAACAUGCGAUUCUCGACUUCCGUAAUGUGGAUUUGCGGCUGUACACUUAUGAGCAGUUUGGGUGGUAAGAACACAUUAUGAAGUCUCGGUUAGCAGGCUUCGUCAGCGCUCAGCGUUCUUACUUUCCCUCCUGCUGCUCCAUCCUCAUGCUACUGGCUACUGCUCUUCACUCCCUUCUAUGAAACAUCUGAGUUGAAGAUAUCUCCGUUCACCCCCUCUUGUAUCGUAGCAACAACGUCUAGCUGAACCUUGCAAGAAAUUGUCUGACGGAGCAACCUGCGAUUCCAAAGGAUUUAAACAUAGAAUGAAGUGCUUAUGAAUAAUUUUUGAACAUUAGGAUGUUGGGCCGGAGCCAGAUUUACUCUAGUGGGUGCUUCGAUAGGCUUAUUCUUGGUUUCUUUUUCAUUUUGCGUUUCUGCAUAAAAGGGGAGAUGGUGGGAAAGAGAAUGUGUCUUUGUGUUGAUGAAUGCAUUUUAGCUUAGCUUCAUGAUGAUGUCUGGAUCUGAUAAUGAUUGAAUUUCGCUUUGAAUGCAGCCAUUUUGUUAGAGAACUUUAAGAUAACUUUUUAGUUAUCUUAGGUGUUGAUUAUAAACAUAUACUGAUAUUUUUAUUGAUCUGAUACUGAACUUUGAUUAUGUUGAGAAAUUUUGCAGGAAUAAUUCAAGACUUCAUAGACUCCAUGUCUAACGUAUAGAGUUUUGUAAUUACGCAUUAUGAAAAUUGUAAUUUGUUUAUUGAUCCGUCAGCAGGAGAAUAUUGUUUGUGAUUCAUGUAUGAUCUCUAUUAUUGUUUCUGCGUUGUUACGAAUUAUAGUAAUUUUGUCACGAAUCGCAAAGGGGGAGAUGUUAAGGAUUUAUAGUUGGCGAAUUCGUAAGUUGUUGGCCGAGUCUGUCGAAAGAUAUAUUGAGAAGUUUUGAGAAAAGAUUCAAAUUGAAGAACUAAGACUCAUUCAGCAAAGACUCGACACCCUAAGAGUAUAAAGAGAAAGUCAUUCUGUGUGAAGUACCUAGUUAAAUAUAAGUCUCAGACAGGCUUAGUGUUUUAAAACUACUUUACUGAACUUAUGUCUGGGACCGUCUAGAGUUCAAAGAGACGGGUUCCCUAAGGUCCCUCACUGCGGGAACCUUUAGAUGCCGAACCGCACGCUGUGAUGAGAGACCGUUUCGAACCUUUGGUAUCUGUCGCGGCAGCAAGACGCGAUCUCCAAGCUUGUAGAUCCGUUCUCCGAACUUGGAUUUAGUCACAGCAGGCGAGGGACCGAUUCCCACUUGAGAGACCGGUCCUCCUCACAGACCGAUUCCUGCGAAAGACCGGUCUCUGAGACGACCUGCUUUAAAAAAGUUUUUGCAUCCUCCUACUUAUAAGUCUCUCUAAAACAUAAAAUAAGCUAUGUGGUCAUCAUAAUUAUAGCUUCGAAUAUUUUCCUGAUCUAACCCUAGAAACUUAUUUUUCCUCCGUUUCAAUGUUUUGAUUCCACAAUAAACGAGUUCCAAACAACAACAAUAGGCUUGGAUUCUUCGUUUUACUCGACUAACAACGAGUAAGCAAAGUAGAUUUCUGAUUAAAGGAACCCUCAUAGCUAUAGUAUAAAAGUUAAAUCCAUCCACAAAUCUGUUCGAUUCUAAUACAUAGCUGCGGCACGAAUGUUCCGACGCGGAUCACGCGGAUAGCGAGGAUUCGUGACGCUCGAGGAAUUGAUGCGUUGACGCUGCGAGGAGUUGCGUGCAAGGUCAUUGUGAUUCUCUUCGCUGAGGACCGGCGAAGAUCGUCAUCUAUGGGAAAAAUCGCUACAAUUGAGUCGUGUUUUUUGUCAAGAUCCGACCUUGUACAUCAUGUUUCUUAGGCAUUCUUACGUGAUUGUCCCGUGGGUUUUUUCACUCCGUUUUGGAGUUUUCCCACGUUAAAUUCUCGGUGUGCUGUUUUCUUUUCCGCUAUUUUGUUUUAUUCGCAUCGAGUUUUUGAGUUUGCCGUUUUUACAUCUAUUCACCCCCCUCUAGGUGUUACUUACCUUUUAGAUCCUCGGGAUCCAUAUCUUACAAGCGAGGGGGAGGAAAAGAGAGAAAGAGAGGGGGGGAGAGAAAAGGAGAGAGCAGAGGAGAGAGGGGGGUGGUGGUGGGAGAGGGAGAGAACAGGGUGGGAGGGAGAGGUAAAGAGGUGGCUCUCUCUCCCGCGCGCGCGCGGGCCCCUUGGUCCCUCCCGUGUCCCCUUCUCUCUCUCUCUCUCUCUCUCUCUCUCUCUCUCUCCCGCGCGCCCCCGUGCGGGUCGGGUACCCCGGCCCUGCCGUGUCCCCCCCUCUCUCUCUCUACGUGUGGGCCCUUGGGGCCCCCGUGUCCCCCCCUUUCUCUCUACCUCUCUCUCUCUCUCUCUGUCUGCUCUCUCUCUAUCUCUCUCUCUCCCUCUUUCUCUGUCUGCUCUCUCUCCCUCUCUCUCUCUCUGUCUGCUCUCUCUCUCCCUCUCUCUCUGCUCUCUCUCUCUCUUUCUCUCUUCCUCGCGAGCGCGGAGAAAGCGCCACGUCGGCCACAGUAGAACUGGGUUUUUAAUAUAUGUAUGAUCUAUAAGAAUAUUUUGUAGCAUAUGAAUUAUAUCUUUAAAAUGCUGUUAUAAUUAAAAGAAAAUUUGUACGGAGUCUUCUCCAGUCCAAAACGGAAACAACAACAAAGUCAAAAUGGAAGGUGAGGUGGGUUCCAAUAUCCAGAUCAAUUAAUUUUUAAUUCUCUUAAUUUAUUGUGUUGUAGGAAUUAUUUUCUCACUAGAUGUUCAUGAAUCAGGAGUGAGGGUCCUGAGGGAUUCCUUAGAAGAUGAGAUACUUCUUACCAAUUUUAUUUUAUUUGAACUGUGAUGGAGAAAAUCGGGGUACUAAUGAAAAUUUUACGAAGUCUGUAGAAGAGCGAUUCCUCGAAAAAUGAAAUACUUAUCACUUAUUGACUUUCUAGAUUUGUUUUCUUCUUUUGGUGAUUAUUAGAAUAGAAUAUUAUUUUUGUUUUGGAUGUCUUUACCGAAACAGAUAAUGUGAAAAGUUAGUAUGCUAGCGUUGAUUUUCUUUUCUAUAGUUGUGGAUGAAAACAUACAGCGAAGUUAAAUUUAAAUUCUUAUUUCGUUCGUCCUUAAUAUUUUACUGUUGAAGUUUAUAUGUUAUGUACUACAUAUUUUUCCAUAUUCCUUGAAUAAAUAGAUUAUAACAAUGGGAAAGCACUGUGGGUAGGGUGUAAGACGGGCCAGGCAACACGUUGGCUGCCCGGCCCGGCACGGCCUCGGGCCGGGCUACAGCCCGGUAUGGACACUGUAGAACCCCUGCCGGACCGUGCUGGACCGUUCCUUUGGAGUCCGACGGCCCGUCACGGCACGGCCCGAAACGAGCCUGGGCCGUGCCGAGCCGAGGAGNCCCGGCAUGGCACGGCCCGUUUGGGCUGUGCCAGCCGGGCCCGGACCCCAACUGCCUUGGGCCAUGGUAGCAUGCUGCCCGUUUCGCUUAUUUCAUUUAAAAAUAAACUUAGCUGGAAAUGUGAAGCAACUAGGAUUCGAACUUGGGUCUCGAGUACCAACCACCAAGCCCUUUGUCACUUGCUCUAGAAACGGUCGGUGAUAACACUUCUCUUAGAAAUUAGUUUUCCUCUAUGAUCGUAAAGUGAGUUCAAUUAGAUAUCACUCUUGUUAGAAAUUGGUUUUUCUAUAUGGCCUUAAAGUUUGUUUUGUUGCAUCAUAAUGGUCAGUAUUGAUCCUUCUUACAAGAUUUUGUUGAGCAGCAAGUCAAGUGUAACACACUUGACUCUUGCAAAUUGCAAAGUUCGAGUGUUUGAUCUGUGAUCUGAGUAUUUUCAGAUAUUCUGGAGGGUCGUAGACAGUGUUCCGACCUAUGGCUCACAUCCCGAGAAUUGAGAUUUAUAACUAUACACCAAAACCCAAAAAGUUGGAUUUUUGGUUUGCUCUCAGGUUUGCUUCAACAGGGUUGUGUACCGGUACAACCUUGAUGGUUGUACCGGAACACAUUUUGUACCGAUACACUUUAAUGGUUGUACCGAUACACUUAUGGUUUUUAGCCAACCCGACGCUCGGGUUUGGCUAUUUCACGGGAUUUGUACCGGUACACUUUCCCGUGUACCGGUACACUUUGCCAUACCGCGAGCUGGUUGGGUUUGAGGGGUGUUUUUGCAUUUGUAGCAUAUCUACAAAUACCCCCACGACCCCCUGGUGUCUCCUGAGCUUGGAAUCACAGGAGAGCAAGGUAGGGGAGCCUCUCUUUUAUCCUCUUUGAUUUUCUUUGAUUUCUCUUGGGAUUUUGAGAAUCAAAAUACCUCAUUUUGCUCCUUUUUGGUAUUUUGGUGGUAUUUCCACCAUUGUUGAAGGCUUGGAGCUUGGUGUGGAGCUUGUUUGGGAGGAGGCCUUCAACCCUAGCUCACCCCAAGCCUUGUUUGGAGCUUCUUGAGAGGUUAGUAGCAUACUUCUCCUCUCUAGAGCAUGAUUCUCAUGGUUUUCUUGUUGUAGCCCUAGAAAUGAGGAUUUAGGGCUUGAUUUUGGGGUUUUUGAUUUAGGGCUUUUGGAGCUCAAUUGAUUGGCCUAGAACCUUUAUCUAGGUUGCGUUGGAAGGGUUUUAGCUCCCCUUUGGAGCUUGUGAGGGAUUUUCACCACUAUAGGUGAGUUUUGGCCCUUUCAUCGAGUUGGUUAAUGUUUAACCUAUUCAUUGUUCGUAACGUUCGUGUAUCGCUCCUACUUUAACCUUUAGGGAGCUAGGAAGCUUGUGAGCAUCUUCGUCGGCGCAAACGAAGGUCGCGUGGAACUCUCGGUGGGUUUGGCCUCACCAAAAUAGGAUAAAUCAUCCCUAUGACGGUUUUUACUUUCCGUAAAAUGAAAAUGUAUGUAUAUUCUUGCUAGAUAGAAUAUUUGAGAAUUUUAGAAUGCUUAAUAUGUGCACGUCAUGUAUAAAGUACAUUGGACCUCUAUGUAGUAGAGAACAGUUCAUAUUUGGAACCUUGCAUAUGGAUAGCAUUCUUACGUGUGAUUGAGAUCAUGUUGUAUGUAGUGCAUAUGACGUGUAGAUUACACUCUUGGACUUGGAACCCAUGCUUGGCAUGGUUGGACAUAGUGUCAUUAAGUGACCUAGGUUAGAGUGUAUGUAAAUAUUAAACUAAUGUCAUAGAGCGGCAUUAGACUUGAACUAGAGAUGGAUUUAGCAAGCUAAUGUCAUAAAGCGGCAUUAGGCUUGGAUCGGUUUUGGACAUAGUGAGAUAAUACCAUAAAGAGGCGUUGGACAUAGUGAACUUAGUAAAUCCUCACUUGAGGCAUAGACUUGACACUUGGGGUUGCUAGUGUGCAUUUCCAUGUUAGAGACAUGAUGACUGUUCAGUUGCAUUUCCAUGUUAGAGACAUGAUGAUUGCUGAGCUGCAUUUCCAUGUUAAAGACAUGAUGACUGUUGAGUGGCGAUUACCACGUUGGAGACAUGACGACUGGACUAUUGAGGUAUUGACCAUGCUUGCUUGCCAUUUGUGCUCAUUCUCACAUGCUUUUGAGGGUCGCUCCCCACAAGCCGGCACUCCGGAGUUAGCCUACGCGACUUAUGCUCGCACGUGCGGUAUCGAGUAGCCUACGAGGCUUGGAGGGAUAGACUCAUUCCUAGGGUGAGAAUGCUGGAGCUACCACUGGCACUUAGGCGGCACAAGCCGGACUACACCUGUGUAGAUCCUGAAUGAGAUUGAACCAGAAUAUUAAACUACAAGUUGAUAAUCACUACUAGACAGGUUAUAGUAGUUGGAUUCGUGAUAUGCUAUGGCAUAGGAUUGAACUUUUGGAUAUAUAGUAUACUUGACAGUUUCGCAUAUUGCAUUGUAGUAUACUUGUUACCAUGAUAGUACAUACUAGAUAUGUAGUGAACUUUGGGGCAUAUAGCAUGCUUCAUAGUAUUACUGUUGUAUCACAGCAUACAUGUUUAAGUAUUGGUAGAUUGACUCAUGUAGAGUAGACGUACUCCAUAUCGACAUUCUGAAUACUUGUGGCAUAGUAGUAUAGCAUUUCAAUAUACGCUUUUAUUUUCACAGUUGUUAUUUCGUUAUCUAUAUCUGUUUAUGUUUUGGGCCUAGCGGUGCAAUUUGGUGCAGGUCAGUAAUUGUCCACUGGGAACUAUAAUUUAUAGUUCUCACGCCCCCUAUUUUAUGUCUUCUUUCAGAGUCUUCCACUUCGGGAGAGGCUCGGGAUCGCGGGAAAGGUAUCGCCUUGGGCUAGCUAUCGAGGGAUUUGGCGAGAGGUAGUCCACCUCUCUUUUGUUUUCUUUGGAGAGGUUGUGAGAGUUUUGUACCUAGUUAUAGAGACCACCCUAUUAUGUACUUGGAGAUCUAUGAUAUAUUAGUUUACUUUAUGCUUUAGUAGUAUUGUUUUCUUUUGACUCUAUCUAAUGUUGGAACCUAGCUAUAUACUUGCUCUGAUAUCUCUAGUUGUAGAUUAUCUCUUGCUCUACUCUUCCGCUUUUGUGUAGAUGCCUUAUAUGUGUAGACAUAUGGUGAGUCUGGGCGCGCUACCGGGAGAGCCUCCGCCGGUCCCGGGGCGUGACAUCAAAAGCUCUUUCAACUUAAGUUUUAUCCCAAAAGGUGUAUUUGGUUCGGAUUAUCCUGGCAGGAUUACUAGUAUUACUGUGUUUGGUUCAUCCGGCAUGUAAUCGGAUCGGUAAUGCAGCAUUACAAAUUGUGCAGGAUUACACAAAAAAUAUUAACGAGAGGACCAAAAAUAUUGGACCAAAAAUAUUAACGAGAGAGGGUAUGUAUCUUGGAUUACUGCAUAUUAUAUAAAAUAUUAUAUAAAAUGACAAUUUUAUCCCUCUGACUCCCAAAACCCUUUCAAUACUUCAUUUUAAAAAAUUUAAUUUAAAAUUUUGAAUUGUGUACUUUUAAAUUUUAAAUUUUGAAUUUUAAUUUUGAAUUUUUAAAUUUUAAAUUUUAAAUUUUAAAUUUUAAAUUUUUAAACUUCAAAUUUAAAUUUAUAUUUUAAAUUCUGAAUUUUAAAUUCUAAAUUUCAAAUUUUAAAUUUAAAAAUUUAAAUUUCAAUUUUAUUUUUAAUUUAAAUUUAAAUUUUAAAAUUCAAUUUAUAUUUUAAAUCUGAAUUUUAAAUUAAUUUGUUAAUUUAAAUUUUAUAUUUAUAUUUAUAUUUAUAUUUUAGAUUUUAAAUUUAGAAUUCAUAUUAUAUUUUAAAUUAAAAUAUUAAAUUAUAUUUUUUUUCAAAUUUAAAAUUUAAUUUAAAUUUUUAAAAAUAAACUAUUUAAAAUAAAAUUUUAGUAAAAAAUAAUUAUUUGUAAACAGAUUAAAAAAAAAGUUUGCAAAAUAUGGCUAAGGGCAAUUUGGGAAUAGACUAUAUUUUAUUGUCUAGAUUACUGAAUUUUAUAGACAGAACCAAAUAUAGUAAUACUAUAAAUACUGCAAUCUAGCAUUAUAUUACUGUAUUAAACCAAACGUGCUAAUGCAGUAUAAAUAGUAAUCUCAUAUAGAAAUUCAAGACAUCUGGAUAUAUCGAAGUACUCUGUAAUAUUACAUAAUUUGAAUCAAACGCGCCCUAAAUGCUUUGUAUAUUCAUAUUCUCACUUUAUGACUACAAAAGCAUAACUCCAACUUACCUGGCAAACCCUUCAUCGGCUCUAAAAGCCUGCACAAAGUAAAGCAGGCCCAAGGCCCAUAAAACCCCUUCCAAGCCCAAGCAUUCCAAAGCAGAACCUCACACUUGGCAACCUCUCAUUGGCUCUCUAUCCCUACUACCCCUGUCCUCUGCCAUACCAACUGCUAGCAGAUAAAGCCCCUCCCAGGGCUCAGCCGCUUCAUCACUUCUCCAUGGCAUUGGCUGUCAAUUCCUUUGCCUUUUGUAAUUCCAAGUCCAGGUAUAAUUCAUUUAUAUUCCCACUCAUGUUUUUAAUAUUUUCCAGCUUUGAACACUCUCACCAUCCAUCAUUUGAACACUCUCACCAUCCAUCAAAGUUCUCCAUAACUUGUGAAAAUGUAGAGGUUCUAAUUGCUUCUCUUAGCAUAGUUAUUUUUAGAGCAUGCUUUGUUCUGCUUCUGCUUCUACUUUUUGCUAGAGUUAUCUGUGACAAAUUGUUUGACGAUUAGAGAUGUGCGAAAACUUUAAACUUAAAAUCUUUUGGGGCUUUUGAUCUUCCUACUUAGAGAAGCUGUCGAAGCCGAAUUCUAAUUCUUCGAUUAAUUGUGUGAAAUUAGGGUUGAUGCCCCAAAUCAACUACUUUCAAGAGUAAUUCCUACAUCUUGGAGUGUGAAGAAGACUCACAUUGGUGCAACUAAAGGUGUGUCCAGUGUUUGCCAGCCACUGCCCCCAGAUAGGCCUCUCUGGUUCCCUGGCAGCUCCCCUCCUGAGUGGCUUGAUGGGAGGUAAAAUAAAAAAUAAAAAAUAAAAAAAGUUAGCUAGUUGUCCGUCCCCUUAUUAACUCAACUUAUAUAGUCUUGUAAAAGUGCUACACAUAUUUGGCUGAUGCUGCUUCCUAAGAUAGUUAUUGAUUUUCGCAGUUUACCGGGAGAUUUCGGGUUCGAUCCUCUCGGAUUAGGCAAGUAUUAAUUUCAAUGUGAAAUAUCUGAUAAACUUCUCUUCUUUUAAUGCAGAGCAAGUUAUCUGAAGCUUUUGGCUGCCACACAAACUAAAAAUAAGCUUUUCAGUUUGCAAAGAAGAUGCUCUGAUUUAAAAAUCUGGCAGACAACAGUCGGUAGCUCGGGCUGGAUUAGAAACUAAAUCUAUUCGGAGAAGCAGAAAUAACUUUUUCAUUAAAUAUUUCCGAUAACUGAACUCGACGCAAAGAAGAUUAUCCAAAUUGGAUAUUAUUCUUUUGAGAUCUCAAAGUUUAUUUCAGCUUUUCUUUACUCCAUUAGGAGGAUUUAGGCUUCUCCAAACAACAACUUAUAAUGCGCCCGCCCUCAAUGUCAUAAAAACUGCAGUAUAAUUCUUCCCAGAAUUCUCCAGGAUCCGACCCAGAGCUGCUCCGGUGGUUCGCGCAAGCGGAGCUAAUGCACAGCAGGUGGGCGAUGCUCGCCGUCGCCGGGAUUCUCAUCCCAGAAUGCCUUGAAAGGCUUGGUUUCAUUGACAACUUCUCGUGGUACGACGCGGGGGCCCAACAAUACUUUGCGGACCCUGCAACCCUGUUCUUGGCCCAAAUGGCUCUAAUGGGCUGGGCCGAGGGGAGGAGAUGGGCCGACUACGUGAACCCGGGCUGCGUCGACAUCGAACCCAAGUUCCCGAACCGGACGAACCCGAAGCCCGACGUCGGGUACCCGGGCGGGCUGUGGUUCGACUUCAUGGAUUGGGGCCGAGGGUCGCCGGAGCCGGUGAUGGUGUUGAGGACUAAGGAGAUUAAGAAUGGGAGAUUGGCCAUGUUAGCAUUUGUGGGCUUUUGGUUUCAAGCUAUUUAUACCGGAGAAGGCCCGAUCGAGAACUUGAUGGCCCACUUAGCUGACCCAGGACACUGUAACAUUUUCGCGGUAAUUCUUUGAAACUCUGCUUUUUAUUGAUUAUUUUAUUAUUAUUAUUGCUAUAUGUAAAUUCCUUGUGUUAAUUUGGUUUAGAGGUUUCAAAAGAUAAAAGUCUCUGUUUUUAUGAACAAUAGGGGGAGUAGGUCGAGAGUUUGAUCUCCGCUUGUGCAUUGACCAAAUAGAGUUGAGGCCCUCAGUUUUGUGGGUUAAAAGAUAAACCAUACAUAAACUGGAAGAGUUUUGGAGUAGAGAAUACAGGAAAACUUAGGAAUAAUUAAUUGAAAAAAGGGGGGCUAAGAAUAGGAAUAAUUUAAAAAAGCCCUUGCAAAUAUUGUUAGACUCAUUAUAAAGUUAGAAACUUGAUCUGGUAGUAACAGCCCUGACUUGUUAAGUGCCAAAUUCCUACUUAUUUAGCCCUUCUUUAGUUGAUUUUCUACUCUGAGAAUCGUUCUAAAAAUUAUUUAUGAGAAUAUUCCAUCUUAGAGCGAUGAUAUAAGAGAUAAGUAACAAGAGACUAAUAAAGGAUUUUCCUUUCUUAUGUAGCCCCACUUAAUUAUCUGUGUGGCUUGACUUCUGAAAUAACUUUUUUUAUUAUAAAUAGUAAUGCAUAGUUAACUAGGUGUUUAUAAAGGUCCAAAGCUUUUGUUGCGGUGAAGCUUAAAUGAGCUUUUGGUUUUCCAAAAGCAAAAGCUCUAUAAACUGAGGUUUCUUUUUGUUUUCAAUAAAUAAAUGCUAUUUGCGGGAUUAUACUGAAAAAAAAUAUGCCAAUACUUUUUUUCUCCAAAACAUUUUUUACUUAGAUAAUACUUUUAUAGAAGUUCCGAGUACACCGAAAACACCCAAACUAUCAUUGGAUUCAUACUUGUCUAUAAUUUGUAAGAUAAUUUUAGUACUGAUAUUAUUCAUUUUGAUUUCUUUUUCUUAAAUGUCUUCAUUUCAACUUUUAUUUGCAGGCGUUUUCGUCGCAUUAAGUGCACUGAAACAUGAGAGAAGGAGAAAGAUGACUUGUAAUUGAUAGCAUCUGAUGAAGCUGAGUGUAAUGUGACUAAAAUUUUGAGUAGCUAGUGAACAUUGUACAUAUCACAGGAACUGCUCAAUGAGGAACGUAGUCACACCUUUAAUUUGAGCAUUCUUUAUUUUAAACAAUAUCGAAUUUGAUGCAUUUUAUUUACUUAUUAUUCAACCCAUGCAUUGUUGUGCUCACAUACACCAGAACUUGAUUUUAUUAGCAUUUCUAUUUAGAGCUCAUGUGGAAGUUUUGUCUAAUGCAAGAUAUAUUUUACCAACAUUUUUUUAUGCAACACUCCAGAUAGGAGUCCGGCUGCUAUAUUUUUAUAAAUAUAGACAUCUCUUUUAUCAUUUUCAUUCGUUAGAUUAUAUUAUUCAGCCAAUCACCCACUCAAUUCUAGGAGAUCACUAUUAUCCUAAUUUGAAACCAUUAUCAUCCUAACCGCACAUCUUUUUAUCUAACAGCUGAAAAUUUAUAAGUACAAAGAGAUCUAUACUCAUAAGAGUAUAGUAACCCUCUAGAUAGUUCUAUUUUUGAUGAAAAAAGAAAUUAUUACUGGGCAUAAAAGAACUAAAUACUUUAGUGUAAUAAUUUGAAUUUCACUAUUUUAGGUUUGGGCUUGAUGACGGCGUCUGAUUUGGGCUUGAUGAUGAUAUCACUUGAUCCAGCUAUAUAUAGCGCAUGUGAUGCACGCUUCGCAUAAAAAAAUUAAAACUUAUGAAAAAAUUUUAAUUUUAUUUAAUAGUUUAUAAAAGUUUAUUUCCAAAUUUUUAUUGGAUUUGAUUAUAUAUAUAUAUAUAUAUAUAUAUAUAUAUAUAUAUAUAUAGCAGGGCUGCUGUGGCUCUCAGGAGCACGGAGUCCUUCGUGCUCCUGAGCCGUUAUUCGAUGAAUGGGAAUCCAAAUUGACGAUCCGUGUACCGUUAGACUUGAUCUACAGGUAUUUGAAGUCUCAAAAAUUUUGUGCAUUUUCGAAUCAUUUACCUAUGUGAUCGAAAGGAACAAAAUCAUAAUUCUUAAUAGUUGAUAUCUGUGGCCGUUUUCAUUUUAAACGGAAGUAUUCAAAUUAGAUAAAAUUUUGAUACAAAAUUCUUUAUACUGUCUACAACAAGAUCAAUAUUUCUGAUCGAAAAUUUUAGUACUAUAUCACCACUUUUUAUAGGAUUUUUAUUUUCAGCCGUUAAAAAUUAUUGAUUUUGAAUCUUUUCGAUUGCUAGGUAAAUGAUAUCGAAAAAUUGCAAAAAUUAUUUUCUAGAAACUUCAAAUACGCUAGAUCAAGUCUAACGGAACCGAUCGUCGAUUUGAGAGUCCCAUCAUCGAAAACGGCUCAGGAGCACGGAGGGCUCCGUGCUCCUAAGAGCACAGCAGCCCUGCUCUAUAUAUAGAUAUAUAUAUAAUUUUAUUAUAUUUCAAUAGACAAAAAAAUAAUAAUAAUAUUGAUUAAUAACUUAAAUAGUUAUUAAAGGUAAAAUUUAGAUAAAAUUUUUUAAUAAUAUUUUAAAUAUAGGUGUAAUUUGGGAAAAAGAGUUAUUAGGAGAAAAUAAAUUUAUAGGCCCAAAGCUUCUUUUAUGCCUGGGAUUUUAUAUAUCUAUAUAGAGAGAAAUAGGCUACGAUUAAAAGUUAUCCAAAAUAUUUGAUAUUUCAUGCCCGACUCAAGCCCUACCGGAUCCCAACUGGACCUAAAUAAUAUACGAGUAAAAAAAAAAAAAAACCAUUAAAGCUUCGGGUUUGUGUCCGUAUACUUUACAUCCAUAUCUAAAUUGGAUCCGACCCAAACUUGACCUUUUAAUGAACAGGGUUUGGUAUAAUUUUCAAAUCCGGAUGCGAAGGCGGAGGCGGAUCCGGAUCCGAAUCCAAAUCAGGAUCCGGAUUCGGACCUGGUGAAAUAUGUUGCCAUGUGGUGUGUCCACAUUGGCGGGUCUUAAUUUAACCCGGUCCACUUAAGAUGUGGAUUGAGAUUUAUCAUGAUAAGUUAAGGAUAAGAAUAAAUUAUAUGUUUCUUAUUAAUUAAGAAAUAUAUCUUCUAGUGGAUAUCUAUCAUAUCCUAGUUCUUAUCCUAAUCUCUUUGUGAGAUUCAGGAUAUUUAUGGGUUCCGUUAUUCUAUAAAUACGUUCCCCUUUUCUCUCCCAUAAGAGAUGAUCGAAUACGAUCUAAUUCGAAAGAAUCAACGAUAAAUCCUCCUUCUUCUCUCUCUUCUUCCUCUCUGGGAUUUCCACCUAUGUUCCUGGGGUUUUGGAGUGUGGACAUAGAAAGAGGACUGGUAGCCCUCUUCGAUUGACAUCCGUCGCAUUAGAUCCGCAUCCGAUCCGUGACAUAAGGCAUACGCAUGGAAGAAGGCGAGAAACGUGGGAGAUCCAGAAGCAUUGAGACAAGGACGAUCCAAAAAGGCUUGUAAAACAAGCAAUCCGAUCCGAUUCCAGUUCCCAAAUACGUUGGCUAUCCGGUUUGUAAGUUUCCGCUGCCCUAAUAUUUCCAACAAUUGGUAUCAGAGCCUGUGUGCUUGUUUUCGCCUCAUGAUCAUGCUUGUGAUGCGUAGGGGAGUAAACGAGCCGAACACGAGCGAGCUCGCAAACAGGUAGCUGGAUUGCCACCCCUAGUGAUGAGUGUGUUUUGAAUCGCAUUCGUUGAUCAAUUUUUUUUUAUGUAGACUAGUUCUACAAAAUUUUUUUUCUUUUUUUGUUUUCUAUGUGAAAUCGAUUAAAAGGAAAGAAAAAGAAAACUAAAUUAGUUUUAGCUUUCUCUUAAAAUUGAUCAUAAAAUAUGCGAUUUUUUUUACAUAAGUUGUACUUUUUUUUUCCUUUUUUCUCUGCUUCGUGCAUUUAAAAAAAAAAAAAAUUGCUGCGAGCGGCGGGCACGAAGCGACCCGCUGCGGGCUGGCGCCGACACGCACCCGCGCGGGCCUGGCCCGCUGCCGGCGCGGGNNNNNNNNNNNNNNNNNNNNNNNNNAAGAGAGUACUGUAGUAGAGGAAUUAAUUGAGAAAGGGCAAGAAAGAAUAAUAAAAAACCCUUCAAACCUAUGGUAGACUAUUAUAAAAGUUAGAAUACUUCAAUCUGGUCAUCCAAAGCCUCGUUGACUUGUUAAGUGCCAAAUCUCUAACUAUUUACCCUUCUUUAGUUAUUUUCUUAACUGCUGAGAAUCUUCUAAAAAUAUUUAUGAGAAUACCUAUCUUUAGACGAUGAUAUAAGAAUAAUAACUUAAAGACUAAAUAAACGGAUUUACCCUUUCUAUGUUGCCGCCGCACUUAAUUACUGUGUGCUUACUCGAAAUAACUUUUUAUAUAAAUAGUAAGCAGAGUUAACUAGGUGUUCAGAAAGUCGCAAAGCUUUUGAGCGUGUAACUUAAAUGAGCUUUUGGUUUUCCAAAAGCAACAAGUCUCUACAAACUGAGGUUUACUAUUUUGUUUCCAAUAAAAUAAAGCUAUUGCGGGAUUAUACUGAAAAACAACUCAUCCAAUACUGUUUCUCCAAAACAUUUUUUACUAGAAAUACUUUAUAGCAAGUUCCGAGUCUUACGAAAACACCCAAACUAUCAUUGAUUCAUCUGUCUAUAAUUGAAGAUAAUGUUAUACUGAUAUUAUUCAUUUGAUUUCUUUAUUCUAAAUGUCUUCAUUCAACUUUGAUUGGCAGCGUUCCGGUCGCAUUAAGUCACUGAAAACGAUGAGAGAUAGAGAAAGCAACUUGUAAUGAUAGGCUCUGAUGAAGCUCGAAGUGUAAAUGUGACUAAAAUUUGGAGUAGCUAGUGGAACAUUGUACAAUAUCACAGGAACUGCUCAAUGAGGAACGAGUCACACCUUUUAAUUGAGCUUAUCUUAUGUUUAAUACAAUAUCGAAUGAUGCAUUUUAUUUACAUUAUUAUUCAAUCCCAAUGCAUUGUUGUGCUCACAUACACCAAGAAAACUUGAUUUUUAGUCAAUUCUAUUUAGAGCUUCAUUGAAUUUUGUCCUAAUGGCAAAUAUAUUUACCAACAUUUUUUAAUGCAACACUCCAAUAGAUUCGCUGCUAAUUUAAUAAAAUAAGACAUUCUCUUUUAUCAUUUUCAUCUCGCUAGAUAUAUUAUUACAUGAAGCCAAUCAACCCACUCAAUCUAGGAGAUCACUAUAUAUUAAUUGAAACUCAUUUCUAUUCCUAACCGCACAUCUUUUUAUCUGAACAGCUGAAAAUUUAUAAGUACAUGCAGAGAAGAAUUCAUAUACUAUAAGAGUAGUAGUAAACCCCUAGAUAGUUCUUAUUUUUGAAGAAAAAGAAAUUAUUACUGCAAAAAGAACUAAAUACUUUACGUGUAAGAUAAUAGAAUUUCACUAUUAUAGUUUGGGCUUGAAUGACGCCGCUGAUUGGCUUGACGAUGAUAUCACUGAUCCAGUCUAAUAUAGCGCAUUGAUGCACACGCUUCGACAUAAAAAAUAAAACUUUAUGACAAAAUUUUAAUUUUAUUUAUAGUUAUAAAAGUUUAUUGUUCGCAAAUUUUUAUGGAUUUGAUAUAUAAUAUAAUAGUAUAAAUAUAUUACUAUUAUAUAUAAUAAUAGCAGGCUGCAUGGCUCUCAGGAGCACCGGAGGCCCUUCGUGCCCUGGCGCCGUUUUUCCGAGAUCACAACAUCCAAAUUGACAUUCGAAGACCUUCCGUUAGACCUGAGCUAAAGGGAUUGAAAGUCACAUAGAAACUAAAUUUUCGUGAAUCUUUUCGAUAUCAUUUACCGCUAGUAUCGAAAGAUCAAAAAUCAAUAAUUUUUAAUAUUGAUAUCUGCCGUUUCAGUUAAACGGUAAGGAACGUAUUCUAAAUGAAUAAAAUUUUGAUACAAAAUCUUUAUAAGCUCUACAGACAAGAUCAAUAUUAUGAUCGACUAAAUUUAGUACUUAUAUCACCACACUUUUUAUAAAUUUUUAUUUUCAGCCGUUAAAUAAUUAUGAUAAUCUUUUCGAUUGCUAGUAAGAACGAAAAUUGCAUAAAUAUUUUCUAGAUAACUUCACAACGCUAGAUCAAGUCUAACGAACCGAUCGUCGAUUUGAGAGUUCCCAUCAUCGAAAACUGCUCAGGAGCACGGAGGCUCCGUGCUUCAACUAAGACAGCAGCAGCCCUGCCUACUAUAUAAUAUAUAUAUAAUUUAUUAUAUAUAAAUAGACAAAAAAAUAAUAAUAAUAUUGAUCAAUAACUUAAAUAGUUAUUUAAAGUAAUAAUUAGAUAAAUUUUUUUAAUAAUUAUUUUAAAUAUAGGUGUAAUUGGAAAAAGAGUUAUAAGAAAAUAAAUUUUAAAGGCCCAAAGCUUCUUUAUGCCUGAUUAUAUAUCUAUAUAGAUGAGAACAUAGGCUACGUAAAAGUUAUACAAAUAUAUUUGAUAUUCGAUUGCCCAGACUCAACCCUAACCGAUCCCAAACUGACCUAAAUAUUAUACCGAGUAAAAAAAAAAAAAAAAACAUUAAAGCUCGGUGGUCGUAUACUAUUACAUCCAAUAGCUAAAUUGAUCCGACCCAAACUUGACCUUUUAAUACGAACAGUUUUGGUAUAAAUUUGUUUCAAAUCCGGAUGCGAAGGCAGCGGACUCCGACCGAAUCCAAAUUCAAGGAUCCGGAUUUGGACUGUGUGAAUAUGUGCAAAAUGUGGUGGUCCCAUCAUGAGCGUCCCUUAAAUUUAACCCGGUCCCUUAAAAUGUCGAUUGAAGAUAUUAUCAUGAAAGCUUAAGAAUAAGAAAUAAUUAUAUGUAUUUUAUUAAUUAAGAAAUAAUCUUUACGGAUAUACUAUCAUAUCUGCACUUCUUAUCCUAAUCUCUUUGUGCAGAUCAGGACUAUUUAUUGGUUUUCCGUUUUCUAUAAAAUAUCUGUCCCGCCUUUUCUCAUCCAUAAAGAUGAUCCGAAUAACAUCAAUCGAAAGAACAACCGAUAAUCCACCUUCUUCUCUUCUUCUUGCCUCUCUGGAUUUCCACCUAUGUUCUGGGGUUUUGGCAUGUGGACAUAAGAAACGAGGACCUGGGUAGCCCUCUUCUGAUGACAUCCUCGGCAUUAGAUACCUGCAUCCGACUCCGGAACAUAUAGGCAUAACCAUGGUAAAAGCGAGAAACGUGGGAAUCUCAGAAGCAUUGAGGACAACGGACGAUCUCAAAAAGCUUGUAAAAACAAGCAAUCGCCGAUCCGAUUCUCCAGUUCCCAAAAUCACGUGGCUAUCCGUUUGUAAGUUUCCGCUGCCCUAAUAUUCCAAAAAUUUGGUUACCAGAGCCGUGUGCUUGUUUUCGCCUCAUGAUCCAUGCUUGUGAUGCUAGGGAGUAAACGACCGAACACGAAGCGAGCUCGUUUACCUAAACGAGCGAGCCGAUCUCGAGCUCAUUUCGAGCGCACACGACUUGGCUCGGCAACAGGUAUCUGGAUGCCACCGCCUAGUGAUAGUGGUUUUGAAUCGGCAUUCGUACAAUUUUUUUUAAUUGUAGACUAUUCUACAAAAUUUUUUUCUUUUUUUAGUUUUCUAGUGAAAUCGAAGUUAAAAGAAAGAAAAAGAAAAGCUAAAUUAGUUUUUAGCUUUCUCUUAUAAAUUUGAUGCAUAAAAAAUGCGAUUUUUUUACAUAAGUGUAACUUUUUUUUCCUUUUUUCCUGCUUCGUGCAUAAAAAAAAAAAAUUCUGCGAGCGGCGGGCACGAAGCACAAGCCGCCUGCGGGCUGUCGCGACAACCCAACAAUAGAGGCGUCGGGCCGGCCUGGCCCGCUCGCGCGGCGCACCCGCACGCACCAACUCUGGCCCCCCGCUGCGGGCCGGCACGUACCUGCGCGCCACCGCUUGGCGGAGCCACUCGCAGCACACCCGCGGUCCAGCCCGCUGCGAGCGCAGGUGAUGCACCGGGCGCACUGCGCGACUCGAGCGCGCGGAGCCGCGCACCCCUCUGCUGCUGGCAGGCCGGCUCGCCCUGCGGCGCAAGGGAGCGCCCUGUUUUUUUGUGGCUAGCCGUGCUCGGCCCGUCUCGCCGCGCAGUUCAGAAUUGUUUAAAAUAUAUAUGUAUAUUCCUGUGUGGUUAAAUUUUCCUGCGCAGUAAAAUCUUUUUUUUUGGAUACAUAUAUAUAUAUAUUUUUUAUGCUUUUUUUUGAAACAUAUAUGUGUUGUUUGUUUAAUUUAUCCUAUGUGGCUGAAUAUUAAAUGCUUAUGUAGCAUCUUAUAGUUGCAUGAUUGUGUAUAUAAGUACUUACGUUAUUUUGAUAUUUUUCAACAAAAUUUAAUUUUGGAAAAACGGGUUCGACGUGUGCAGCAUUCGUGUAGAACAUUUCUUGUCUGAUGUACAUCUUAUAGUGAUGUAGUAGGUUUUAUUAUGCAAAAGUGAUGUAAUAAUUAAGGCCGUGUAAAGGAAUGUGUUUUGCGCAGCGUCGACGUUUUUUUAAUUAAAUUUUGGUAUAAAUACUUAUUUUUUUCUAUGUGAUGAUAUUAUGAGAUAAGUUCUUCUCAUAUAAAUAUUUUUUAAAAGAAAAUGAUGUGUUCUUUCAAAAUGGAUGAGUUCCAACUUUUGGAUAAGUUUCAAAAUUAAUAGAAAAUUAAUAAGAUUGUAAUAUUUUGAACCGACACUGGGUGAUGACUACGAGCAUAGUGAAGUUAUCGAUCCUGUUGUGUCGAGGAUAAUGUUUCAAUCUUAUUAAUUUUUGGAAUAUGUGCCUAAUGUCCAAACUUAUUUUUUUGAAUGUAGUGAAAUGACUUCAAAAAACAUCAUAGCUGAUCUCACUAGGGGUGAUAAGCUAGAUGGAAAGAAUUAUGAUAUUUGGCAUAGGAAAAUACAAUACCUGACAAGGGGUUCUUGAAACUCUUUCUGUCAAAAGAGUCAUACCUGCCGAAGGCACAGUUUCUGAGCAUGAAAAAGAGAUCUAUAACAAAUGGAUCAAGGAGGAUCGAACUGCUCUGUAUACUAUGUUGUGUGCCAUGCAAGACGACCUUAUUGGACAGUUUGAGAUCUUUGAAACUGCCAAGGACAUGUGGGACAAUUUGAAGAUUACUUUUGGUCAAACUUCAGCUAUAAGGCUGCAUGCCUUAAUUUUGGAGUUUCAGCAAUACACUGAGGACCCGAGGACUCCAUGGCUGAGCACCUCCGUGUGAUGAGCGCCAUGAUUCGGGACCUCAAGGCUGUUAGAAACAGGCUCAAUGAUGAGCAACAAGUUUUAACAGUGAUUCAUUUACUGCCGGAUCCUAAAUGGUCCCAGAUGAAGCUCCUGAUGAUGCACAGCGAGAGUAUUAAAAUGUUUAAUGACAUCUCGCGUCAUCUCGAUUUUAAGGUAGAGUGCUCGGAAACGAACCGUUCUGUCGCCCUUGUUGCACGCUAUGAGAAGCGCGGUGGGAUCACACCCAAGCGUAAGAAGCGUUACAAUAAUUGAGCGCAGAAAAGUCAAAAUCAAGCUCCCUGUGGUGGAGUUAGGAAAUUUCGCAGAGUCAUUUUGACAGAGAGACCACCUUGACAUUUCCUUUCAUGGUACUUUAUUUGGAUAUGGUACAUUAGUUGAUGGUUUCUUUAAAAUAAAUUUGGAGGAUGAUUCGUUUGCAUUUGCUUCUUCUUCUUCUUCUAAUCUUUGUGAUGAAUCCGUUAAAUGACAUGCCAAAUUAGGCCAUAUAGGUCAAGAAAGAAUGAAUAGACUGGUUCGAGAAGGCCUUUUGGGGUCUUUCGCCAAAGUUGACCUAUAUGUGUGCGAGCCUUGUCUGGCUGUGAAGGCAUGUAGAAAGCCUUUCGGUAAGGCUACUCGUGCCUCUCAUCCUUUAGAGCUAAUCCACUCAGACAUUUGUGGGCCAAUGAAUGUGAGGGCCCAGCAUGGUGCUUGCUAUUUUCUAACAUUCAUUGAUGAUUAUUCCUGUUAUGGAUAUGUCUAUUUGCUUUCUCGCCAAUCUGAAGCUUUAGAUGCUUCAAGGGCUUUGUUGCGGAGGCUGAGAAUCAAAUAGAAAGAAGUGUAAAGGUGCUUCGCACUGACCGAGGUCGUGAGUACUUGUCUGAUCAGUUCAAGACUUAUUGUGAGGAAAAGGGCAUUAGUAGACAGCUCACUGUUCCUGGUACUCCCCAAUAAAAUGGUGUUGCAGAGCGAAGGAACCGUACUCUAUUAGACAUGGUUAGGUCGGUGAUGGGUAAGUGCAACUUCCCAUAAAUUUUUGGGGAGAUGCUCUUUUAACUGCAGCCUACAUCCUUAAUCGAGUUGCUAGCAAAUUAGUGCCUUCUACUCCACAUGAGUUGUGGAGUGGUAGAAAACCAAGUUUACACUACUUACGCCCUUGGGGUUCAGCUAGAUAUGUUCACAGCCCCUCACAUAGAUUCGGGAAACUCGGCCCUAAAGAGAGCAAGCAUGUGUUCAUCAGAUACCCUGAAAAUUCGAAGAGCUAUGUGAUGUAUGGUGAACACCCAGAUAGUGGUAUGACCGAGAUUGUGUCUCGUGAUGUGGAAUUUUUAGAAGGGGAUUUUUAAAGCAAUUGGUGAAUGCGAAGAGACGUCGGAUUGUAUGAGUUACAGGACGACGCUACCCCAUCUACUAUUGAGGGUGAUCGAUCACUUCCCGAAGUCGCUGAAGGCAGUGGUAGCGAUCCUUUGGCUAGUGGGAGUGCUUCUUUGAGUGAGAGCAUACCCUUGGAAGCCGGCAAUUCAGACCUCCAUUACGUAGAAGUGAACGUGGACAUAUUUUCCGUCGACAUUUUGAAAUCGAAGGGGAUAUUUUCAUGUGCGCUCCGCUCGAUGAUGAUGAACUUGCUUCUGACAAAGAAGCACUACAGACGUCAGCUUGCAGUGAGUGGAUGGCUGCUAUGAAAGAUGAGAUGGACUCCAUGAGUAAGAACCAAGUAUGGGAAUUGGUUGACCUUCCGCCUGGGCGCAAGUCUAUUAGAAAUAAAUGUGUUUUAAAAUUUAAGCGCAAGGCAGAUGGAUCAAUCGAUAAGUACAAGGCUCGGCUCGUGGCCAAGGGCUACACUCAGAGGUAGGGGAUAGAUUACAAUGAGACAUUUGCUCCCGUUGUGCGAUUUGCCUCUAUUUGUUUGAUUCUAGUCUUAAUGGCAUACCUAGAUUUGGAAUUGUUCCAAAUGGAUGUCAAGAAAACUUUUCUCAAUGGAGAAUUAGCGGAGGAAAUCUAUAUGGAUCAACCUGAGGGUUUUGUAUUCAAAGGUCAAGAAGACAAAGUUUGUCGUCUUAAAAGAUCCAUUUAUAGUCUCAAGCAGUCGUCGAGACAGUGAUAUUUCAGGUUUUAUGAAGCCAUCACCUUUAUCGAUAUGUCCAUGAUAGAAGAGGACUACUGUAUAUAUGUCAAGAAGGCAGAGAAUGAGAUUUUGUUUCUCUCUCUAUACGUCAACGAUAUACUAUUGGCUGGAAAUGACAUGGAGUUAAUCAAUACCACUAAGGAGUGGUUGUCUCUCAACUUUGAAAUGAAAAACAUGGAUGAGGCGAGCUAUGUGCUCGGAGUGAAGGUCAUCCGUGAUCGCUCUAGAAAUCUUCUUGCUUUGUCUCAAGAAACUUAUAUUAACAAGAUUCUAAAGCAUUUAGGAUGCAUAAUUGUAAACCCAUUGACACUCCAGUGGAGAAGAAUCACACUCUGAGUCUUGAUCAGUGCCCUAAAACGGAUAAAGAAAAGGAGCAAAUGAGUAGGGUGAAAAGGAGCAAAUUAGUAGGGUUCCUUAUGCGAGUGCAAUUGGCAGCUUGAUGUACGCUAUGAUGUGUACUCGAUCUGAUAUUUGCUUCGCUGUUGGUUUGAUAAGUCAUUACCAGAGCAACCCAGGACCCAUUCAUUGGCAAGCAGUCAAGAGAAUCAUUUGAUAUUUAAAAGGAACUGGUGAUCUCCUUCUCUACUUCCAAGCUGGGGACUUGAGAUUGAAAUGAUAUAGUGAUGUUGAUUGGGGCGGUGAUAGAGAUGAGUACAGGUCCACCUCAGGCUAUGUGUUUGGAGGUGGGGUAAUUUCUUGGUACAGUAAGAAGCAGGGUUGCGUUACCUUGUCUACUAUGCAAGCGCCUUGUCUACUAUGGAAGCGAUGUAUGUUGCUUGAUCAGCAGCCGUUUAGGAGGCUGUUUGGCUGAGGAGAUUUCUUCAGCACCUCGACUUUGUGAUUCGAGCUGAUGAACCUGUUGAGAUAUUCUCUGACAGCAUGGCUGCCAUGGAGUAUGUGAAAGACUCCGAGUAUUAUGGCAGGAACUAAGUAUAUAGAUAUUCGUUUUCACUACAUUCGAGAUAUGAUUAGGCUAGGCGAGGUCGUUCUUAAACAUAUCUCCACCACUAGGAUGGUGGCUGAUUCGUUGACCAAGCCGAUAGCUAGGGAUAUGUUCCAGACCCACGUUAGGAGUUUGGGUCUUCGUAGAUUUUGAUAUAUAGACAUUAUUUUGUAUCUUACGCUUUAUUAAUGAAAAUAUGUUUUUCUCCUUUUAAUGUGAUUGCGUAAUUGAUACUAAUAGGCACAUAUUUGUUAAGUCACCAGGCUCAGAUUAGCCAACUUACACGGGUGAUCGCCCUAGCACCUAGGUGGUGAGCAGGAUGAGACUAAAUAAUCAUAUUAAACUUGAGUAGUUGUAAUAUGAUUACUUUGUUCAUAUACGUUAUGAAUGAAGUGUUGACAUAAUUUAAAAGUCGCCUUAAUUAGUUUAAGAUGAGACUCUUAGAGUCGGAUAUGAAAGUUUUUGUGAAAUUUCAUAUCAAGUCUGUAUAGUAGUCGAACCUAAGUGCUCAGGUUAGAGAGAUGACUUGAGUUUUGGUGGUUAGAUACCUUAGUGGUACCUAGACCAAGGUUCGUAUGGCGUUUUCUUUAGAGCGUGAUAUAACCCAUUGAGUGAGAGCUUCGCCAUAGUAUACAUAUCAUACUGUAUGUGCUUGUCGACCAGUUAGUAGAGUAACAUAAGUUCUUCCCUCCAUGUCACUGUGUGAGCACUAACCUUUUUUGUGCCCUCGACUUAGAACUACGUUAUGAAGUGGAGGUCCAAAGUAACUAACUUAGCGUGUAUCUCAAGGUCAUGAGAAAAUACGAUCUCGCGGAGCAUAUCUAGUAAAGUGCUUAGACCAAUAUGGAUUAACAUGAAGGGCUGAGGAAGAUGUUUCGAUAACACACUACGUAAGUUUUGUGACUCAUUGCCCGAGCGGUUAUCUCAGUUGUGUUACUUGAGAUAAUCAUGAGUACAAUAAAUAACUAUGGGGCCGAGCCUUGUCAUUACAGGAGAGGGACUUUGUGAUGCUUAAUCCGGUGUGUAUUGAAACGUCUAGGGCAUAAAUGAAUUUAGUCAGUGAUGUGCUAUGUUAGUUGGGUGGUGACUUAAUAUAGCACUCCUGCAUGUGUUUCUUUCGUCAGGUCGCACGCUUCAUUACCCGUAUGAAGAGAUAAAUGAAUGAGAGAGAAUUGGCCAAUGUGGCCAAUGUGGCCAAUAAGAAACAUAUCUUCUAGUGGAUAUCUAUCAUAUCCUAGUUCUUAUCCUAAUCUCUUUGUUAGAUUCAGGAUAUUUAGGGGUUCCGUUAUUCUAUAAAUACGUUCCCCUUUUCUCUCCCAUAAGAGAUGAUCGAAUACGAUCUAAUUCGAAAGAAUCCACGAUAAAUCCUCUUUCUUCUCUCUCUUUUUCCUCUCUGGGAUUUCCACCUACGUUCCUGGAGUUUUGGAGUGUGGACAUAGAAAGAGGACUCUGGUAGCCCUCUUCGAUUGACAUCCGUCACAUCAGAUCCGCAUCCAAUCCGUGACGUAAGGCGUACGCGUGGGAGAAGGCGAGAAACGUGGGAGAUCCAGAAGCAUUGAGACAAGGACGAUCCAAAAAGGCUUGUAAAACAAGCAAUCCGAUCCGAUUCCGGUUCCUGGAUACGUUGGCUAUCCGGUUUGUAAGUUUCCGUUGUCCUAAUAUUUCCAACAGCAUCCGAAUCCGGACCUGGUGAAAUAUAUUAUGCUGACAACCAGAAGACCGAUGUUGGUAGGAGGUGAUAGUCAAUAUAUUAUAUGAUGGUAGCAAUAUUGAAAAAAAGAUUAAAAAUAAAACUUACUCUUUCAUCAGUAGUAUAGAUAUAUAUUACUGAUGUGUCAAAUAUCAAUUCAAUCAUGCAAAAUAACUGUCGUCUUGCUGCUAGCUUUAUUCAAAGGACUUUUCCCUCAAGAACAGCAAUUGACCCAUCUUUUGAGCAUUUUUGGCACGAUUUCAUCCAACACUACUUUGUGCUUUUCAUUGAGGUAGUCGCGGCCAGGUUUGGAGGGAGAAAAAGAAAACAACAAAGUUUACUUGAUAUCUACUUUGGGAGUCCCAUAGAAGGAUGGCUCAGCAUCACCAAGGCUAGUUUUCCCUUAUAUCUUUCUCUUUGUUUAAUUUUUAGCUUCCUUUCUCAAACUCCUAUUCUGCUAAAUACUGAAUGACUCUAAAGAGGAGCGUUUCAAUAUCAUUAACCCAAAUAGGGAAGAAACAUGUUCCCUUUUUCCGUACUAGUGCUAAGGAAGCGAUUUCAUCCCAUUCUUAGGCCAAUCUUCUAGGUGGAGUUUUCUGUUUGAUAAGGGUUUCUAUGAGGUACUAUUCCUUUUCCAACUAAUAUUAAUCUAGCUUCUUCUACACUAGUACUGGACAAGAAAGAUAGGGUUUUUCUAGAGACUUGUGACAUUUUCUUUAUGAAGUAGAACCGUAUGGAUAAGGCUUUUCCCGGUUACGAGGCCGAGACCCAAGCAUUCCUUAAUCUUUUCAACGAAGGUUUCAACUUAGCUCGUGAAGAAUCAUUUGCAAUCAUCCAGGACCCGGACAAGGGUGAAUGCCUUGUAAGCCUACUUAAUCGAUGGUUAUCUCGGGAUCUCAGUACGCCCUACUACUUGGAUAUUGACAAGUUGGGGAAGUUCCAUGCAACCUUUGACUCUAUUCUCUAGCAUGCUUUUGAAAUCUUUCGUGGGGUAGAGGCCGCCAGGCAACAUGACACCAUUGUCUAACAGACCCCUCAAGGACUCUAAACAUCUAUACUUUGGACCUUUUUGUUGGAACAAAUACCGCAACAAAAAUCUGAUUGUAAUUAAAAUCUAACUAAUUUUGUAAUAAAGAUAAAAUCAAACUUACGGAUGACGCAAAUAUUCCAAUAAAGAUUUAAUCUUAUCCGGAAGCGUGCGAAGCACUGCCCUAAGAUGUAUUCCCGUCCUUACGUGCGGGAUUAACCGGAAAUAACACCCCAAGAUACAACCAGAAUUCCUCAUCCUGCGAGCACGAUCGUGAAGGAGGUUGACGGAGAUUCUCAACACCCAGUGGAUAAGGGGAUUGUUCAAAAAUGAAAGAUAAAAGAAUAAAUGGAUAGAGAUUAACCAAUGAUAAAAAAUCUUUACUGUGCUCUAUCUUGAGCAAGAAGAAAAAAAAAAACCUAAAAAGGAAAAGAGGAUUUUGCGCUUUUUCUCUUACGAGAAAGAAGCGGAACCUGCCCAACGUAAUGCGGAAGAAACGAAACGGAAAAUAUUCCAUUAGUUUCUUUCUCAUUAAGAAACAUAAUAAAAUAAUUAAAUUAAAUUAAAUAAAUAAAGUAGUAAAUAAAUAGAAUCAUAAAUAAUAAAUAAUAAAUAAUUUAAAGUUCACAUAAAAUAAAUUACGAAUUAAAAUCAAAUUUACUGAGUGUUUUAUACUAUGCAAUAGGUGAGGUGCCUUUAAGAGACUUAACCCCACUUAGUGUAAGCAGUUUCCAUCAGAAGGAAUCGGAGUGAACCAGGUCUUGAACUACGUUCCUUUGACCCUAACUUCAACCACCACACACACAGUACAGAAUUCUCCGUCGCGGGUCUGCGCGUUAAUGGCCAUGCACAGUACCUUGAUUUUUCAUAAGAGUUUCUAUGGAUAGCCCAUAUCACAUAGCCGCGGCCACAUACGGAUACUCUUAUGUAGGUGGUUUCCUCCAGGGAUGUGUGUAGAGUCACAUCUCGCAAAAAUUAUCACCUUGGAUCACAUUAAGAGCUCUCAGCUCAACCUAAUCCACUACACAGAGCACUACUCACCAUAGGGAUGGGAUUGGAGCUAAAACUUCUUUAUAAAAUUUGUAGAAAGUGCUCUUUUGGCCAACCUGAUAGCUUGUUUUACCAUAUUGAACCUUCUUCAAGAGAUCUCCUAUCACAAAGGUUGGAUUCUCACUGCAGAAAGGCCCUUUACGGGCAAAAUCCCAUCCCCCUCGAUGACAGCAGGACCAUAGCCCUCUUCAGGCCUUUCAUCAAGUAAUCUGCAAAAUUUCUGAUCAAAUCUGACAAAACUAAAAUAAUAAUAUCAUGAGAGGUUAGUCAUCUAAUAUACUUCUAUUUCAAUUUAAUAUGCCAGUUAACUUUAGAAUUUACUAAUAUUAUUUACAAGUUAAACAUUAGGAUAAACAAAAUGAAAUUACGAGAGCAAAUAUAAUAUCAAAAUUUAUCAAACUGAUAAAAGAGCUCCCUCCACAAUUUCUGAAAUACACUAAAAUUUAAAAUCAUGAGAUUUAAUCAUGUUGAAUAAAGUUUGAUUCAACAGCAAAUAAAUGUACCAAACAAUUUAAAUGUUUGAUUUCAUUUAAGUAAUCUUGAGCAGAUAUACACAAUCAAACACUCUUUAUGCAGCAAACAAAUUAUAAAUAGAGCUGAUACAGUAUAAGAGACAACACUAAUAAACAGGUUUGAUGGUUAGAGCAUUCAUUUAUAAAACAAGUGAACGCUAGUUGUCGAUUUCGAGUCCUACUUGAAGGGUUUUUUUUUUUUUUCAAAGGGUUUUAUAAUAGCAAAACUCAAACCGUACAUAAAUAGAAUUUUAUUUACUGUAGCAAAAAAAAAUCCACCCUUUUGGAUCCGUACGGUAAAAAAAAUUAAUAAUAAUAAAAAAAAGAUAAUAAUUUGCAGAUAAACAAUAUCCAAUUAGAAUUUCAAAAUGCAAAUCCCAACUUAUUUAAAUUUGAAUGACAAGCAUACAAGCAAGUUGUUAAAUAGAAUUAUAUGCAAAAAUAUAUGUAUAUAUUUUAAUGGAUUAGCACCGUUAGAUUUAAUCACAAUCAGAUAGGGAUAUACGCCUUAGAUUGUUGGAACAAAUACCGCAACGAAAAUCUGAUUGUAAUUAAAACCUAACUAAUUUUGUAAUAAAGAUAAAAUCAAACUUACGGAUGACGCAAAUAUUCCAGUAAAGAUUUGAUCUUAUCCGGAAGCGUGCGAGGCACUGCCCUAAGGCGUAUUCUUGUCCUUACGUGCGGGAUUAAUCGAAAAUAACACCACAAGAUACGACCGAAAUUUCUCCUCCUGCGAGUACGAUCGUGAAGGAGGUUGACGGAGAUUCUCAACACCCAGUGGAUAAGAGGAAUGUUCAAAAAUGAAAGAUAAAGGAAUAAAUGGAUAGAGAUUAAUCAAUGAUAAAAAAUCUUUACUUCCUGUUCUAUCUUGAGCAAGAAGAAAAAAAAAUGACCUAAAAAGGAAAAGAGGAUUUUACGUUUUUUCUCUUACGAGAAAGAAGCGGAACCCGCCCAACGUAAUGCGGAAGAAACUGUUAGUUUCUUUCUCAUUAAGAAACAUAAUAAAAUAAUUAAAUAAAAUAAAAUAAAUAAAGUAGUAAAUAAAUAGAAUCAUAAAUAAUAAAUAAUAAAUAAUUUAAAGUUCAAAUAAAAUAAAUUCAAACUCAAAAUUUUGAGUUUUCACCAACACUUUUCUCUUACCAAAUAGAAUCUAACAAGUGACAAAAUGAUUCCCUAGGCAGAGCAAUGUGUUGCAACCCUCAAAAUGGAGCUGGCCUCAAUUCGAUGUUGAUUGGCAAAUGACUUGCCGAGUCUUAACGAGCUAAAGACCGAUGACUUGCCCUAAUUCACAAAGGCAUUGAGGUUGCAACUUCUCCCUGAUCUCUCUCACGCUAUUGAUUUCGCUAGAGCAGGUGAAAAAUAAAGGCAGAGCAGGUGAAGAGUAUUAAAUAUACAAAUUCCGAAAUAACCAUAUUGAUUACUGCAGCUAUAUGUCCAGACCCAGAGCCAUGAAACUCUUUUAUGUAGUUUGCACCUUCUUGACUCCAUUCAGUAUUUCAACUAUAGGCCCUUUUCCUUUCUCCCAAUCGGCGAAAGAUAGUUUUUUGUAUCACUUUCUAUAUCCUUCUUCAAAAAAUAGUACCAAUUAUCCAUCCAGUGGCCCUAAGAAUUAUGCCACUUACGGAUAAAGCCAGAAAUUAAGAUUUGGGGGGAGGGAGGGAAUAUUUAGAUUUGACAGGGAAAAAUUUCGACCUUGGAUAGUAAGAAAAAAAAUUUGUCAGAUUCACUGAUUAACUAUUACUAGCAACAAUAGCGACAAUGUGCUCAAAGCGGAACAAGAUUGUAAGAGUUGAAGGGAAAGGACUAAGGGAUUCGAAAAAAAUUGGGACACAAGUUUUAUUAAAAAAAAUUAAUUUGGCCCCCCUAAAAUUAAAAAUUAUAAUAUUUUAAUUUUUAUUAUAAAGGACUUCUAUGUAAGUUUAAAAAGUUUAUGGAGGGCCAUUGCCACUGUGGGCCCCUCAAGGCUCCACCCUUGAUGCCACUAUUAAUUUUUUUCACUCCUUAUCUCUUUUGUUGUAGGCAAGGCAUGUCCUUCCGGCAGUUUGAUCUAUUGUCCUUCGAUAGAUUUGUCCUUUGGUAGAGUAUCAAAUAUCUGCUCAGUCAUUGAUAGUCGAAAGAUAAUGUUUGUUUUCUUUCGAGACUUUUAUCUUUUCUGAUCUCAAGGCUUUAGGGCCAAACAUAUGUAAAGAUGGCCUUUCAAUUAACUCGACUAUGCAACAUCUCACUCGGCCUCGUCCGAAUGCUCCUAAGAAUCUUCCUAUACGUUAGCCUCCUUAUAGUCAAGAUAUGAGACAUCAUUCCUCGUGAAUGUUCGAGGUCUGAUUUAUCUCGAUUUUCUUACUUGCGGCUAUAUAAUUGCUUAUAUUAGACAACCUGUAAGCCGAGUUAGAAUAAGUUGGGAAAUUCAAUCCCCUCAAAAUAAUCUAGCAACCAGAACUGCAGCCUGUUGAAGGCGAACUUUGUAUAUUAAACCUCGAUAUUCCUAGAUAGCGUUGUCCCUGGGCUGCUUUGAACCGUGCGAUGUAGGUUUCGAUCGGCUCAUUCGACUACUGUUUAAUAUUCGUGAGGUCAACUAUAUAUGGAGACCUCGAAUUCCACUCUGUAAAAUUGUAUUUGGAACUUACAUUCUGUGCCUUUCCAAUUUUGAAUCAAGUUUGUAGACAGAUUAGCAUACCAUGCGAAUAUGGUUUGUGUUAGAAACAGACUUAUACUACAACAGAAUUAGGUUAUAGGGACACAUGUUUGGAACACUUUUGUGUAAGUGUCACAUUUAUACCUAAAUUAUAAAAAAAAUCUACUAACAUCUAAAUAUAAAGCCUAAUCUAACCAAAAAUAAAAGGUUACUCUACUCAACCCACCCCACCCAGCACAUUCGACCCAAUUACAAAUAAAAAAGAAAAAAAUUUAGAAAAAUCGAUUACCAUCUCCUCUUCUCCUCUCACUCAAUCCACUAAAAUUUUAGACGAAGAGCCCUUCCCUCUCGUCCUCCUCCGCCACCGCAGCCAACGAGAUAGAGUUCCGGCGGUUGCUAAAUGCUUAAAUAAGUGUUGGUAAAUUAGCAGCACUCUUUUUAAGUUAUAGCGACACUCAUUAACUGUCACUAUAUACCUAGUGACCCUACAUAUAGCAACACUUUUCAAAAGUGUUGGUAAUUUAGCCAGCAGCACUUUUUUUUACUUAUAUCGACAUUUAAAAGUAUCGCUAUAAACCGUUUUUAUUGUAGUAUAAACAACUACAACUUUAAGGCCGGAUGGGCUGCGACUUUAUCAUAUUUUGCCACGAAACAAGCAAUGUGCUCCAAAAUAGAUUGGUUAUCCUCCUCAAGGAAUGUGGUAACUUUUAGCAUCUUGUAUUGCUAAACAUAGGCUAAAUAAAGGUGCUAAAAGCUGACUCUGGACACUCUCCGAGUGUUAAAUUAGUUGAACUAUGUGGCCUAGUUGCUCAAUCUGCUAUCAGAGAUCCUAUUAGUUUGCUAGGCAUUACGACGCUGAUCGAUCCUUAGCAGCAUAAACUGGUUGUGCUUGGCGUUAUUGCAUGCAGGGUGUUCAUAAUCAAAAUGAUUACAUCCCUCAUACUAAUUUAAGGGUUCCUAGUAAUCGAAUGAUUGCAUCCCUUAUCAAUUUAUGCAGAUUGAUCCUGGUCGUACCGUUGUACUAAGUAUAGCAUUCAUUUUCGAUUGGAGGUGACUUUGAUGGCGGCCACAUUGCUCCACCCACCAGCCAGUCCUAAGUACCAACAGGUUAUAAAUUCGGAUGGUAUCAAUCUGCCCAUACAUCAUAGGAAUAUAACCCUACCAAUUUGCAACCCUAGCUUGGCCGACGAGGACUGCUUAAGGCUGAUUGCCACCAGCAGUCGAAGGUUUGUUAUAGGCCAUGGGUAACUUGUGGUUGAUGGCAGCCACUUGUUCUGCAAGCACUAAAGUAUUCUGGCUCAUCUCAAUACCAUUGAAGGGCACUGCGUGGUGCCCUCUCUGACCAUCUUUAGGGCUGUAGCCAUGGACUGGACAGGCCUGGCCCCUAAUGUUAGGGCCCGUUUGGUUCGAGUUAUGUAAUAUUACAAAGUAUCUCGACAUAUCCAGGUAUCUUGGAUUUCGGCGUGAGAUUACUACUAAUGCUACAUUAGAGCGUUUGGUUUAAUACAGUAAUGUAAUACUAGAUUACAGUGUUUAUAACAUUAAUAUGUUUGGUUCAGUUUAUAAAAUUUAGUAAUCCUGACAUAAAAGUAUAGUUUUUUUCCAAAAUUGCCCUUGUUGUGGUCAUUUGAAUAUUAUUUUUUGCGGAAAUGACGAAUGGAGGGAAGGAGAUCGUGAUGAUUACUUGGGAGGACGACGCAAUAGAAGAUGAUAGGUGUUCGUGCGAGAGAGAGAGAGAGAGAGAGAGAGAGAGAGAGACGUCCAGAGAGAGAGAGCGAGAGAAAGCGGCGUGCGAGAGAGAGGGCCGGGGGGAAGGCGAGAUAGAGAUGGAAAUAAUGCUGUUAAUUAGAUUUGGGGUCGUUGGAGGGUAAAAUUGUCAUUUUACAUAAUAUGUAGUAUUAACGGGUUUCAGUAAUGCAAGAUACACGACCCCCCUCCCGUUAAUAUUUUCGAUGUAAUCCUGCUCGAUUUGUAAUCCUACAUUAACGACUAGAUUACAUAGCGGAUUAACCAAACAUAGUUAUCCUGGCAGGAUUGCCUGUAAUCCUGCCAGGAUAACUCGAACCAAACGCACCCUUAGGGGAAUGCUGCACCCCAAAUAGCCCUAGCAGCUCCAUUGCUACUAGGACACUUUCAGAUUCCACUUAUGAGCAUUUUUCUAGGAACUCCCAGAAUCUUUGAUUUUGCUCGAGCAUUUUUGAAGAUCUCUAGUUUAUGUGUUCUAUGAACGUCAGCAUUCAUGCCAUCAAUUCUGAUAACCCAGUAAGAACGACUACGAAGGCAUGUUUGAUAUGAUUACGGGUGGAGGUCAACUAUCGGCUUUUAAAAGAAACACCAAACCUGAUUGGCCAUCCGCAUCAUUCCUAAGAACUGUUUGGUUUUGUAGGCGCAAAUUAUUGGCAUCAUUGCUGGCCAAAGUAACUUUGUCAAAAGGUCCGACCGGGUAUGCCGACUUUUAAAUUGUAACGACCCAACCCACUAGCAAUAAUAAUUCGUUAGGCCCAGUCAACAGCCCAAAAUGCUUAAGCCCAUUUAUUAUUACUAGUGUCUAAUUCUUUUAUAAACCCAAUGACAACCCCAUUCCCAUCCGAUGUGGGACUAUUGGGGUGUCACAUAAAUAUUAGCGGAGGAAGAUCGUGACUAAACACAUGGUGUGUUCUGGUUUGUCCAUUAGUGCCUUGUACCAUGAUGUGUAUUAGUAAGGUUGGAAUUGACUUGGUAUCAAGAGAGGACAAGAGAGGAAGCAAUCUGGUCGGGUUCGAGCUCGAGGAAAGGCCUCGAGGUCUUCGCACGAACGAGCCAUAACCAUUCGCUUCUGCUUGAUGCUCCAUUGUUAUUUGGCUCAAAGUGGGAAUGCAAGAGCCGCCAGGUAGUAGUGGUUCUCAAAGUGACUAGACGACAAGGAUGAAGGCGUGCGACAUGGGGAAGUAUGUUCGUCGGCGAGGAUGAGGUAGUCUGACAGUGAUUGAAAUGGUGCAAUCAUCGGGAGUGAUAUUGUUGAGAGAUGAGUGGUAGUAGAUCGUCGAAAGCAAUAUUGUCGAGAGCUGAGUAGGGGGAGAUUAUAUAUUACGCUACCCGUAGAUUUCUUUUACGACUACUCUUAGGCUAUAUCACAACUACUCCCAUUUCUCGAUGCAAUGUGUAGAUUGGUAUCUGUGGCGUGAUGUUCAAAUUCCUCUCUCUAUAGUUUAUAGAUAUGCCGUCACGAUUGUCGAAUUAACUCUCGUGAUUCACCAACUUUCUUUCCUCAAUUGACCCUUAACUCCGCACUUAAGAUCACGCCUAUUUGAAUUUGGAAUCAAUUGAUUCAGAGUGGCUCAUUUCUCAAUCACCGAAGUGGAUGUGUUCAGGUGUGACGUCGAAAGUCAAGUUGGCCACUCUUCGGUAGGCCUCUUUGCCGUAGUCUCCUUUGGCGCUCUAUCCUAUCAGUAGCUCCUUUUCGGUGUUAACAUUAUCCAAAUGAAGGAAUCUGACUUUUUUUUAAACAUAAUUAGAGUAUUUGGACUUUUUAGCAAUCAAAUUUUAUGAUUUUAUGAUAUCAUUUAUCUAAUGAUCAAGUGGCACGUCAAAUUUAUUUUAUUUUAAUUAUUAAAAUUUGUCAAUUUUAAACCACUUAAAUGCCACGUAAAAUAUAAUUUAAAUAAAUUAUAAAAUUUGAAAUGCAAAAAGCUUAAAUACUACAGACCACGUUUAAUAGUGUUAAUCGCCAAUACAAUGCCCCAUUGUUGAAAUGGAUGCGAAGAUAUUCUAAUCCAGUUCAUAUUAUGUAUAACAUCACAUUCUUUAAUAUUGUAUCAUAAACUAGUAUAUUGUUUAAUAUUAUAUAUAUAUAUAUAUAUAUAUAUAUAUAUANNNNNNNNNNNNNNNNNNNNNNNNNNNNNNNNNNNNNNNNNNNNNNNNNNNNNNNNNNNNNNNNNNNNNNNNNNNNNNNNNNNNNNNNNNNNNNNNNNNNNNNNNNNNNNNNNNNNNNNNNNNNNNNNNNNNNNNNNNNNNNNNNNNNNNNNNNNNNNNNNNNNNNNNNNNNNNNNNNNNNNNNNNNNNNNNNNNNNNNNNNNNNNNNNNNNNNNNNNNNNNNNNNNNNNNNNNNNNNNNNNNNNNNNNNNNNNNNNNNNNNNNNNNNNNNNNNNNNNNNNNNNNNNNNNNNNNNNNNNNNNNNNNNNNNNNNNNNNNNNNNNNNNNNNNNNNNNNNNNNNNNNNNNNNNNNNNNNNNNNNNNNNNNNNNNNNNNNNNNNNNNNNNNNNNNNNNNNNNNNNNNNNNNNNNNNNNNNNNNNNNNNNNNNNNNNNNNNNNNNNNNNNNNNNNNNNNNNNNNNNNNNNNNNNNNNNNNNNNNNNNNNNNNNNNNNNNNNNNNNNNNNNNNNNNNNNNNNNNNNNAAAGGAAAAGGAAAAAAGAAAAGACAAAAGAGAGGAGAGAAAAAAUUUCGUUAACUUUUAACCCAUCUAACAGUGUGUUUCCUAUUAAAAGGAAAAUCCAUCUCAACCAUCUAUUUAGAUAGAUGGAUGGUGGAUGCCUUAAUAGCACAGGGGCUGCUGUGCUCUUAAUAACACAGCAGCCCAACUCACAUUAUAUAUAUAUAUAUAAUAUAAUGUUGUAUUUACGACUUUAUGGUUGAUAAUUUUACUUUCUAUUUCAGAAGAUAUAUUACUAUAUCCUUACUUUUCCAAGGCAAUCAAAGGAAAAAAAAAAAAAAAAAAAAAAAAANNNNNNNNNNNNNNNNNNNNNNNNNACUUAACCUGGAAAUAAACCCAAAGAUCAACCAGAAUUCUCUCCUGCGAGCAGUCGUGAGGAGGUGACGGAGAUUCUCAAACACCCCCCCCUGUGGAUAUGGGGAAUUGUUCAAAAAUGAAGAUAAAAGAUACAUGGAUAGCAGAUUAAACAAUUGAUAAAAAAUCUUACGUGUGCUCUUCUUGUUGAGACAGAAGAAAAAAAAACCUAAAGGAAAAGGGAUUUUGGCUUUUUUCCUUCGAGAAGAAGCGACUGCCCAAGUAGAUGCGGAAGAAACCGAAACGGAAAAUAUUCAUUAGUUUUUUCUCAUAUAAGAAACAUAAUAAAUAAUUAAAAUUAAAUUAAAUAAUAAGAGUAAUAAAUAGAAUCAUAAAUAUAAUAAGUAAAUAAUUUAAGUUCACAUAAAAUUAAAUUACGAAUUAAAAUCAAUUUCUUGAGUUGUUUUUACUAUCCAAGGUGAGGUGCCUUAAGAGGACUUAACCCACUUAGUGUAAGCAGUUUCAUCAUAGGAAAUCGGAGUGAACCAGGUUCUUGAACUACGUUCGCUUUGACCUAACUUCAACACCACAACAACAGUACAGAUCUCCGUGCGGGUCUGCGAGUUAAUGGCCAUGCAAGUACCUUGAUUUUCUAAGAAGUUUUUGGAUAGCCAUAUACUAGCCGCGGAAAUACGGAUACUCUUAUGUAGGUGUGUGUUUCUCCAGGAUGUGUGUAGAGUCGAAUCUGCAAAAAUAUCAACUUGGAUCACAUUAAGAGCUCUCAGCUAACUAAGCCAAUACACAGAGCACUACUCAUAGGGAUGGAUUGGAUGCUAAGAAACUUCUUUAUAAAAUUUGUAGAAAUGCGACUCUUUUGGCCAACUGAUAAGAUUUUUUAACGCAUAAUUGAACCUUAUUCAAGGAGAUUCCUAAUCACAAGGUUGGAUUCUCAACUUCAGAAAGGCCCUUUACAGUGGCAAAAUCCAUCCCUCGAAUGAAAGCAGGACCAAGCCGUAUUAGGCCUAUUCAUAAAGUAAUCUGAAAAAUUUCUGAUCAAAUGCUGACAAAGCUAAAAUAAUGAAUCAUGAGAGAGUUUAGUAAUAUAAUAUACUUCUAUUUCAUUGAUAUCAGUAUAAUAUAUAGAAAAUAUAUCAAUAAUAUUAUAUAUAAAGUUAAACAAUUAGGAAAUAACAAAAAUGAAAAUUACAAAAAACAAAACAAAAAGAAGAGCAAAUAUAAUAAAUCCCCACACCUAAAAUUAAAAAAAUGAUAAAGAGCUACCUCCACAAUACAUGAAAUAAGACUAAAAUUUAAAAAUCUGAGAAUUGAAAUCAUGUUGAAUAAAGAUUUAUUCAACAACAAAUAAAAUGUCCAAAACAAUAUUAAAUGUUUGAUUUCAUUUAAGUAAUCUUGAAGCAGAUAAUACACAAUCAAACAAAUCUUAUGCAGCAAAAAAUGUAUAAAUAGAGUGAUACAGUAUAGAGACAAUCACUAAUAAACAGGUUUGAUGGUAGAGCAUUCAUUUUAAACAGUAGAACGUAGUUUCGAUUUCGAGCCUACUUUGAGGGUUUUUUUUGUUUUUUUCAAAGCAGGUUUUAUAUAGCAAAAACUCAAACCGUAAAUAAAUAGAAUUUUAUUUACUGGAGGCAAAAAAAAUUCCACGCUUUUGGAUCCGUCAGGUAAAAAAAUUAAUAAAUAAUAAAAAAAAUGAUAAUAAAUUUGCGAAUAAAGCAAUAAUCCAAAUAUGAGAUUUCAAAAAUAGCCAAAUACCUCAAAUUAUUUAUAAAUUGAAUGGACAAAAGUUACAAUGCCAAGUUGUUAAAUAGAAAAUAAUAUAUGCAAGAAAUAAUAUGUAAUAUAUUUUAAAUGGAUUAGCACGUUAAGAAUUUAAUCACAAUCAGUAGGGAUAUACGCUUAAGAUUGUGGAGAAAAAAUUACUGCAACGGAAUAUUGAGGAAUUGUAUGUUAAUUAACCUAACUGAUUUUGUAAUAAAAAGAUAAAAUCAACUUACGGUGACGAAACUUUCAUAAAGAAUUGAUACUGAAUAUCGGAAGGUGCGAUGGCAUAAACAUGCCCAAUAGGAGAAAUUCAUGUCUUACCGUGCGGAUUAAUCGAAAUAAACACAAAGUAACGACCAAAUUUCUCCUCUGCGUAGUCGUGAAGGAGGUUGACGGAGAUUUCUCAACACCAGUGGAUAGUGGAAAUGUUCAAAAUGGAAAGAUAAAGGAAAUAAAUGGAUAGGAUUAAUCAAAUGAUAAAAAUCUUUACUUCUAGUUAUAUUGAGCAAGAGAAAAAAACAUGACCUAAAGGAAAGAGGAUUUAAGUUUUUUCUCUUCGAGAAAGAAGCGAACACGCCCAACGUAAUGCGAGAAACUGUUAGUUUCUUUCUCAUUAGAAUAUAAAAUUAAUAAAUAAAAUAAUAAAUAAAUAGUAAUAAUAGAAUAAUAAAAAUAAAUAAAAAUAAAUAAUAAUUAAGAUUAAAAUAAAAUAAUAUCAAAAUAAAAAUAUAUGGAAGAUUAUUCACAACAAACUUUUCUCAUUAACCAAAGUAAGAAUCUAAACAAGAGUACACAAAUGAUUCCUAGGCAGGCAGGAUGUUGCAAACCUCCAAAUGAAAAUGGCAUUCGAUGUUGAUUGGCAAAAUGAUUGAGAGUCUUAACGAGCUAAAGACCGAUGAAUUGAUCUAUUCACAAGGCAAUUGAGAGUAGACAAAUUUAUAGUCCACUGAUCUCUCUCCGCUAUGAUUUCGACUGAGCAAGUGUGAAAUAAAGGCAGAGAGUGAAAGGGAUUAAAUAAUACAAAUUCCGAAAUAAACAUAUGAUUACGCCAGACGGUUAUAUGUCCAGACCCAGAGCAUAACUCUAAUUUAUGUAAAGUUUGCACCUUCUUGAACUCCAUCAGUAUUUCAACUAUAGGCCCUUUCCUUUCUCCCAAUCGGCGAAGAUAGUUUUUUGCUAUCAUUUCAUUAUCCUUCUUAAAAAUUGUUACAUUAUCAAUCCAGUGAGCCCUAGAGAUUAUGCACUUCGGAUUAAGCCAGAAAUUAAGAUUUGGGGGAGGGAUGCGUUAUUUAGAUUUGACAGGGAAAAUUUCGACCUGCGCUUAGUAAAGGAAAAAAAAAAUUUUGUAGAUUCAACUAUUAACGAUUAUUAGCAUACUAUGCACAAAUGUGACUCGAAAGCGAAAAGAUUGUAAGGUUGAAGGGAAAAGGACUAAGGAUUCGAAAAAAAUUUGGGACACAAGUUUUUUAUUAAAAAAAUUAAUUUGCCCCUAAAAUUAAAAUUAUAAUAUUUUAGUUAUUUAUAAAGGACUUCGUAUGUAAGUUAAAAAGUUUAUGGGGGGCAUUGCCACUGUGCCUCAAGGUCCACCCUGUGCCACUAUUUAUUUUUUUUUCAUCCUUAUCUCUUUUUUGUAGGCCAAGGGCAUGUCCUUCGGCAGUUUGAAUAUUGUCAUUCGAUGUUUGUCCUUGGUAGGUAUCAAAUAUCUGCUCAGUAAUUGAUAGUCGAAAGAUAAUGUUUGUUUUCUUUCGAGAUUUUAUCUUUUUGGAUCUCAGCUUUAGGGCCAAAAAUAUGUAAGAUGGCUUGUCAAUUAAUGGACUAUCAACAUCUCAAUCGGCCUCUUUCGGAAUGUCUAGGAUCUUCCUAUACGUUAGCCUCUUUCUAGUCAGAUAUGAGACAUCAUUCCUCGUAAUCUUCGAGUCUUGAUUUAUCUCGAUUUUUCUUACUUGGUAUAUAAUUGUUAUAUUAGAAACCUGUAACGCCGAUUAAUAAGUUUGGGAAUUCAAUCCCUUCAAAUAUCUAGCAACCAAACUGAGUCCUGUUUGAGGCGAACUUUGUAUAAUUAACUCGAUAUUCGGUGGAGGAGGUAGCGUUGUCCCUGGGCUGCUUUGGAACCGUGCGAUGUAGGUUUCGAUGGACUCAUUCGACUACUGUUUAUAUUGUGAAGGGUCAACUAUAUAUGGAGACUCGAAUUCACUCUGUAAAAUUGUAGUGUAGGAAUUAAUUCUGAGUGCUUUGACCAAUGUUGAAUCAAGUUUGUAGACAGAUUAGCAUACCAUGGAAUAUGGUUUGUUUAGAAAGACUUUAUACUACACAGAAUUAUGGUUAUGGGUCACUGGUUGACAAUUUUGUGUAAGUGGAAUUAUACCUAAUAUAAAAAAAUGUAUAACAUCUUAAAAUAUAAAGCCUAAUCUAACCAAAAUAAAAGGUUACUUACUCAAACACUCCACCCGCACAUUCGACCCAUUAAAAAAGUGAAGAAAAGAAAAAAAUUUAGAAAAUCGGGAUUACAUAUCCUCUUUCUCUCACUCAAUCACUAAAAUUUUAGACGAAGAGCCUUCCUCUCGUCCUCCUCCGCACGCAAGCCAACGAUAUGGUUCGCGGUGCUAAAUGCGUUAAAUAGUGUGGUAAAUUUGCAAGCAUCUUGUUAAGUUAUAGCGACACUCAUUAAUGUCAUAUAUAGCUAAGUGACCCUAACAUUAGCAACACUUUUCAAAAGUGUUGUAUUUAAGCAGCGCACUUUUUUUACUGGUAUAUCGAAUUUAAACUUCGCAUAUAAACGUUUUGAUGUAUUAAGAAAACUACAACUUGUGAAGGCGGAUGGGCUGCGAUUUAUCAUAUUUUGCCAACGAGACAAGCAAUUGCUCCAAAAUAGAUUGGUUAUCCUCUCAUGAAUGUGUAAGUUUAGGAUUUAGGUAUCUAAACAUAUGCUAAUAAAGGCUGUGAAAGAAGCGAUCUGACACCUCGCGUGUUAAUUUAGUUUAAAAUAUGGUGGCCUAGGUUGUCAAUCUCUUGCUAUCAGAGAUCGCUAUUAGUUUGACUAGGCAUUCGACGAUGAACGCAUCGCUUAGCAGGCAAUAAGACGUGGUUGUGUUUGGCGUUAUUGAUGCAGGGUGUUCAUAAUCAAAAAUGAUUAUAUUCCUAUAGUUAAUUUAUAGGGUUAUAGUGAAUUCGAUGUAUUGGAUCCCUUAUCAUUUAUGCGAUUGGCCUGGUCGUACGUUGUGAACUAAGUAUAGGCAUUCAUUUCGAUUGGCAGGUGACUUGAUGGCGGGCCACAUGUGCAAAUCACCACCAGCUGUCCGUAAUUACAAACAGGUCUAUAAUUAUCAGGAUGGUAUCAAUUGCCCAUACAUCAUAGGAAUAUGAACACCUACCAAUUUGCAACCUAGCUUUGGCGACGAGAUGCUUAGGCUGAAUAUGCACAGCAGUUCGAUGGUUUGUUAUAGCCAUGGGUAAUGUGUGGUGAUGGCCAGACACUAUGUUCGUGCAACGCAACUCAAGAGUAUUUCUGGGCUCAUCUCAUACCAUGGUUUGAAGGGGCACUGGUGGUGCUCUCGAAGCAUUUUAGCGAUGUAGCCAUGAGAUGGACAGGCUGGCCCCUUAAUGUUAGGGCCCUUUGGUCGAGUUAGUAUAUUUACAAGUAUCUGAGAUAGUCCAGGUAUUUGGAUUUCGGCGUGAGGAUUGACUGAUAAUUGCUAAUUAGAGCGUUGUGGUUUAAUAGUAAUGUAAUAUAGUUUACGUUAUACAUAAAUAUGUUUUGGUGUCAUUAGAAAUUAGUAGAUCUGACUAUAAAUGUAUAGCUUUUUUUUCCCAAGAAUUGCCCUUUGUUGUGAGUCAUUUUGAGAUAUUAUUGGUUGCGAGAAGAUGAGAGAGAUGGAGGGAGUAGAUCCCGAUUACAGUCCAUUUUCGUUCAAAAAUAAUGAUAUUACUUGAAAGUGGAACCACAUACAAAGGGCCAAUUUUGGAAAAAAACUAUACUUUAUUAAAUGUCAGAGUUUUAAUUUUACAUGAACCCAAAGAAUGUUAAGACGGGACGACGGAUAGAAGAUGAUAGGAUGUUCUUCGGGCGCUGAGAUGGAGAGACAGAUCACCGGAGAUAGAAGAGAGAGAGAGACGGGAGACGUCCAGAGGGAGAGAGCGAGAGAAAGCGCGGACUGCGAGAGAUGCAGGCGGGGGGUAAGGCGGAAUAGAGUAUGUGAAAUAAGUUUAAUUAGAUUUCGGGCUCGUUGGAGGGUAAAUUUGUCUUUUACAUAAUUGUAUUAUUAAGGAUUCAGCUAUUAGCAUAUACACGAGGGGGGCACCCUCCCGUUAAUAUUUUCGACAUAGAUAAUCACACUGCUCGAUUGGUAAUCAUAACAAUUAACGACAUAAAAAUAAAUACAAAUAAAGCGGAUUUAACAAAUCAUAGUUACCUGCAGGAUUGCCUGUUAAUUCCUGCCAGAUAACUCGAACAGAACGCACCUUAGGGGAAUGUGCACCCCAAAUAGCCUUAGCCAGCUCCAUUGCCUACUAGGACAUUUCGAUUCACUUAUGAGCAUUUUUCUAGGACUCCCAGAAUCGUUACUGAUUUGAUCGAGCAUUUUUUUGAAAUGAUACUCUGUUUAUGUGUUCUUGAACGAUGUCGCAUAAUCCAUCAAUUAUGAUAACCAAGUAAAGAACGACUACGAAGCGAUGUUUGAUAUGGAUUACGGGUGAAUGGUCAACUAUUCGGUUUUAAAGAAAACACCAACCUGUGGCCAAAUCCGCAUAAUUCAAUUUAAGAAAGUGUUUGGUUUGUAGGACAGCAAAAUUCAACUAUGGCAUCAUUGCUGGCCAAAUAACUUUGUCAAGAAGGUGAAAAUGGCGACCGGGUUAUUGAACGAGUUUAAAUUGAUAACGAAACCCAUAGAAAAUAAUUGUUAGGCCCCAGUCAACAAAGACCCAAAAUAGCUUAGCCCAUUUAUUAUUACUAGGUCUGAAUUUCUUUUAAAAACCAAUAGACAAACCCCAUCAUCAGAUGUGGGGAAUUGGGGCUGUCACAGACUCCCUCCUCUAAGUCACUGAGGUCCUCGUCAGUGCCAAAUCACACCAGCCCAAGCGGAUCACCAGCGCUAUGUUGCAGACUCGAAUAUCGCUAGCCGUCAUCCAGACCCUGCUCUAGCCAAGAGACUCAGCAACAUGUUCAAUGCGCGUGAACCAGCUCUGAACCACCAAUGUAAACGACCCAGUACCCAAUAGUAAUAAUAAUCGUUAGGGCGCAGUCAAGCCAAAAUGCUUAGACCGAUAAUUAUUACUAGUGUCUAAGUCUGUUAUUAAACCCAAUGACAACGCCUUCCCAUCGAUGUGGGACUACUUGAGUCCGCGGCGUCGGGUGUCAACCGAAAAUAUAGCGGGAGGCACAGAUCGAUGGGACUAAACAUGUCGUGUUCUACGGUGUCCAUUAGUGCCUGUUGUACCAUGAUGUGUUUAUGUAGGUUGAAUUGACUUGGUAUCAAGAUUGAGGACAGAGAGGAGCCAAUAUGGUCAUGGGUUCUGGGACGCUCGAGGAACCGGCCAGUCGAGCGUCUGGUCGCAGCGAAGAGCCAAAUCCAUCGUUUGCUUGCAUGCUCCAUUGUUAUUGGUUCUAAGAAAUGGAUGCACAGAACGGCCAUAAUAGUGGUUCUCAACAGUGAUAGACAGACAAGCAUGAAGAGUGGCGCACAUGGGAAGUAUGUUCGUCGGCAGCAACAGAUGAGCUAGUCGACAGUGAUUAAUGGUGAAUGAUCGGGAGUAUAUUGUUGAGAGGAUGACGUGGUAGUUAAUCGCUCGAAAGCAAUAUUGUGAGCGAAGCAUGCACAGCUAGGGCGGAAGCCAUCUACACUAUUACGCUUACCCGAUAGACUCUUCUUCUUAGCGUACUUUUAGGCACUAUCGCACAACUACUCCAUUUCUCGAUCCAAUGUGCUAGCAGACAUUCGGACUCCUGUUGUGGGCGUGAUGUUCAAAUUCCCUCUUCUAUAGUUCUAUAGACUAUGCGUCACGAUUGUGAUUACCUUUGACUGCACCAACUUAUCUUUCCUCAAUGACCCAUUAACUCCGCCCAACUUAAGAUCACGCCUUUUGAAUUUGGAAUCAGAUUGAUCAGCAGUAAGGCUCAUUUCUCAAUCCCAAGUGCCGAUGUGUUCAGGCAUGUGACGUCGGAAAGUCAAGUUGGCAAACUCUUCCGGCUAGUACUCUUUUGCGUACGUCUCUUUGUCGGCUCUAUACUCAUCAGUAGCUCCUUUUUCAGGUAGCCGCGUAACUUAUCAAAUGAAGAAUCUGACUAUUUUUCUCCCUCCACCAGACAUCCUCUAGGCUAUUUGGCCACUUUUUAGCAAGUCAAAUUUUAGUUUUAAUGAUAUCAAUUUUUUAAUCAUUCAAGUGGCAGUCACAUUUUAUUUUAUUUUAAUUAUUAAAAUUUGUCCAAUUUAAACACUUACAAUUGCCACGUAAAUAUAAUUUAACACUAAAUUAUAAAUUUGCAAAUGCAAAAGGCUUGAAAUAAUCACAAGACCGCGUUUAAUUGUUAACUCCCCACUCCCACAUGCCCCAUUGUGAAAUGGCCCAUGGAAGAUUUCUAACUCUAGUUAAUUAUUUACCUGCUUAACUAACCCAUAGCAUUCUUUAAAUUGUAUCAUAAACUAGCGUAUAUUUAAUAUUAUAUAUAUAUUAUAUAUACUACUAUAAUAUAUUAUAUAUUAUCUGCUUUUAGAGGAAAACCAACCGCGUCUAGAUGCCAAUGUAUAAAAGUUAACCGGACUUUUUCUCUUCUUGUUUUUGGUCUUUUUUUUUUUUUUCCUUUUCCUUGUCUACUUCCCAGCGUUCCUCUUCCCCUUUUUCUCUCUUUUCUUGUUCUCUCUCUCUCGCACUCUCUACUUGACCACGUUAAAUACUCCCCUUCGUUUUUCUCCCAAUCUAUCUCCCUCUCCUCUCCCUCUCCGUUCCUGGAAUAGCUGGACAUUUCUGUUCGUAGAAUUUUUUCCGCUCGUAGAACUUUGAACAAUGCAGACAGGCAAGGGAGCUGCAGCGGGGGUCGGUCCGGAGAGAGUCCAGCGCCCUGCGCCAGGGCCGCGCCUCGGAGUGAAAGGUAGCGAAGGUGGGCCUCCUCGCGCGGCUUGGGUGGUCCUGCAGGGCGCAACAAGGGGGCUAGGAUGGUCAUCAAGGGGUCGCGUAUUCGCGGGGGGGGAGGGCGGGCGGGGUGGACUCCAUGGGUCGGUCGCGCCGUCAGGGGUCCGCCGCGCGGGGAGUACGCACUGUUCGCGGGGGGUAUUUAGGGAAUGAGUGACCUGCAUUUGUCGGCAGGGUCCCACUUAUUUGCCUAUAAUUCUCUCAGAACGGUAAGAAGUUUCGAUUUUAUGUCUAGGGGAGGGAGAGGAGAUUUGGACGGAGAAUGUAUUGUUAUUUUAUUUAGAGAAGGAGAGAACAAUGACCCUGUGUGCAACGAACCUGCCCGACCCGUGGUAGUCACAUCCCGCGCUCAGUGCGUGACGGACAAGUCACCACGGAGGAGACGCUACUCAUGCAAGUAGAAUAGGACGGACCAGACGAUAGAGAGAGGAGGGGCGGGCAUGGGGGGAGAAGCUGGGAAGGAGAUAAAGGAAAAGAAAAAAGAAAAGACAAAAAGAGAGAGGAAAAAUUUCGUUAAACUUUUUAAACAUACUAACAGUUGUUUCUAUUAAAGGAAGAAUCAUCUCAACCAUAUUUAGAUAGUGGAUGGUGUAUGCUUAUAGCACAGGGCGUGCUGUGCUCUUAAUAACAACUAGACCAAGACAUCCUAUAUAUUAUUAUAUUAAUUAUAAGGUUGUUAUUGACGUUUAUGGUUGAUAAUUUUCAUUUCUAUUCAGAAGAUAUAUAUACUAAUCCUUAUACUUUUCCAGAGCAUAUCAAAGGAAAUAAAAAAGAAAAAACAAAAAAAAAUAAAAACACUCUUUUAUUUUCUCUCUCUUCCAGCCAGACAAUAUGGCUUAACAAGAAUACUUAUUUAUUUUUGCGUGUAAAUUGCAGUUUGUUACCUGAACUUUUGGUGAAAUUUCAUUUCCCCUCGAACUUCUAAAAAUACUUAACUUUUAAUAUAUUUAUUUCGAUUCAUGUUACCAUUCCGUGCGAGGUUUUGUCAAGGUCGUUAACUGGAAACUAAGCGGAUUAGGGGUAAAACGAAUGAAAUAUUAGCGUUCCUAUGUUAAGAUGUUGUUUGUUGGGGGUAAUGUGAAACUCGUCAAAGUUCAGGGUUGUGUUUGUUGUAGUAACAAUACAAUUUACCAAAUUUUACGUAUAAAUUUGUGGUGUGUGUUAUAUUUGUGUAUUUAUUGUAUUUGAUGUGUCAAUUGGUGAAAUAAAUACAAAAAUUUUUAUUUAAGUGUAUUUAUGGUGUUGGUUGGUGAGUAUAUACAUAUACUUUUAAAGAUAAAAAGGGGAAAACGAGUAUCUACAGAAAUUUCUGAGAGAAUUAAAUAAUCUCUAUUAUGCGAAUGAGGACACUAUUGUAAAUCAACCAUAAUUCGCUAGUACCCUAUUCGUAAAUACACAUAUUAGAUUAGUUACACCAGGUCGUUAUGAUGUGUUCGAGUAUCGUAGGUAGUUAGUAUCACUCUUUUUUUAUCUUUAAGCCACUCUAAUUCAUUUCUUUCACUUUUAUUUUAUUACAAUAAAAUGUAGGAUAAAUUAUGAUAUGAUUUAUUUUAUGAUAAAAAAUAUAUAUAAAUUUAAAAUCAAGCAUGAUCACUAACUUGAGGAUUAGUAGUCAAUCCAUAAGUAACAUAUCAUAAUAAAAUAAUUUAUAGUCAAGAGUCCCCUAUGGAGUAAAUUGCAUUACUACUUUCUGAACUUUUGGCGAGUUUCACUUAAGUCCCAAAACUCUUAAAAUAGACAUCUAACACCCUAAACUAUAAUAUUUCAUUCGUUUUACCUCUUCCGUCAGUUUCCGGUUAACGGAGCAUGACGGAAAACUGACGGAAGAGAUAAUAUGAACGAAAUAUUAGAGUUUAGGAGGUUAGAUGUCUAUUUUAGAAAUUCGAGGAGCAAAGUAAAAUUUCGCCAAAAGUUCAAGAGAUAACAGUGUAAUUUACCCUUUAUUUUUUAGUCAACCAAACGUGAGCCAUGGGAAAGUUUCUUAUUCUCUUCUUGGAAAAUAUUUUGUGUCACGCGCCAAACACUUUUAAGAGGAAUCUAAACCCUUCUUCGUUACCGAAUCCCACUUUACCGUUACCGAAUCUGACCAAUUGUUGGAUAUGUCAUCCACGUAAAUCCACUAAUCAAAGCCGGUGCUUACUUUUGCUGUUUAAAUACCAAUAUUACCCUCGCGGAAUUUUUCCAUCUUUUUUUAAUGAGUAUUUCUUAGUCCUUUUGAUCUGCGGCGCGUUCACACGUGGAUUCCCGUGCAAAACGCCUACGCGUAGCGUGGCAUCUUCGUAAAUAAAUUACAAAGACAAUCCUUUUAUAAUACUAUUUCCAAUUCCGUCAAGUCAAGCCUUGACGGCCAAGCAACUGGGUUGAAACGUAAGGAUAAUCCCUCUAUAAUUCUGACUUACAAAAUUGGUCCCUAAAAACUACUAAUUUUAAAAGUAGGGCUACUAUACUCUUAUGCGUAUUAGGCCUUUCGUACUCAUAAGUUAUUUUCGAUGAUGAAGUUUUUGAAUUGACGAUCCAUUCUGUUAAAUAUUAUCUAGAAUAUUUGAAACUUCUAAAAACUAAAUUUCGUAAUUGUCAGGGCCAAUAAUAAAACGCGAAAUGGUAAGUUGGUGCACCGAUCAAUUAGGACUCUCAGAAGUUGGAAUUAAAUGGGUUUUUGGUGCACCGGGAGUAAUAAAGGAAUUAAUAGCAUAACUGCAGGGCAUAACUGCAAACGGUUAUGGACAGUUUGGAUUGGCUCGUAGUGACCCGCAAAAAUAGGAAAGUGACCAAUCGUGAGCAAUAACUGAAUAAUAACAGCGGAAUAUAAAUAGGCAAAUAACGCCUGAAAGAGGGGUCUUUUUUCCGAGAACAGAAUACCACUUUUUAUUUUCUCUACAUUUUCUUUGCAUUUCUAUGAGUAGUAUACUUGUAGUCUUCCCUUUUCCGCAUCUACUGUUUUCCUUAGGAGUAGUUCUAGGUUAAAUCUCCAGAGUCUGUAUGUCCCAAAGAUACACUCUCCUUUAUACAAGUUUCCAAACUUAAUUUCAAUAUAUAAAGUGUCACGACCUGCGACCACCCGCCUAUUUGGACGAGGUCGCGGCGCCGCCGACAGACCGCCCAACGGACAGAGUUUUCCCUGUACGUUCUAGGCUUCGCAAUCAAUACAAGUACAAGAAGUUCCAACCAGGAAUAGUAUUCAAGCAAGAUUGCAUAAGGAAGAUAUCAAACAACAUAACAUACCCUAUGUUAUUACAAACAGGCUUUCGACUAUUCAGUCGACCCAAACUAUUGUGCAUUUCAUUCGUUCGGCUCAUUCAGCCGAAUCUGUUCUACAGUAAAGGGUUUUUGAACUCAGCUGAUCCAAUCUCUCAUCAGCCGAAUCGUUUGAUCUGUCGAAAAGCGCAAACUUCGAGGGUCAUCACGUGAAGCCGUAUUUAAUUCCUGUGUGUUUCCCUAGAAAAGCCUUUGACCAGGUCAAGGGUUGAGAAAUUCGGCUCAUAGUAAUUUCGAAAUCAUAAUAAAGUCUGUUAAACGGGCAUAAAAUGAACGGUCAAAAUCGAACAAUGUUCUAAAAAUGGAUGAUAAGAUCCUUCAAUUUAAGAUUAGAGUUAUUGAUCGUUAUCUAGAUAGUGAAUAGAAUUUUUUAUGAAAAAUUCAAUCUAUUCCAAUUCUUUUACACUGUUAAACUAUCAAGUAUUCCAUAACAGUUGUUAAAAAUUGUCAAUUUUGUGACCUUUUAAUCAUAAGGUAAAUGAUGUUGAAAAAAUUAUGAAAUUUGAUUUCUAAAAGUUUUAAAUACUUUAGAUAACGUUUAACGGUAUGGAUCGUCGAUUCGAAAACUCUAUUAUCAAAAAUGACUUAUGAAUACAAAGGCGAUCGUACUAGUAAUAAUAUAGUAGCCAAAUUCUUAAUUUUAAUUAUAUAUAUAUAUAUAUAUAUAUAUAUAAUAUUAAUAUAUUAAUAUAAGAUAGGCUAGUAUGCUUAUGGAAGCACGACCCUUCGUGCUUCACUUGUUUUCGAUGUCGGACUUUCGACAUCGAGAUCAGGCUCCGUUAGAGUUGAUCUAGAGUAUUUAAGUAUCUAGAAAUAAAUUUGUGAUUUUUCGAUAUCAUUUGCCUAGUGAUGAAGGGCUCAAAAUCAAAAUGUUUAACGCCGUGGUGAGCCCGGUUGCAAAUUUAACGUGUAGAAAAUCCAAAUCACAUGAAAUUGAUAGAAAAUUCUUUAUACCAUAUAAAACAAAUCAAUAACUUUAAUCUAAAAUUUUAAUUCAUAUCAUCAUAUUUUGUAAAUUUUAUUUUCAGCGUUGAUUUUGAGCUAUUCGAUUACUAGGCAAAUGAUAUCAAAAAUUACAAAUUUAUUUUCUAGAUAACUUCAAAAUCCCAGAUCAAGUCCAUAACGCGAGCCGAUCAUUGAAUUCGAAAGUCCGAACAUCGAAAACAAAGUGGAAGCACGGAGCGCUCCGUGCUUCCAUAAGCAUACCAGACGCACUCUAUAUAUAUAUAUAUAUAUAUAUAUAGAACUAGGCUGGAAUACUAUUAAUAGCACCAGUGACUUGGUGCUAUUAAGUUUUCUGCCUUUAGAUUAAAAGAUGUGUGGUUAGGAUGAUGAUGUGAUCCCAUUAGGGUUGAGUGGGUAGUUGGUUGAAUAGUAUAAUCGAAUUAAUAAAAAUGAUAAAAGAGGUAAAUCUAACGGUAGAAAAUUUGAUAGCACCAAAUGCUUCGUGCUAUCGAUAGAAUUCCAGCCGGACUCAUAUAUAUAUAUAGUGCUAGGCUCCUAUGUUUUCGAAAGUACGGGAGCCUCUGUACUUGUAAGUUGUUUUCAAUAAUGGGGCAUCCGAUUCGGCGAUCGGUUUCGUUAGAUAUGAUCUACGCUGUUGGAACUACCUAGAAACCAAAUUUCAUAAUUUUUUAAUUUCGUUUGUCUAGUAAACGAGUAGCCUCAAAAUGAACGGCUGAAAAUAAAAAUCUCAUAAAAAAACAGUGAUAAAGGACUCAAAUUUCAAAUCGAAAGUAUUGGUCUUACUAUUGAUGUUAAGUAGAAUUUUCUAUUAAAUUUUCAUCUAAUUUGGAUACUUCUACACCGUUGAACUUAAAAACGUGCCACAUCGGCCAUUAAAAUAGUCAUUUUUGAGACCUUUUGAUCGCUUGUUAAAUGGUGUCAAAAAAUUAUAAAAUUUGGUUUCUAAAUAGUUCCAAUAGAGUAGAUUAUACUUAACGGAGCCGAUCGUCGAAUCAGAUUUCCUAUCAUCGAAAACAACUUACAAGCACGGAGAUCUCCGUACUUUCGAAAGUACAGAAGACUUACUCUAUAUAUAUAUAUAUAUAUAUAUAUAUAUAUAUAUAUAUAUGGUAAAUUACAUUGUUAUCCCCUGAACUUUUGGCGAAGUUUCACUUUACCCCUCGAACUUCUAAAAUGGACAUCGAACGCCCUAAACUCUAAUAUUUCGUUCAUGUUACCCCUUCCGUCAGUUUUCCGUCAAGCUCCGUUAACCGAAAACUGACGGAAGGGGUAAAACGAAUGAAAUAUUAGAAUUUAGGGUGGUAGAUGUCUAUUUUAGGAGUCUGGGGGGUGAAGUGAAACUCGCCAAAAGUUCAGGGGGUAACAAUACAAUUUACCCAAAUUUUUACUAUAAAUUAUUUUUAUAUUUUUAUAUUAAAAAUUUCUAAUUGGCUGAAAUGAAGUACAAAAAUUUUAUUUAAGUGUAUUUUAUAGAACAAUACUUCUAAAGAUAAAAUGGACAAUGAGUACUACAGAAAAUUAACUGAGAAUUAAAAUCUCUAUAUCCGAGUGAGGACACCUAUUGUAAAUCAACCAUAUUAGCUAGUACACCAGGAGUGUUCGAGCAUCGUAGAUAGUUUGUAUCGCUCUUUUUUUUAUCUUUAAACCACUUUAAUUCAUUUCUUUCAUUUUUAUUUUAUUACAAUAAAAUGUAGGAUAAAGUAUGAUAUAAUUUAUUUUAGGAUAAAAAAUAUAUAUAAAUUCAAAAUCAAGUAUGAUUACUAACUUGAGAAUUAGUAGUCAAUCCAUAAGUAACAUAUUAUAAUAAAAUAAUUUAUAGUCAAGAGUUCCCUACGAAGUAAAUUACACUACUUCCUCCUGAACUUUUGGCGAGUUUCACUUAACCCCUCAAACUCUUAAAAUAGACAUCUAACACCUUAAACUCUAAUAUUUCAUUCGUUUUACCCCUUCUGUCAGUUUCCGGUUAACGGAGCUUGACGGAAAACUGACGGAAGGGGUAAUAUGAACGAAAUAUUAGAGUUAGGAGGUUAGAUGUUCAUUUUAGAAGUUCGAGGGGUAAAGUAAAAGUUCGCCAAAAGUUCAGGGGGUAACAGUGUAAUUUAUCCUAUAUAUAUAUAUAUAUAUAUAUAUAUAUAUAUAUAUAUAUAUAUAUAGAACUACUACACUCUUAUAUGAUCACAUUCGUACUCAUAAGUCAUUUUCGAUGAUAAAGCUUCCGAAUCGACGAUCCAUACCGUUAAAUAUUAUCUAGAGAAUUUAAAAUUUCUAAAAAUUAAAUUUCAUAAUUUUUUAAAAUUAUUAUAAAGUCCAUUAAGCAGGCAUAAAAUGAAUGAUUAAAACUGAACGACCUUCUAAAAUUAGAGAAUCGAAUUUUUCAAUUUAAAAUCGAAGUUAUUAAUCUCUAUCUAAAUAAUGAAUAAAAUUUUUUAUCAAAAAUUUAACUAAUUUCAAUUUUUGUACAGCGUUAAACUAGCAACUACUCCAUACUGCUGUCAAAAGUUGGCAACUUUGAGAUGUUUUGAUUGUAAGGUACAUGAUGUCAAAAAAUUAUUAUAAAAUUUAAUUUCUAAAAUUUCAAAUGCUCUAAAUAAUAUUUAACGAUAUAAAUAUUCGAAACUUUUCUCAUCGAAAACGACUUAUAAAUAUAAAGACAAUCAUACUAAUAAGAGUAUAGUAGCCGGACCCGAUAUAUACUUUUAAAAUUACAUAUUUAUCACUAUAAAUAUUUUAGCUAUCAAAUAAAUUUUUUUAAUACUCUAAUAUUUUUAAGUUUGUUCUUAGUGGUUGACAAAUGAUGCGACUGUUAAAUUUUCACGGAUUGUAUCAUAUAUUAUGUCCUUGUUAAAAAUAAAUAGUAUUUAUAAUUUUUUUCUUAGAAUUUAUAAUUUACGUGGAAUGAUAUGAACAUCAUAAUAAAAUAGCAAAAAUAAUAACUAAUAUUAAGUAUAAUUUAAAAAUAUUUAUUUAAAAAAUGAAUGAUUAUUUUAUCAAAGAAAAAAUUAAUUUUAACCUGUCAAUUAAUUACUAGGGAUGUACUUGCAACUAGUGCAAUUUUGACGGAAUAUAUUUAAUUAACUAAAACUGUAUGCAAUUUUAUUAUAAUUUAGGAAUACAUAUGCAAUUAAUUCUCAAAUAUUUGCAUGCAUGUGUGUGCAUGCCUGCGUGUGCUUGUCUGUAUUGCAUUUUACCCCUUAACUAUCUCAAAAAAAAAAGAAAAAAGAAAGACUAUUUUCUUCACAUAAAAUAAUACUCAAUAUAUCCCUCAACAAUAAAAAUGACUUGAGAACUUUGGUUUAUUUCAAAUAAAAUUAAAAUAUAAUUUGCAAAAUUAUUUACCAACAUAUAUCAGAAAUUAAAGUGCAACACAAACAAAAACUAAGAAAUUGAAUUAUAUUUAUCCGGAAAGUACACCACCGAGAUCAGGAUGUUGGGAUUUAAUUUGGCUUGAAGUCGUCGGUUAAGUACUAUGAGACUUUAGAUUGGGUUGGACAAAAAUUUAAGAUUAAAUUAUAGAAAAUUUUCUUUUAAAUAUCUAUUUUUUGGCUUAUUAAAAUUUUAGAUAUAAUUUCAGAGAAGUACAACCUUAAUAAAGAGGGCAAAAUGAUCAAUUAUUUUUAUUUUUCUACAAAAAGUAAAAGUAAGUUUUUAAUAUAUUUCUUUUAUUUUGAAGGAUAUUUUCAGUAUAAAUUAUAAAAAAUGAAUGGAAUAGGGAUUACGGAGAGGAGCUAAAUGCAAUAACUUAAUAUGUUGAAGAGCGAGGUAAAAUGAGUCCAGCUACUAAACUCUUAUUAUGAGUACGAUCGUCUUCGUACUCAUAAAUCGUUUUCGAUGAUAGAGCUUCCGAAUCGACGAUCUAUAUCGUUAAACAUUAUUUGAAGUAUUUAAAACUUCUAGAAAUUAAAUUUUAUAAUUAUUUGACAUCAUUUAUCUUACGAUCAAAAGGUAAAAAAAUUGACAAUUUUUAAUGACCGGUACUAUGGGAUAUUUAUUAGUUUAACAGUGUAAAAGAAUUGGAAUAUGUUGAAUUUUUUAUAGAAAAUUCUAUUCACUACCUAGAUAAAGAUUAAUAACUCCGAUCUUAAAUUGAAGGAUCAGAUCAUCUAUUUUUAGGACAUCAUUCGAUUUUAAUUGUUUAUUUUAUGCCUGCUUUAUUGAUUUUAUUAUGACUUUGAAAAAUCACGAAAUUUAUUUUUUAGAAGUUUCAAAUACUCUGAAUCGUAUUUAACAGAAUGGAUCGUCGAUUUGGAAGCUCAAUAAUUGAAAACAACUUAUGAGUACGAAGUGCUUAGAGCUCUAUACUCAUAAGAGUAUAAUAGUGAGGUAAAAUAUAGAUUUUUAAAAGUUAAGAAAAAAAAAGCAAAAAUAAGUAUUUAUAAGGAGGUUUUUAUAAUUUAGUCAAAAUUUAAUGAGAAAAGAAGUGUCCUUUCAAUAAGACUAGGCCAAUUUGCAUAAAAAAUCUAUUAGUUUUGAGUUUUUACAAAAAUGAGCUGUCUUUUUGGAUUUUGUAGAUUCGGACCGAAUUUUCAGAAGGAUGACCAAACUACCACUCUUUCAAAAUACAUAAAAAUUACAUGCUUUAAAUGCAUAGAAAAAUACAACUGUUAAACCACUAAAUAUCAAAUUUCUUGGAAAUUACAACUGCUAAGCCAUAAUUAUAUAGAUCUUCCUCGUGAAACGAGAAUUCUCAUUCAAGACAAAAAAAAAGGAAUAAAGUUUAAUUAAUAAGAUGAAAGAGUGCAGCAUUCUCUAAAAUAGUACAACAUGUUCUUCCAAGUAGUGCAAUAUCUAUAUAAAUAGUGCAACAUAUUUAUUGUUAAUGCACAUUUUGUAUGAUUUUUAUACUAAAUUAUGUAUAGUUUAGUAUAUUACGUGAAAAUAAUAUAAUAUAUUAGAAUAUACUAUAAAAAUAAUAUAAUAUAUGCAUAAACAGUGCAUAUAUUACACUAUUUGUACAGAUAUUUACACCAUUUGUGUAAACGUUGCACUAUUAUAAGAGGAUAUUACACCACUUAGAUGUGUAUUGCACUUUUUCUUUUUGAAAAUUAAAUGUCAUUACAUAUUAAAUGAAGUGUCAAAUUUUUUGGAAAUGACAACUGCUAAGCCAUAAUUACAUAUACCUUUCUCGUGAAACGAGAAUCCUCAUUCAAGACAAAAUAAAAAGAAUAAAAAAUAAUUAAUAAGAUAAAAGAGUGCAACAUCCUCUAAAAUAGUGCAACAUGUUUUUCCAAGUAGUGCAAUAUCUGUAUAAAUAUUGCAACAUAUCUAUUGUUAAUACACAUUUCAUAUGAGAGAAUCUUACACUCUUUUAUCUUAUUAUUAUUUGGAAGAGCAUGUUGCACUAUUUGAGAGAAUCUUACACUCUUUCAUCUUAUUAACUAUUUUUUAUUCUUUUUAUUUUGUCUUGAAUAAGGAUUCUCGUUUCACAAGAAAGGUACAUGUAAUUAUGGCUUAACAGUUGUUAUUUCUAAAAAAUUUGACACUUUAUUUAAUAUACAAUGAAAUUUAAUUUUCAACAAGAAAUAGUGCAACAUACAUCUAAAUGGUGCAACAUUCUCUCAUAAUAAUGCAACGUUUACACAAAUGGUGUAAAUAUCUGUACAAAUAGUGUAAAAUACUAAACUGUACGUAAUUUAGUGUAAAAAUCAUGCAAAAUAUGUAUUAAAAAUGUAUAUAUUGCACUACUUAUACAAAUAUUGCACUAUUUAGAAGAGUAUGUUGCACUAUUUGAGAGGAUAUUAUACUCUUUAUCUUAUUAAUUAUUUUUUAUUUUUUUAUUUUGUCUUGAAUGAGAAUUCUCAUUUCACGAGAAAGGUACAUAUAAUUAUGGCUUAGCAGUUGUCAUUUCCAAAAAAUUUGGCACUUUAUUUAAUAUGCAAUGAAAUUUAAUUUUCAAAAAGAAAGUGUGCAAUACACAUCUAAAUGGUGCAACAUCCUAUCAUAAUAGUGCAAUCAAUACCAAUACAUUAAAGGGCGAACCGAAAACUGCUUCUACAGUUGCUCCGCGUUUUCGGUCUGGGUCCCACUAUUUUCGGCCUGUGGGUCGCUCCUGUCCACCUUUUUGGUUCAUCUCUUUCUCUUUCCCCCCUCUCCUCUUCGCCUUUUCGGCCUGUGGCCCUUUUUACUCUUCGCUUUACCAUCUGACCCGUGGGCCCCUUUUUCCUGGCGCCUCCCUUUAUUUCGGAAGUAGGCCCCAUCAACCCUUUCUCAACCAUCUGAGCAGUAGGUCCCCUACAUCUCUCCCAAGUCCCGACACAGCCUUUCUCUCUCUCUCUCUACGAACCCCUACUUUUCCUAUAGGAUCGCCCCUCCUUCUUCUCCGCCAGAUCCCGGCGAUCCCAUCAUCCGAGAUCCGCGCCGUGCAUGGAUCACGGAGAUCUUGCACCCGUCGCUUCAGAUCGGUCGGCCGAUCCCGGAAAUCCCGCGCCGCCGGCCGUCAACUCAGGCCGAUCCAUCGCCCCGUACGCAAAUCCCAGAGAUCGCGCUGCCACCGUCACCCACGACGGCCGAUCCCAAAAAUCCCGCGAGAAACCUCGCUUUCGCCGUCGCAUACCCAGGAUCUGGAGUUGCUAGGGUUGCUUUUUGGGGCGUAGAUUUCACAUAUCAGAUGGAUAAAAAGGAUUAGAUAGGAGUUUGGAGUGUUUUCUAGAAGUCAUCAUACCUGUAUACAAUAUUUUUUCCUGGGCUUUGAAAUUUGCUCUAAAUUUGAAGAAAAUGUCCUAUUUUUGUUGGUUGAUUGGUCCUUUGCCUAGCAGCUUGCAUUUUGUUGCUUCGGAGUGGAAUUAUGGAUUUGUUGUUUAUUGUUUUUGAGAUAACUUUUAAGAAAUUCAGCUGGCAUGGUUUUCUGAUUGGUUCUUAUUUCUCUACCGCAAGAAAUUGUCCGUAAUAUUUUAUGCUAACUCUAUUCUGUUCACCCCUUCUCUAGGUGGGAAACAAGAAGGAGGUGUUCACAGUGGAGAUAGAGUUCACCAUACCAGCCCAGAUUCGAGGUGAGCAGGUGUGACAAAGAAAAGGGAAAAAGAAAAGGGGAAUUACUAGCGGAAAUGUAUCUAUGUGAUGUGUGUUUUGGUACUAGGAUGCUGUGCUAUAUAUUAUUUAGAUACAAAGAACUGUCGAAGGGAAGAACGCUUUCAUACUGUAUAAAGCUAUUAUUCUUUGAUUAGCUCUCCUAUGUUUUGAUGUAUACUAUUGUUUACGAAAACUAAUUUUUAUGGUUAAGUUGACAGAGAAUGUUAUUUACACAGUGGCGUUUUUUCUUCAAGUGUUAGUGUCACGCCCGGUUACCAGCAGAAGCAUAUCCGGUACGUGCACAGACCCGCCAUACACUUGCAGUAUAUAAGGCGUCUACAAAGAAGCAAAUCGAUAGGAAGAAAACAUAGAAAAAAUCCAAUCCUGAUAUCAGAGCAAAGUAUAAGUCAAUAAGACCAUCAUCAGAGGAACAAGGAGUACACAACCCAAAAUCUCAACAUCGUAGAGAAAUAUCAAAACUAUAAUCUCUGGUUCCCAACCACAUAUACAUCACAAGGUACACAAAAAUAUAGGUACAGUGGUGGUCUCUCUAUACACGGGGACAUCACCCUCGGCCGUAGCCCGAAAAGCAAGGUGAUCAUCUAGUCAAGCUCCAAUGCUAGAUCUAGCUAGACACGACUCCCUUGCCGCGAUCCCUAGCCUCUCAUGUAAGUGGCUCUGUAAAAACAAUAAUAAAAAGGGCGUGAGAACUAUUAUCCAAUAGUUCCCGGUGGAUAAGCCGCCAGCCUCGGCGAAUUACACCACUAGGCUCAUGAGGUAUUGAAUAAAAAUAAAAGCAGUAAUUGCAUGAUAUAUCUAUACUGUUAAUGGGUAAUGAACAUGUAAUCAACAUGUAAUCAUACUUUCUGAAGUAAUGAAUCGACUGAAUAAUAAAAGCAUAGCAACUGCUGUAAGCAUGAACAUAACAUGAACGUGUAAGUAAAUACUGUACGCUAUAACUGGUAAUCAUUCAUUACUGUCAUUUCGAACUUUAAUUGCAUUCAUAAGGAUCUACACAAGGUAGUCCAGCUUGCGCCGCGCCUAAUGGCCCCGUGGUAGUAUGCACUCCCCACGGCAAUCCACUUCGGCACCGAAUCCCGCACGGGCGAGCAUCUGUCACGUAGGCCAACUCCGGAGCGCCGGCUUGUAGGGAGCUACCCUCACAAGCGUGUGCGAAUGAGCACGAUGGCAAGCAAGCAAAGUCCAUAGCCCAAUAUGUCUCAAUCAUCAUGUCAUAGUACACUUUGUUCUCACUCUCGAUCUAUUGAUCGGAAUUCUCAAUAUGAUAAACAAUAAAACUUGCUAAUAUCCACUAGAUUAGUAAUAUAUAAAAGUAAUGCCAAUUUUACAUAUUGCAUUAGAAACUUCUCACUAUUCAUAUACUAUCAAUAGGGUCAAGAGAAUGUCAUUGUUCUCUACUUUAUAGAAGCAUAAUAAACUUAUCUCUUGGUUAUUCAAUUGAACUAAACAAGAAUACUUUAAUGCAUGAAUACUUUAUGCAUGAAUACUUUUAUGCAUGAGUUCUCUCUAUUUCAUAGAGGUUUCAUUACAAUAUUUCAACCGAUGCGGCGACGAUGUUUCAAAUCCUUAUCAAUCACAUAAUCAUAAAAUGCACCUAUGUACCAAAUCUAUAGUUACAUAUAGAACAUAGGGGAGCUUCACUUGCUCUGGUUAGGUCAAACCCACCUAGCACUAAGCUCGAUCCAGCCCCAACUGAUUCCCAAAAGUCAGCUCGCUAGGUCUCAAACCUGCUGAAAACUGAGUAUCAAAAUCGCAUUGAAGCGAUGGCCAAAAUGUCCGAAAUCGGCAAAAUUCUCACUUAGUACAUAGUAGUAACUUAAAUCCCUGUUUUGGUUCACUUUAGUACCUCAAGUUUAACCUCCAAAAGCUCUCACAAGUUAGUCGAAGAUAAUCCAACGGUCGAUUGCAACCUUGCUGCGAGUAAUCACCAAACGGCAUCAAAACACUUGUAUACUAGUUAAUAUAGUCGGAAUCUUACGUAAUCAGUUUUCUAACUGAAAUUUCUGCUUACCCUUGGUUGAAACACCUUUCAAACCAGUCCCCCAAGGUCACCAAUUUAGCUCAAGGUGGUUUGGAAACCUGCUGUGAAGAAACAAUUCCAAACUGCAUCAAUUUACUCGCUUAAACCUCGUAUAGCCGAACUAGAGUCAUAGAUAACUAAUUACCUUUAUCAAGCUUCAAAGCAGCUUAUCCUUGGUCUAAAGUGGAUAAAUCAGAGCUAACUAACUCCUCUCUAGCUGCUGGAAACUCCUUCUAAUUCAGCUGGGAGCAAAGAAACUAAAACAACUCAAAUUCCGAUACUAAACUUCAAAUUAGAGAAGUCUUAAGCGAAAUACCUAUCAAAAGCUGCAACUCAGCUUCCCCUGGUGAUAGGACCUCAGAAAUUUAGUAAGAAUCCUUCUCCCCACGUGCCAAAGACUUUCCUUGAGUCUCCAAACCAACGAACAUCGAGCGGAACGCGGAAUCGGCUCGAAUCGGCGACUUCUACUCGAAAAGAGAGAAACCCUAGAGAGAGAAAAUGAGAGAGGUGCAAGAACACUUCUCUGAGCUCUAGCAUCAUCUAAGGAGCUCCAGAGGUCGUGCUGGGGUCAAAUAGAUAGGGACAAGGAGUGAAAUUACAAAACUAGCCUUACUGUCACGUAUCUGCCAAUGUGUACCGGUACACAAUGAUGGCUGUACCGGUACACAAUACAGAAAAUGCUGAAUUUCGCCAGAACAAUGCACUUUCAUGCUUCUGGCCUUCCAAUCACUCUCAAACUUGUCCAAUAUCUUCUCUAAACCCUUUAGAAGAUGUAGGUUAGCUACAAAUAUCCUUCCACACACUUGAACUUCGCAAUUUGCGUAAGUUCAGUAUAUUACAGUUAGUGGUCUCUAGAUUUUAAUAGUUUGUCCUUUGAGAAACUAUUUUGUCAAAUAUAGCCGCAGCAUAGUGUUAGUGGUCUGUAAACUACUUAGCUAAGCUUGAAUAAUUUCAUUGAUGAGCUAUCUAAUUUUACUUGCUAGGUACUCCUUGCAAGAUCACUUGCUCCGUCUUCUACUGCUAGGCAUACUUAUACCUGGUAUUCUACUUGCAAGUGAAAUUUGUUUCUUUAUUAAGCUUUCUACGAAAUUGAGUGUGCCAUAUAAAUGUGAAAUCCAAAAAAGUACAACAAGUGUAAGCACGUUACGGGAAUAUAGUGAAAUUUGUUUCUUUGUUAAGCUUUCUAUAAAAUUGAGUUUCUUGCCAGAAACAAAGAAGCGAAGUACUGAAAUUUAGUUUCUUUGUUAAGUAGACAUUUGUUUCUUUGUUAAGUUGCCACCUUUGUUUCUUUGUUGAGUUGCCGCAUUUGUUUCUUUGUUAAAAUUGAGGUUUCUAUAGAAAUUUGUUUCUUUGUUGAUUUCUUUGUUAAGCUUUUAAUUUAUUUUCAUAUGAGAUUGAUCGAAGUUGGGACAACUGCUCAUUUGGCUUUCUUGCCCAUAGUCCUUUGACUAAAUGAAGUUCUCAGGCUGUUACCUCUCCUCUGUUAUCUGCUAUUUUUCCUUUUUUUUCGUAAAUAAGUUUUGUUAUAUAUGGUUGAGUAUUAUCAUCUACGCUGAGUUGCGCCCUGUGUAUCGAGGGGUAUUUCGGAGGUCGAUGUUGAGAGAGAGGAUGAAUGUGGGAUGAACUGCAAUCAUGCUAUCUACAUGAAGUUUUAUAGAGAGUGGUAGAAAUUUCAACCCAUUUCAUUUUCACCUUUUCUAAUUCAUUAUACCUUUAGUUAAAUUUUCUUGAAAUUACAGGAUACGAAGGUUCAUGGUGAACUAUAUAUUGCCGAUUCUGUUUAUGAUCAAGUAAGAAUUGAUUGUUUUUUACCUUGCCACUCAUUGGUUUAUGUACUAUUUGUUCAAUAAACAGUCUUUCUUAUUUUCUUGCUUUUUUCAGAUUUACUAUUAUCUUAACAUGUUUGAAAACAUCGAAGUGAGUUGCUGAUCAUUUAUUUUAUAUUUGAUUGUUUUUUUUAUUUGUUUGUAAGCCUCAUGCACAAUUCACAUAAUCCCUUCGAGAAUCUAUUAUAUUAAAUCCAAACAUGACACAUAAGACCCAAUAUGAAUUGGGCGUUUGAGUCAAUAUAAUUCAUCAAAUUAAAGCGCACUUGAUGAAUUAUAUUGACUUGGAUAUUGUACACUUUUUAUAUUGCACAUGAAUCUAUAAGGGAGUCAAAGAAAGUAUUGUCUCCUCUAUAGAUUUGAAUAUGAUUCAUUAACAUUUCUAACAAUGUAGCACAAAUAUUAUUUUCUUCUGUUGUUUAACAUUUAUUGUUGUGUAUUCACUGUAAAUUUUGCCGUCCGCCGCGAAGCACGGGUACUUAACUAGUAUUUACAUAAAUGGUGUAAAUAUAUAUACAAAUAGUAUAAAAUAUGCACCGUUUGUACAUGUAUUGUAUAAUUUUUAUAGUAUGUUGUAAUAUAUUAUAUUAUUUUCGCGCAAUAUAUUAAACUGUACGUAAUUUAGUGUAAAAAUUAUGCAAAAUGUGUAUUAACAAUACAUAUGUUGCACUAUUUAUACAGAUAUUGUACUAUUUGGAAGAGUAUGUUGCAUUAUUUGAGAGAAUGUUUGUCACGCCCCGGAUUACUCGAUUCCCCGGACGUGCCGACAAAUCCGCCGUAUACAUAGGAAUUUCUCCUGUAUACGAAGCGACAGCUGUACCUGUAAUCCAACAAUACUACAAGCAGUAGUAUAGAGCUGCUAGGAAAAAGAAUAAACAAGUAUAUAAUAAUAAUGGAUCAGUACAUACACAAUAUCCAGGUACAAAACUCUUGCACCAGCGAGGUAUAACAUCAGUAUGUAAUGAACCAAAAAUUACAACUACCUGUAGCUGGUACUCCACUAGCUAUGGCUCGUCUGGUAGGGCUCUAACUCGUGACGCCCUUGCCACGAUCAAGAUCAGUAGCAGCAGCAGCAGCCGAAGACGACGGCUCUGCAAAAUGAAAGGAAACAACUGAGCGUGAGAACUACUGUAAAAACAAGUAGUCUUCAGUGGGUGCCGCCCUCAAAAUCAUCGGCCCACCCACUAAGUCUACAGAAGUAAACAAGUAUAGUAAGAAAGCUGAAUAAAUUUACGGCUAUAUGCACCUAUACUAUCUCGGUCGAACACCAACACUCUGUAGGAAUAGUAAAGCCUGACCCAAUCUCACUAGGGACUGUGAACACACUCGUCUCGCCUGUCGAAGCUAUAAAAUCUGACACCAAACCAGGUCGUCAAUGGAGAGCAAGUCCAACCAGGACCAAACGACACCAACGCAACAGCACAAAGCCCAACUCCGGAGUGGCACUCGUGGGCGCUACCCAACCGAGUAUGCAAACGUGUCUCUGUUGAGCUCAAUCAGGCUCUCACAGGCUAUAGUCAAGUAAACAGGGUCUCACAAUUGAACUCACGUGCCCUCGGCACAAUCUGAUGCAACAACAACAAUCUGGGUCCACCGUCAACCCCAACGGCACCCGACAAUCUCGAACAGCCUAAUCACUGCUGUAAAAUUACACUCGGCACUUCAGCACGAGCGUAAAUACAUUCUAAGCUACCCUGGGUAUCCACUGCUCGAAUACUGCGGUGAUACAAACAAAUCACGGCUCCUAGAGCUAAAUCAGGUAGUUUAAGUAUAUGACAUGGUAGAAUCGCGGAUUUUCUCCUAAGUCAUAUCCAAGUCUAACAUGUGCAAGUAUAUAUAGUCCAGUAUUAGGCACCAAUUCAGAUUUUGUAGAUAAAUAUAUUAAAUCCAUGAAUCGAGCAAUAUCCAUAUGCACAACAACACAAUGAACACAUGUCAACUACAUAUACACUUAGAAGGUAAUCGAUAAUUAACCCACCUCAAAAGCUACUCCCAAUCCGGCGCGAAGUCGAGAACGGCGGAACCACACGCUCGCCCGGCCUCCCCACGACGCUACCACGACGAACGCACGCUCGAACGGCACCGCGGCGCGACGUCGGCGACGAUCCAAGUCCACCCGAGCUCCUCCAUCCACGCACGGCUCAAGAGCAAGAGAGAGAGAGAAAAGCCAGCAAGAAUACUCUCUCUCUGCCUCUCUGAAGGUAUAAGAAGAAGAGUAGGUGAGAGUGACACGAUCGAGACAUGAAAAGACCAAAAAGCCCCUUAUCUACGUGCGGUUGUACCGGUACACGUGCGGUUGUACCGAUACAAAUGGCAACCCAAGAGCAGCUGCGCGGAAACAGGUGUAGUGUACCGGUACACCUCUGAUGUUGUACCGGUACAGCAAGCAGAAAAUCCUACAUUUGUAGGUUUUCAGGUUAACCUCCUGCUUGCGCGUCGCACUGAGUCUGCUUUGCGUCUAUUUCGCGUCAACGCGACUCGGACUUGUCCCGACACUCUCCCAACGUGUCGACAAGCCGCAGAUGCUGCCUUCCCGGGAUACUACAAUGUUGCACUCUUUAAUUUUAUUAAUUAUACUUUAUUCUUUUUAUUUUGUCUUGAAUGAGGAUUCUCGUUUCACGAAAAAGGUACAUGUAAUUAUGGUUUAGCAGUUGUUAUUUUCAAAAAAAUUUACACUUAAUGGCUUAGCAGUUGUAUUUUUUUAGGCAUUUAAAGCAUAUAAUUUUUAUGCAUUUUGAAAGAGGGAUAGUUUGGUCAUCCUUCUGAAAAUUCGGCCCGAAUCUACGAAAUCCAAAAAUGCAGCCUACUUUUGCAAAAGCGCAAAACUAAUAGAUUUUUUAUGCAAAUUGGUGUUAAAAAAAAAUUGAUGAUCACUUCCCUAAAUUCACUCCUUCACUAUCUCCUACUAUUCCCUCUAUUUCUACCACUUUCUCCACCAUUCCCUCCACUUUCUCACCAUUCCCACCACUUUCUCCACCAUUCCCUCUACUUUCUCACCAUUCCCUCAACUUCUCCAUCACUCCCUCCACUUUCUCCAUCAUUUACUCCACUUCUCCAUCACUCCCUCAAGUUUCUCCACCAUUCCUUCCACUUUUCCUCCACUUCCUCCACUUCUCUAUCACUCCCUCCACUUCUCCACCAUUUACUUUUCUCUGCACCAUAAACCUCCACCACCCUCUAUCUAUAUAAAGAGAAGUGAACAAAGAAAAAAAGAGAGAAUUCUACUCACAAAAAAAAAGAGAGAAAAGAAACUUGGAUAAAAAAAAUGAGCCAAAUAGAAAGGUGGGUUUAGAUUCUCUCACUUUCAUUUUUUUUUUCUCCCUCUACUCUCCUAGUCAAGGCACUCCAUACAUUGAGCUUUCUACGCACACCGGGCUAUACAUGCCGUCAUCAACCUCUACUACGCCGGGUCAUCGUCAACCAAUAAAAGACGACCGCUCGUCGCCAUUCCUACACCUUUGCUGACUGCCGUUGCCCCGUCGUCGUUGAUCCCGGAGUGGUGCACGUUCCCUUUUGCUAGUGUGGCGUCAUCAUCGACCAAGGAGGUGGCCAUCCGCCUGUUGUUGCUGCGCCGACGACAACGACGGUGAUGAUCCGCUUGACGCUUCGUCGUCGGCGGUAAAGGCGGCGACGGCAACGAUGGCGGCGAUCUACUUGACUCUUCGCCGUCGGUUGUAAAGGCGUUGACGACAACGACAAUGAUCCAAUUGACGCUUCGCCGUUGGCAGUAAAGGCAGCGAUGACAAUGACAACGAUCCAUUUGGCGCUUCGCCGUCGGCGGUAAAGGCGGCGACGACAACAACGACGACGAUGAUCAUCCGCUUGACGCUUAGCCGUAAGCGGUAGACGACGACAACGACGACGAUGAUCAUCCGCUUGACCCUUAGCUGUCAGCGGUAGACGACGACAACGACGACGAUGAUCAUCUGCUUGACGCUUAGCCAUCGGCGGUAGACGACAACAACGACGACGACGAUCCGCUUGACACUUAGCCGUCGGCGGUAGACGACGACAACGACGACGAUGAUCAUCUGCUUGACGCUUAGCUGCCAGCGGUAGACGAACGACUAUCCGUUUGACGCUUAGCCGUCGACGGAAAGCUCCAAUCAAAUUAUUGAUUGUCGCUAUUUUUGAAUUGGCUUUGUCAAAAACAAGCUGUGCAUGAUGGAUAAUUUAUGUGCACAUGCCAAGUGUUAGACAAAAUGCCAAAAAGAAUUUGUGCAUAGCGCAUUGUUCAUGUACGCGUGCUAAGCGUUCGAUGAAACACCAAAAAUGGUGUGCAUAUAACAGAAUGUCAAAGGAAACUUGAGCAUGCUGCAUUGUUCAUGUACGCGUGCCAAGUAUUCAAUGAAAUGUCAAAGGCAAUUUGCACAUUACUUGUGUGCGUGUCAAAUGCUCGAUGAAAUACCAAAGAAAGCUUAUGCAUGAUGCAUGACCGACAUUGUUUGGAGAAAUACCUUGAAAAGGAGAGAAGUAGAGAGAUGAUAAUUGUCGCUUUUCCUCUUUUUCAGUUGUUUUAAUUUUUGUACACCGAUGUACAAGAGUAAUAAAAGAAAUGCAUUCUGUUUUGCUAAGUAUCAUAAUUGACCAGCUUAAUCGGAGGUUGUCUAAAUAUGAAUAGGCGUAAUUAAUUAGAAAUCUUUAUGAUUCCUAAGGAGUAUAGAACCUUUAAUCUCGGUUUUUCAACAUAUAAUCCUCUCAUCUAAUGCAAACGCUUUUAAAUUUUUAACUCUUACAAAAAUGGCGACUUCAUUGGGGACAUACUCCUCCUCCCAUCUUUGCUGGUCAUAUGAUAAUUUAUUCUUCUGCUUCGUACUAUUACUAAUUAUUGUAACAUUUUUGUGCAGGAGGAAAAGCAAAAGCACAAUUCGAAAUGGCAGCUAUUACAAGCUUUCAAAUCCAAUUUGGAUCAUUUCCGCCCGUUGUCGUCGUAUGGUACGGGGAUGUCAACGUGAAGACUUUUGAACAUGCUAAGCAAUCAGUUAAGUAAGAAAAGACUCAUGGUUUUAAGCAACAGACUGAUAUGCAAAAGUCGAACUCGAGUGGCUCAAAUCAUUUUGUCAUGAUUCGAAAACAAACAAUGAAAGCCCCAACAAAAUCGUAUCCUAAGAACAUAAAGCUUGGGGUAUCAACAAAAACGGCCACUUCAAACACCAAUGCUAGGUGCUGGGGGCAAGUUUCUAGAGUUGACAAAAUUCGGCAAGCUUCCUAUAUAAGAAAGGCAAAGGGACCCAUGAUUGAUAAUGUGUCUCUACAUUGGGGGCCUCAUAUUCUAAGGGUAAUUACUCAUCCCAAAAGAAACAAACGAUGCAUCAAGACAAUCAAUCUACAUGCCAAACUCAAAUGAAAACUCAAGCCCUUCAAUUAACAUGCUUUAUGAUGUGAAGAAAACAAGCAAUAGAUUUGCCGGUCUUUCAAGAAAUACUCCAGCACCGCAUAUUUCCAACUUCAUUCAACUUCAUGCUCGGCAAGCAUCAGAUGUUCAAAGAAGCAAUUGGCUUAACAAGUCUGCAGCACAAGUGUGAAAUGAACGAAGAGCUCGGAUGCGACAAUACUGUCGACAACAAACCAAUAUUCGUCCAACUCCUUUGAGGUUCUCUUGUUUCACUACUGGAGCCGACUCUGACCAGGGGCAAGACUCUGAUGCCAAUGAGAACGUUGAAAACCUUAGAAGGCUAUUUGAACUACCUCAAGAUCCUGAAGAGUUGAGGCGUAUAGCUACAAGGCCAGGUCUUAGAACUCGUCUUCAAACAGCUGCUUGUGAAAGGAUAGCUGUCGACAACCCUGAUAGGCUAGCAUCGCAAGAAGAAACAGAAGGAAUAGAACAUCAAAAUAUCAAUACAGAGGAAGUAGCAACAACGUUGUCUUCCUCUCGCCGAGCUGAUGUAGUAUUUGCUACUAAUAUGGCUGAAGAAGCAAAUACUACUAAUAAUGAGAUGCAAGUUGCUCAACGAGAUGAGGAACUUGAACAACUUAAAGGGCGAGUACAAAUGUUGUGCGACAUGGUUCAGCGCCUAGUUCAACAAUCCAGACCUGAACCAUCCCACAUCGAACAAAUUGGAAUUUCAGCAACUCCGGCUGUUGAAGUACAAGGGCAUGAUAGAGUGGAUACAAGGGAGCCCCAAAUUGCAACGGCAAAUCCUAUGGACCCUGAAGCUCUACAAAAAUUUAUUGAUUCAGCAGUAGUUGCGAAAUUCAAACAGCUAGCACAAGAUAACGAACCACUUUUGAGCGAGAGUAACAAGCCAUACCAAGCUUGGCAUGACUUAGUCCCCUUCCCUCCAGGAUAUACCAGACCUCAGUUCCAAAUGUUUGAUGGAACGGGAGACCCUCGAGAACACCUCACCCAUUUUGAGGCGGCUUGUGGAGACACAGUCACAAAUGGUUCACUUUUAUUGCGCCAAUUUCCACUAUCUUUAAAGGGAGAGGCUUUCCAAUGGUAUUCAAAGUUACCACCCAGCUCUAUUCAGGAUUGGCCAAUGAUGAAGGCUCAAUUCAAGUCUCACUUUAUUUCUACAAAGAGAGAAAUUACUCUUAGAGAGUUGGCCGAUCUUAGACAAGAAAGAGAAGAGAAGGUCGAAGAAUACAUUACUCGGUGGAAAAAUACCAGCAUUAAUUGUUCGCAAGAAAUUCGCGCUGAGGAAGCAGUUCGACUUUGUAUAGGGGGGAUGCAUCCUUUGUUAGGGGUGCAAAUUAUUUUGAAAACCCCAAGGUCCUUCCAAAGCCUAUCUCAAACGGCAGCUAAGUUGGAAGCUUAGUAUAGAAAAAGUCCUGAACUUCUAGCCAUAUAUAAAGGGUUUUUUUCUGGAGAUAAAACUAAAAAGCCCCAGUCAACUAGAAGUGCCUACGAAGAGCAAAUAAUCCUCCUGCUAAAGGGUUCGACAAUAAUAACGCAACCAACUGUUCUAACCAACCCUCCACUGAUAAAGAAAAAGCCAUAAUAAUCGGAGGGGAUGAUGUUUCAGCUAAAUAGGUUAGGCCAACUUUUGAGCAAAGAUUGAAUAGGGUCUACUCUUUCCGACGAGAAGCCAUUCCGAAACUGUUUCGACAAGCUCUUAAGUCUCAAAGGCUCACUCUACCAAAUCCAGCUAGACCAGAGCAAGUCAAUAAAAUUGACGACCCUCAUUAUUGCCCUUGUCAUAGAUUUGUUGGGCACACAAUUGAAGAUUGUAUCACAUUUAAGGAUUGGUUGGAAAAGGCUGUCAAAAAUGGGGUAUUUGCACUUCCCCUAAAGUCCUGAACACACCUGAAAAGCGAGAAGUGAAUUCUGUCUCUAUUUCGCCUUUACGGGUCUUUUGCAAUAUUUCAUCAAUUCAAACACUAUCUUUAUCAGACUCCGAUGAUGAAGUGUUGCUUUUUCCACAAGAAGCAACAGCUCUAAAUAAAGAUGCUCUUAUUUACCUGCGAAACUUUGAAGCCGAUGGUACGGAACUUUGAAAAUUCAAGCAGCUCUCAGAUCCACCUAUGUGCCAAGAUAAAGAAAAACAAUCUGAGAGUACAUUGAAGCCACCUUAAAAACACAUCUCUGCACCUCAUGGCAAGAAGAGUAAUGUGGAUUAUAAUGUUAUCACACAUUCGAAAAGAAUUCCUGCUCUUCUUAGUGUUUUUGAUACCUUAAUGAUGGCUAAGGAAUUAAGAGAAGCAUUGGUGGAAGCUCUUCUUAACCCUGAACCUUAUGCGACGGUGAUGGCUGAAAUUCAUCUCAUGAAUCAAGUUGACGAAGAGGUGAAUCAAAUCACAUUUUCUGAGGAAGAAUUUAUGACCCCAAACCAUAAACACAAUCGUCCCUUAUAUGUACAAGGACACGUUAAAGGAGUCGCUCUCAAACGCAUAUUGGUUGAUCCAAGAUCUGCAGUUAACAUACUUCCUCUUCAAACAUUACGAGUAUUAGGGCAUUCGGUUGAUGAUCUUGAACCAGAAAAUGUCGUUAUUUCAGGGUUUAAUAAGUCUGAUGAACAUACCUUGGGUUCAAUCUAGUUAAUGCUCUCUUUACAAGAGCUAAAAACAUUGGUGAGAUUCUAUGUUAUUGAUGCCGACACCUCUUACACGAUGUUACUAGGGCGACCCUGGAUCCAUGAAUUUCAAAUUGUGCCCUCGACUCUUCAUCAAUGCCUCAAGUACAAAGAUGAGCACGGCCGACAAAAGAGAAUUUAUAGAAAUCCUAACCCUUUCUCUUGGAAACUUUCCCAUUAUGCUGAUGCUCAAUUCUUUUUAGAAGCUGCUCCAUCCUCUUCAAGGUUAGCUUUUAAUCUAAACAAAAAGAAAUAUGCAAACAUUCCACCUCUAGCAUAUAAUAUGAUCAAUGCUAGCUCAUUUCGAACCCUUCAGCAAGAGAAAAAUGUUAAACGUGACUGUCACCAAAAUCUUAAUGAUCCCAUUUUAUUGGGAAGUGACUCCGAGGAUGAGAGUAGUACACAUUUUCAAACAAUGGCCAUUUUUGUGUCAAAAGUCCCUGAUGAGCUACAAAAUUUUUUCUUUCCUCUUUCAAGUCAAAUGUCGACAACCAUAGAAGAUGUUUGUGUUCGAGUUAUCCGUUCAACUAUACCGGGGCGCAAACCUAUAUUGCUUUACAAAACUUCUGAAGCUGUGAGGUAUUCUGAACCUUUUCCACUAAAAGAGGAUGAGGAAAUGUCAACAGUCGCCAUGGUGAAGGAUGAUCGACUUAAACAUUUACUGCGUCGGGUAGGCAUGCAAGUUACAGAUGAAGGACGAUUGACCCCCACUCCCUCUAUAUUUGAGAAGUUAUGGGUUCCCUCUAACAACAUGCAAGAUGUAGAAGCACGUCGUCGCCGACAAGGACUUGUGUAUGUUGAGCCUUUGCUUAAAUGGCCAUGUCGUUCUUGUAAUCACACUAUUGUAGUUCUUGUCGAUUCUUCUGAAUUUGAUGAUGAAGAGCUUUUACUCUAGCCUAUUGACAAUUUAAUAAUGAGGCAGAACAAUUCACCUUCGACAUCUUCUCUAGAUAUAUUCGCAAGGCCUUUUGAUAGCCCUCUAGAGACGUGCAUUGGAGAGAUUGUCGACGGUACUCCCGCGCCUAAAGAGCUUGAAGAUGGAGGACAAGCAACAGUCGAUGAGUUAACUGAACUUAAUCUUGGUACUGAGGAUGACCCCCGGCCUAUUUUUGUUAGUGCGUCAUUAUCUGAUGAGGAAAAGGAACAAUACAAGAAUUUUCUGAUAGAGCACCGGGAUUGCUCUGCUUGGAGUUAUAAGGAGAUGCCUGGGCUUAACCCUGAUGUAGCUAUGCAUCGAUUGUCGAUUGAUCCAAAGGCCAGUCCUGUCAAGCAAUCACAAUGACGAUUUCGCCCAGACUUACAGGAUCAAAUUAUCAUUGAAGUUGAUAAAUUGAUCAGUGCCGAAUUUAUAGAAGAAGUCCACUACCCUACCUGGUUGGCAAAUAUAGUGCCAGUAAGAAAGAAGAAUGGCCAAAUUCGCAUAUGCAUGGACUUUCAUGACUUGAACAAGGCGUGUCCUAAAGAUGAAUUUUGAGUGCCAAUUACUAAAAUUAUGAUAGAUUCAACUACAGGACAUGAUGCACUGUCAUUUAUGGAUGACUCAUCGGGAUACAAUCAAAAAAAGAUGUCACCGGAGGAUGCUCCUCACACAGUUUUUCGUACACCGAAAGGAAUUUUCUAUUACAAAGUUAUGCCAUUUGGCAUAAAAAAUGCAGGGGCAACAUACCAGCAAGCAAUGACUGUCAUUUUUGACGACCUACUACACCAUAAAGUCGAAUGUUAUGUUGACGAUCUCGUGGUCAAAUCUCGAGAAAGGAGCAAUCAUAUAGAAGAUCUUCGGGUUGUCUUCCAACGCCUAAGAAAGCAUCAGUUAAAAAUGAAUCCACUCAAAGGUGCCUUCGGCGUCACAUCGGGGAAAUUUCUUGGAUUUAUAGUUCGGUAUCGAGGCAUUGAAAUUGACCCUGACAAAAUAAAAGCCAUCAUAGAAAUGCCACCUCCGAAGAAUUUGAGGGAGCUAAGGUCAUUAGAAGGAAGACUUGCUUAUAUUAGGCGUUUCAUAUCCAAUCUUUCAGGACGCAUCCAUCCAUUCACAAAAUUAAUGAAAGAAGGAGCUGAGUUUGAAUUGGAUGAUUCUUGUCAAAAAGCUUUUGACAGUAUAAAGCGAUAUUUGCUCAGUCCUCCAGUGGUAGCGGCCCCAAUUAAAGGCAAACCACUUGUUUUGUAUAUCACAGCAAUGCCAGCUUCUUUAGGAGCACUUCUUGCUCAAAAUAAUGCUAACGAAAAAGAAGUUGCAUGCUACUAUCUAAGCAGAAUGAUGGUAGGAGCUGAACAUAAAUACUCCCCUAUUGAAAAGCUUUGUCUUGCUUUGAUCUUUGCAUUGAAAAAACUAAGGCACUAUAUGCUGUCCUAUGAGAUUAGACUCGUUGCUAGAGCUGAUCCAAUCAAAUAUAUCCUAAAUAGACCUACUUUGAUGGGCCGAAUUGCUAAAUGGGCAGUAUUAAUGAUGGAAUUUGAUAUUACCUAUGUGCCACAAAAAGCAGUAAAAGGACAGGCUCUUGCAGAUUUUCUAGCUGCUUAUCCACCCCCUGAUGACUCACCUCUCAUAACUGAUCUGCUAGAUAAAAAAGUAAUGACCACUGAACAUGUAGAGCAACAUUGGCAGAUGUAUUUUGAUGGCGCAUCACGUACCAUUCCAGUAGUUGGCUGUGACCCACCAAGAAGGAAGGCGGGUGCUGGAAUUGUAUUCGUUACACCUACAAAUGGGGUCAUAUACCACACAUUUUUACUUCUUAAGCAGGAGUGCUCAAACAAUGAAGCUGAAUAUGAAGCGCUUAUUUUUGGUUUGAUCACAGCCCUUAAUACGGAGAUAUUCUAUCUACACGUAUACGGUGACUCGCAGCUCGUCAUCCAACAAGUUCUGGGUGUUUAUGAAGUUCGAAAGCCAGAACUCAUGCCUUAUCACAAAAUGGUCUGUAAUUUGAUGGAAAAGUUUGCAUUUAUCGAAAUCAAACAAAUCCCACGACGAGAAAAUGUUGAGGCUGAUGCUUUAGCUAAACUAGCGGCCGCUCUUACUUUACCACUUGGAGGCGAUGCAGACAUUCACAUCGAGUAAAGAUUUCUAUUGCCGUCGAUGCUUGACAUUCUCCCUGAAUGGACUCAGAUUGGCCAAGUCGUCUAUUCAUCCACUGAUCAUGCAAAUUGGAGACUACCUUUUGUUGAAUAUUUUAAACAUGGAAAACUUUCCGAUAAUUCUACAGAAAGAAUUGGGCUUCAAAAGCGCAUACCGCAAUAUCUUUUUCACAAUAACGUUCUGUAUAGAAGGUCAUAUGAAAAUAUGUGGCUUCGCUGUUUGUCACAUGAAGAAGCACGAAAGGCCAUGGAAGAGGUUCAUGCUGGGAUUUGUGGUGCACAUCAAUCUGGCCCAAAAAUGUAUCACAAGCUAAGAAUUGUAGGCUAUUUUUGGCCUAGGAUGGCUGGCGAUUGUAUCGAAUAUGCGAAAAAAUGUCAUCAGUGCCAAAUUCAUUAUGAAAUACCUCAUCGCCCUCCAGCAUCAUUACAUCCCACAAUCCCUGCAUGGCCAUUUGCAGCUUGGGGAACAAAUGUGAUUGGACCAAUUGAGCCGCCCUCAAGACGAGGCCACAGGUUUAUUUUGGCGGCAACCGACUACUUCUCACGGUGGGCAGAAGCUAUACCGUUAAGAGAAGUCAAAGCUGAUAAUAUUGUUAGCUUCUUUGAACAUCACAUCUGUCACGCCCCGGGACCGGCGAAGGCCCUCCCGGUAGCGUACCCAGACCCACCAUAUGUCUACACAUAUAAGGCGUCUACAACAAAAGUGGAAGUAAAGCACGAGAUAGAACAAAUAAAAGAAGUGAAAUAACUAGCAACUAAUGAUAUCAGAGCGAGUAAAGUUCUAUCAUCUACACCAAAGUAUAGAAAUAAAGCUAGACAAUAAAAGAAACCAUAAGUAGUACAAUAUCUGUCUCUAGUACAAAAAUGGUGGUCUCUAGUACACUGGUACAACCCUUACAAUUAAUCUGUCACGCCCCGGGACCGGCGAAGGCCCUCCCGGUAGCGUGCCCAGACUCGCCAUAUGUCUACACAUAUAAGGCGUCUACAACAAAAGCGGAAGUAAAGCACGAGAUAGAACAAAUAAAAGAAGUGAAAUAACUAGCAACUAAUGAUAUCAGAGCGAGUAAAGUUCUAUCAUCUACACCAAAGUAUAGAAAUAAAGCUAGACAAUAAAAGAAACCAUAAGUAGUACAAUAUCUGUCUCUAGUACAAAAAUGGUGGUCUCUAGUACACUGGUACAACCCUUACAAUUAAUCUGUCACGCCCCGGGACCGGCGAAGGCCCUCCCGGUAGCGUGCCCAGACUCGCCAUAUGUCUACACAUAUAAGGCGUCUACAACAAAAGCGGAAGUAAAGCACGAGAUAGAACAAAUAAAAGAAGUGAAAUAACUAGCAACUAAUGAUAUCAGAGCGAGUAAAGUUCUAUCAUCUACACCAAAGUAUAGAAAUAAAGCUAGACAAUAAAAGAAACCAUAAGUAGUACAAUAUCUGUCUCUAGUACAAAAAUGGUGGUCUCUAGUACACUGGUACAACCCUCACCCUCUCGCCAAAAAGUAAACAUCGAGAGGUAGACCACCUAGCAACUCGUCCUCGAAGGAAGCUAGCUCGAAGCAACUCCCUUCCCGCGAUCCCUGGCCUCACCCUGCGUGGAAGGCUCUGAAAAACAUCGAGAAAAAGAGGGCGUGAGAACUAUAAUUUAUAGUUCCCAGUGGGCAAUUACUGACCUCAGCUCAAUGCACCACUAGGCCCCAAAAGAAAAGGGUAAGUAACGACAUAUAGUAAUAUGCAAUAAAUAGCGAACACAAAAACUGCUGAAAGAAAGCAUGAAUGAAAUGCUAUACUACUAUGUCUCCAAUAAGCAUGAUGUCAUGGUGGUGUACAUCUACGCUAUCAUAAAGUAACAUAUCCAAUACAUGCUAAUAUGCCUCAACAUAAUGAACAAGUAAACCUCGCAGUACCAUAUGCCAAAAAUAUAAGGAGUACGCUCUAUCAAAGAUAACCCAAUAUACUAUGAUGCAAUGUAUGAAACCGGCAAGUGUACUAUACACCCCAUUGCUAUGUCAUGAGCAUGUCACCUAAUCCAACUACUAAGCCUAUCUAGUAGCGAUUAUUCAUUCUCAACACCGUGUCGAUUUCCAUUUCCAAUCAAGGACCUACCAAAGGUAGUCCAGCUUGUGCCGCCUAAGUGCCUGUGGUAGCCCAACAUCCCUACUCUUGGAAUGUGUCUGUCCCACUCGACCCCGUAGGCUUCUCAAUAUCGCACGAGCGAACAUAGGUCGCGAAGGCUAACUCCGGAGUGCCGGCUUGUAGGGAGCAACCCUCACAAGUAUGUGCGAAUGAGCACAAAUGGCAAGCAAGCAUAGUCCAAGUCUCAAGUAUCCAACCCUCAUGUCUCUAACAUGAUAUAGUCACUAGCAUCUCGAAGAUCUAGUUCUAAGUCACAAAUGAAGUUCCAACAUUCUCUAGGUCUAAUGCCCCUUUAUGACACUUAGACAUNCUGUAGGGUGCCUUUGAGAUCGGGGUAGUCCCGGGGACGAGAUCUACCACAAACUCAAUCUCCCUAUCAGGGGGCAUGCCUGGAAGCUCCGCUGGAAAGACAUCUCCAAACUCUCGCACUACGGGGAUAUCCUCAAUCCUAGGGGCGUCCGCAUCACCCCGCAACACGACAGUAGCCAAAUAGGCUACGCAGCCUCUACUAAUCAACUGCCUAGCUCGAGAGGAGCUAAUCGUCAUCGUAAACAGCGAACUCUAACAUCCUCGGUACACAACCUCCGCCUGCCCUGGCUCUCUAAAAAUCACCGUUCGAUCUUUGCAAUCGAUAGUGGCGUAGUACUUAGUCAACCAAUUCAUGCCCAACACAACCUCAAACUCCCCGAGUUUAUGCAAGGCUAGCAAAUCAAUGGGCAUGAUCCAAUCUCCAACCCGAAUAGGGCAGCUGGGGCAAAACUCCCGAAUGUCCAAAGAAUGGUCGGGUACAACGACUCGUCCCAGGUGCAACAAGGAUACAAUUUACAGGUUCGAAAUUCCUAAUCGUGUGAUCUCAGAUAAUGGGCCGGCAUUCAAAUCUCAGAAAGUUUAUCGACUUCCGGCCAAAUACAAGAUUGAUUGGCGUUCCUCUAGCAUAUAUUAUCCACAAGCAAAUGGCCUUGCAGAAGCCUUUAACAAAACGCUUGGAGAAAUUCUUAAACGAACAGUCUCUAAGAACAAACGCGAUUGGCAUGAGAAAAUACAAGAAGCUUUAUGGGCCUAUCGCACAACAGUUCGUACUCCAACACAAAUGACUCCUUAUACAUUAGUAUUCAGGGGGGAAGCGGUGUUACCUCUCGAAGUAGAGCUCUCCUCUUUAAGAAUUGUAGUGCACGAGAAGCUUACAGAAGAGGAACAGAUAAAACUUAGACCGGCCGAGCUAGAAUCGUUAGAAGGUCAAAGGCUAGUAGCCAAACAAAAUCUUGAACUUUAUCGAGCUCAAAUGGCACAAUCCUAUAACAAAGUGGUUAGAGGACGAGUUUUUAAGCCAGGAGAUUUAGUGCUGGUCCAGAAAAGGCCUAUCAUGGCACGCCAGUGCCUUAAAGGAAAAUUCGAGCCUAAGUGGGAAGGACCUUAUAUCGUCGAAAAAGUUUUUGAUGGCAGGGCCUAUCAACUUAUUGAUUGUGAAGGGAGACAUCCUUUGCCUCCAAUUAAUGGUCGAUUUCUGAAGACAUACUACUGUUGACCUUCUUCAUCCCCAGUUAAUCCCAACGCUGCCGAGUAUCAGCUUUACCAACUACUCGACGCCAACUCGAACGCUACCGAGUACCAGCUUCACCAACUGCUCGACCUCAACUCUGACGCUGUCAAGUAUCAGACAACUACUCGACCUCAAUUCCGAUGCUGCCGAGUACCAGCUUCACCAACUACUCGACCUCAACUCCGACGCUGCCGAGUACUAGUUUCACCAACUAACUCCGACGCUGCCGGGUACCAGUUUCACCAACUACUCGACCUCAAUUCCGACGCUGCCGGGUACCAGCUUUACCAACUACUCGACCUCAAUUCUAACGCUGCCGAGUACCAGCUUCACCAACUACUCGACCUCAAUUCCAACGCUGCCGAGUACCAGCUUCACCAACUACUCGACCUGAACUCCAACGCUGCCGAAUACCAGCUUCACCAACUAUUCGACCUUGACGUUGCUGAGCCUAGCUAUAACACGAUAAUGAGCGCAUUGAAAGAAAACAUCAGCACCGGAGAUGUACAUUCAAGCUUUGCGCUCAUAUACACUCCGGUGGGGGCAUUUGUUAAAAAAAAAAAAAUGAUGAUCACUUCCCUAAAUUCACUCCUCCACUAUCUCCUACCAUUCCCUCCAUUUCUACCACUUUCUCCACCAUUUUUUCCACUUUCUCACCAUUCCUACUACUUUCUCCACCAUUCCCUCCACUUUCUCACCAUUCCCACUACUUUCUCCACCAUUCUCUCCACUUUCUCCACUUCUCAAUCACUCCCUCCACUUCUCCACCAUUUACUUUUCUCUUCACCAUAAACCUCCACCACCCUCUAUUUAUAUAAAGAGAAGUGAACAAAGAAAAAAAGAGAGGAUUCUACUCACAAAAAAAAGAGAAAAGAAACUUGGAUAAAAAAAAGAGCCAAAUAGAAAAGUGGGUUUAGAUUCUCUCACUUUUAUUUUUUUUUCUCCCUCUUCUCUCCUAGUCAAGGCACUCCAUACAUCGAGCUUUCUAUGCACACUGGGCUAUACAUGCUGUCAUCAACCUCUACUACGCCGGGUCAUCGUCAACCAAUAAAAGACGACCACUCGUCGCUAUUCCUACACCUUUGCUGACUGUCGUUGCCCCGUUGUCGUUGAUCCCGGAGUGGUACACGUUCUCUUUUGCUAGUAUGGUGUCAUCAUCGACCAAGGAGGUGGCCAUCCGCCUGCUGUUGCUGCGCUGACGACAACGACGACGAUGAUCCGCUUGACGCUUCGCCGUCGGCGGUAAAGGCGGCGACAGCAACAACAAUGAUCCGCUUGACGCUUCGCCGUCGGCAGUAAAGGCAGCGACGACAACGACAACGAUCCGCUUGACGCUUCGCCGUCGGUAGUAAAGGCGGCGACGACAAUGACAACGAACCGUUUGACGCUUCGCCGUCGGCGGUAAAGGCGGCGACGACAACAACGACGACGAUGAUCAUCCGCUUGACGCUUAGCCGUAAGCGGUAGACGACGACAACGACGACGAUGAUCAUCCGCUUGACGCUUAGCCGUCGGCGGUAUACGACAACAACGACGACGACAAUCCGCUUGACGCUUGGCCGUCGGCGGUAGACGACAACAACGACGACGACGAUCCGCUUGACGCUUAGCCGUCAGCGGUAGACGACGACAACGACGACGAUGAUCAUCUGCUUGACGCUUAGCCGUCAGCGGUAGACGACGACAAUGACGACGACUAUUCGUGUCACGCCCCGAGCCCGAUCCCUUUUGGCCGGUUCGAGAGCGUCAAACAGACGCCGAACGGACAGAGCUUCCCCCGUCCGCCCAAGGCCUAACACAAGUAUCAAUAGAGUACAAAUUUGCAUAAGCGGAAGCAUACACAAUGGCUUGCACGAGGGCAAGCAAUAGCCAAGGUGAAAGAAUUAGCAAUUCGAUAUACAAGUAAUAUGACUAAAUUUAAAUCACAUACAUGUAUCCAACUAUAAUCAAGUUCUGUCACAUUCUCGCAUCAUUUUUUUUUACAUCUCAUUUCUCCCAAAAUAUACCUUUUGACCUUUAACAUAAAUAUCCUUUCAUUCAUUAAGGCAAGUUCAUAAUACUAAAAUCAUCAAAUACAAAAGACGAUAGUAAAGGGUAUGCAGCUACAAAAUGAAAUCCAUCUCAUGCGGUCUCUAUCUAGGGCGCGAUGCCCUUACCGCGAUCAUCUGCCGGCUCGCUCGGUCCCGGCUCUGUGGAAAUAGUGGGGUGAGAACUACAACAAAGUUUCCAGUGGGUUUGGCAACCAACCACGCCGACUAUCCCACUAGGUCUAAUCAGGCAUAAUAGAAGAAAGAAUAGAUAAUAACCAACUAACAAAUGCAGCUAAUAUGCCUGAACGAUAAAUAAAACUAUGCUCGAUAGAAUGCUCAUGAUGAAUGCAAGAUUAACUUUUAAUUACCCAAUCUCAUGGCUAGCCCGUAGGUUUCGCCCUCACAAACUCACCAACCCAAAUCCCUAUUGUCGGGGAGAUAACCGCUACGACCCGACGGGACCGCCCUCUGGGGAGAUAACCGCUACGACCCAGUGAUGACAACUCCGGAGCACAUCGCCCGAGGGGGAGCUACCGCCCUCGAGCAAGGACUAUUAGGUGAGUACAAUCAAUCCUUAACUUUAAGGAUUCCAAGUUCAAUCCAUUCCUUGACUUCAAGGAGAACCAUGUACAUGUGACCCUUAAUUCUAA
RNAcentral lists this long non-coding RNA (135392 nucleotides) under Ananas comosus (pineapple). RNAcentral's name for it is "long non-coding RNA (ACOM_LNC010468)". The record is from RNAcentral. Lineage: Eukaryota; Viridiplantae; Streptophyta; Magnoliopsida; Poales; Bromeliaceae.